RNAcentral lists this long non-coding RNA (90315 nucleotides) under Citrus maxima (pomelo). Its description in RNAcentral is "long non-coding RNA (CMAX_LNC002244)". The record is from RNAcentral. Lineage: Eukaryota; Viridiplantae; Streptophyta; Magnoliopsida; Sapindales; Rutaceae.
GAGAAUUGAAGAAUACUUUAGGAGCCGGUAUGCUCGUGAGCUUAGGGGAAAAUCUCAGUUGGAUUCCCUGAGAAUUCAACAUGGUCAAGGCUAGUAUAAGUUUAUUUUGGAUAACUAAAGAGUUUGGUACAAAAACUCUUAAGGACCUUGCUAUUAAGAUUGGCGUGGAACUGAAAAUAAGAAAUAAGUUCUAUGAAUACUGUGGUAUAACCUGCUAUGCUAGGGUCGUUGUGUAGCUCUAUCAUUUGAGAUACUGAAUAGACCAUGUAAGAAUCUUAAGAAUUGCAGACUUAUGCCUGGAAUCUUCCGAUGAUAUAUGGUGGUGCUUAUAUCAGAUCAGUAUCUUUCUUUCUUGAAAUAGAAUUUUUGCAUACCUGACUUGUUUUUAAUGAGAUUUCAAGGACUAUAUGACUUGGUUUCAAAUUUUUAUGAUACAUACAGAUAAUAUUACCACAGAACCAGUGUAGUUUCUGUAUCAGCCGUUAUAGUUUUCAGUUAAUAGUAACAAGUUUUUGAUUUUUAACAAGAAUGUUGUCCUUCCACGUCUUAAAUAUUCCGUUCCAUAACACACAUUGUGACGAAUACAUAACUUGUUACCAUUGACGAAAAAUUUUGCCAUCAAUAGCUGAAAAUAGAUGUUAGUUACACAAGCUGCAAAGCUAUAACUUUGGAUUUCAUAUUCAGAUUGUCCCUCUCAAAGUUGAACUUGGAACUACGGUUGAUGAUCUGCUAUUAUGCUGAGAAAAAUACAAGAUUUUUUUUUUGGUUGUCAUCAGACAAUGUAAAAGAAAUUAGCAUGGGAUCCAAAUUCUUGAGAGUUUGAUAAGGCAAUGCACUAUAUUUUUUUAUAACUCGCAGCAGACAGCAGCACAACAGCAGACUGCAACUGUCAUAUUCACAAAAUAUCUAUGGGCCAACCCUAGACCCGCAAUGGUGGAUUAGUCUCACACAAGGCCACAGCAAAUAAUGACUUGUAGAAAAUAAUACAUUUUCAACAUUUGCUUUGUCAAUAAAAAUCUGUAGCAUUAUUGUUGAGAGAAUUUGUGCAACAAAAAGAAGGCCAAGUUCGGAGGUUCUCUGCCUGUGCCUUGUGUUCAAGAGUUGGCCAAGAAUCCUAUGUUAGCUAUCCCCCCAGGUACAUACCACCACGCUAAGAUUUAACCACAAUUUCUGAUAAUAAUUUGGAUUCACGGGUAUUGCAGAGCUUGUUUUCUGAAGAGUCAAUGGAUUCUGAGUUGUCCAGGCUCCACUUCGCUAGCAAAGAAUGGGCUUCUUUCCAGGUAAAGUCCUUUGCCAAGUUAUUAUUAUUUUGCUUUUAAAGGAUUUGCUUGGGAUGAGACCUCAUCUACUAAAUACCACCCUUUGUCCCAUAUUGUUACUCGAGCGCAGAUAUCUGCAAAUUGCGAAUUACAUUCACAACCAGCUAAGCUACACCUGCCGUGAGGCACCCAAGUUUGUACUUUUUCAUUUGGACAUGCUUGGUUUGUUAAUAGUAGUCUGGGGUCAAGAAUUAAGAAAUCUGUAUACUCUCAAUCAAAGAGCACAGUCGAUCAAAUUCAGAUUAGAUUAUGUUCCAUUCUUAUAGGUCAAGUAGGCCACAAAUUUGGCCUACUCUGUAUCAAUGCUUUCUUACACUGUAAGUUAGCAAUAAGAAAGCUGUAACAAAAUUUGAGUCUACGUAGUCUUAACCAAGCCGGUUUAAGCACUCUUUUUUUUAAAAAAAAAAACAUUGAGGGAUGUAACUGACCUUGUCCGAUUAUGGACCCAUCUAACUUGCUUUCUUGUAUGGCUGAGAAGAAAAACCUGCAUUCUUGAAAAUUAAAUUGUCUUUAAUAUCUUUCAGAUGUCUAGGCUUGCGGUAGCUUGAGAAGAACUAUAAGCAAAUUUAUGAUGGAGUAUAAUGCAAAUGCGAUUCUAUUAGUUUAUUGAAAUCUAACAAAUACUUUUAUUCAUCGCACUCAGUAAAUUUUGCCUGAAUUAGUCCAAUAAGUUGUACUCUGUCUCAGCAAAAUACCUUGACCAAAAUAAAAAACGUAGUGACACGAUUGUUAAUGUCUUAGCUGUUUUUCUGUUUCUGAAUUGUUUCAGCUGGUAAAUCAUGGAGUGAGCCCUGCAUUUCUAGAGAACGUAAAGAAAGAGAUUCCGGAAUUCUUCAAUCUAAGCAUGAAAAAAAAAAAAUUGGCGGUCUCCAGGAGCUGUGGAAGGAUUUGGACAAGCAUUUGUUGUAUCCGAGGAACAAAAGCUUGAUUGGAAUAACAUUUUCUUCAUGACAACUCUUCCAGUUCAUCUGAGGAAACCCCACUUGUUUCCUAAGCUCCCUCUUUUCCCCCUCAAGUUUCUCUCUCUCUAGGCAGUUAUUUGAUGAUUGCAAAUGUAUUAUGUUCAGAGAAAGAUCCCAAGUCAGUUAUAUUUAGCAAAAUUUGACAACCAAACAUGAUUUUGAAAGAAUACUGCUAAAUAAUAACUUAUUUAACAAUCCACCACAAUCAUGUACUAAACCUUCUAAUUGCGUCUUCUUUUUUCUUGUAGGAAAUUUUGGAAUUUAUUCAGUGGAGUUAAAAAUCUUUGGCCAUGAACCUGGUAUCGAAAAUGGGAAAAGUUUUAAAUAUCAAAGACGAAGAAUUGAGAGAAUACUUUGAAAAUGGUUUCCAAUCAAUGGGGAUGAACUAUUACCCUCCAUGUCCUUAGCCGGAGAAGGUUGUGGGCCUCACAACUCAUUGUGAUGACUCUGCUCUUACCAUUCUGCUGGAAAUCAAUGAAGUAGAAGGCCUCCAGAUCAAGAAGGAUGGAAAGUGGAUUCCUGUUACACCUUUCCCAAAUGCUUUCGUUGUCAACAUUGGAUAUGUGUUGGAGGUAAUUAUUAUGAUAAGUUAUUUUAACUUGACAUUCAUAUGAGCUAGCUAAUGUGUGCUUUCAUUAAUUCAUGUUGCUCCACUUCCUAAUGCUUUCAUUGGAGACACAUUGGAGGUAAUAAUUAUAGUAAAUUACUUAACUUGGCAUUUAUAUGCGCAUGCUCAUGUGCUUUAAUAAUUUUUACAUGGCAGAUUAUAACCAAUGGGACAUACCGUAGCAUUGAGCAUCAUGUAAUUGUAAACUCUGUACAAGGAAGACUUUCCAUUGGCACAGUUUACUCAGUGAGGUAUGAUGGUGAAAUGUACCCUGCGUCCAAUUUGGUCUCUGAAAAUACUCCUUCAUUGUUUAAAAGAGUGAAAGUUGAAGAAUAAUUUCAGGAAUCUGUGUGCUCGUAAGCUUAGGGGAAAAUCUCAUCUGGAUGCCUUGAGAAUUGAACAUGUUCAAGAUUAUUAUAAGUUUAUUUUGGAUAACUAAAGAGUGUAGUACAAAAACCGUGGGGGACCUUGCUAUUACAAUUGUGUGUGGAACUAAAAAUAAGAAAUAAGUGUAAGAACAAUAAAUCCUUUGGUGAAAAUCAUCACCUCAAUUUAGGAACAUGUAUGUUGUAUCACCAAAAAUUAAUAAUAGAAUAUGCGGCAGUGUACCUAAGUUCAUAAUGCACAAUUGCUCUUUAGAGCCGAGUAGUUUGUCUUCCAAAUAAACAUGUUCUCCUAAAGAAUUCUUUAAACUUCUCUAUACUGUCUCUUUAAUGAUGAGAUGUCAAUAGAGAAUAGAACAAUACGUGUGACCUAUGGAUAAUAACUACUUAUAUAUAUAGAUUUUCCUUUUGUUUUUAGGUAUUCUUAUUUCAACCCAUUAUAAAAAUCAAAAUUAGUCUUAAGUCUCUAUACAUUAAAGGCCCACAAUCUAUUAGAUACAUUAAAACCCAAAUUACCGAAAACCUUAAUAGACCAAUUUUAAUUUGGCUUAGAGUUAGACUAUUGGCACCCCUCCAAAAUUCUUCUAAAACCCCUUUUUCAAUAAUGCUAAGCUUAAUGCCAAAAAUACCCUUAUUUCUAAAUAAACACAUUUAAUUUGUGAAUCUUUUAAUUUUUAUUAUUUUCUCGCUCCUCACAAACAAAAUUUUAUGGGUGAUAAGUUUCUUGAUAAAAAUCAAUUAAUAAAAUAAAAUAUCUGUAAGAUUAUAAUGUAAAAAGUUUUAUUAUGAGCCUUAAAAAAAGGUAGAUAAUUUUUUCAAAAUGUGUUUUGUUUAUUAUCAAUAGAUUGUCUUAGUAAUUGAAGAAAAAUUUACAGAGAAUUUGAGAAAAAAAUUACAUGUGUGAGUUUGAUGGCAGAGAAAAUACAAGAGCUUUUUUUUUAAGAGAGAAAAUACAAAAGUUUGAAGUGAGAUAAAAUAGAUGUGAGAUAUAUUAGAGUAUUUGUCCUUAAAUGUAAUUGUAAUAGAAGAGGAAGUUUAAAAGGAUUUUGAAGGGGUGUCAAUAGUCCAACUCUUUGGCUUAAUCUUAUAUGACAAUUCACAUCAUAUAAUUAUUCACAUAUAAGCGCAACAUUGGAUCAAGGAUCCAACCAUACCAGAUUAAAGAUCCAACAACCUUUCACUUGGACUAUAUAUAUAACUUUGUAAUUAUACUUUACAAAAAUAACUAUAUGAGGUCAACUUUACUGUCAUUACCAAAAUGCAUCUAUAGCCAAUUCGGUCCAUCUAUCAUACCAACAUAGGAUCAAAAUGACCUUUAUUACAAAUAUCGUAACUUGACCCAUCAAUGCUCACUAUGCCAGCAUAACUUAAUGACAUAGAUCAUGAUAUGGUGUAGGAUGGAAAUUUUAUGUAAUGUGAUUUCAACAUGCCUAUUUUCAAUUGAUCCACCUUAAACAUUAGUGAGAUCAAAUUAUACAAAAUUAGAGUGUAAAUAAACCAAAAUUUUAUUUCUGUAGAAAAUAGCCUUAAAUAUCCCCAAACCGAAAAAUGUUUAUAUCAUAAAAGCAUUUAAAAGUUACAAACUCCCAUUAAAAAUGAAUAUCAAUAUCCUUUAAUGACAUGACACCCAUAUGAACAAUGUGCUCAUGAAACAUUUUAAAUGACAUUCCCUUAGUAAACGGAUCUGUAAUCAUGGAGUUUGUACCAUUAUACUUUAUAGACAAUUGUCCACUCUGAAUUCCUUAGGAACUUGAUGUCUAUAUACUGUGACAUCGUUGAGCUCUUAUUGUUAUUGGAAUAUAGCACUGCUGACUUAUUGUCACCAAAUAACUUAAGUGGUCUAUCAUAAGGGUGUCAAAAAAGCCUGCCCGGACCGGACCCGGCCCCCGGACCGCAUGCACAUAAAAACCGGACCCAGGUUUGAAAUUCUCAAACCCGGACAUUUCCGGGCCCGGGUCCGGGUUCAACACCAAAAACCCGGAACCCGGACCGGACCCGGUUUUUUAAUAAAUUUUUUUAAAAAAUAUAUAAAUAUAUAAUUAUGAAUUUAUGAUAUGUUGGAUGUUAUUUAAAUUUAUUGUGUGAUUAUUGUGUUGUUGAAUUUAAUUUAUUUAUUUUAUAUAUAGAUUGAAUGAGUUUAAGUUAGAAAUUGGAUGAAUUUAGGUAUUAGAAAGUGGAUUGAAAUAAUUUUAAUUUAUCAUUUGUGCAAAAUUUGCAUUGUUAGUGUGUUAUAUAUUUGUAUUUGACUAUUUGCUUUUUUAAAGUUUGAGAUUGAAUGAGUUUAUUUGAUUAUUUUCUUUUUUUAAAUUUGCAUUGUUAGAGAAAUGAAAGAAAAAAUUGAAGAAAAAAAUUGAAGUUAUCACAUGCGGGUUUAGAAAGCCCGGAUCAAAACCCGGACCCGGAAGGUGCCGGGCUCAACCCCGGACCGCACCCGAAAAAAUUGGGUUUUAACCCGGGUUCGGUCUUGUAUUUCUCUCAUCCAGUCCCGGGCAACACCAAAACCCGGACCGGACCCAAAUUUUGUCAAGCCUAGUCUAUCAAUACUAUUUAAAAUGAGUAAUUCUAUGACGAAAUUUUGUAGCCAUAUUCCUUGAUUGGAUAUUUCGUAACAUGCUGUGAACUCCGCUGCUAUAGUAGAAAAGGCUAUAAGAGACUGUUUAGCACUCUUUCAGGAAACAACACCCCUAGCCAGUAGCUAGAUGUAACCAAAAGUAGAUUUCAUAUUAUCUUGGGAUCUAACAAAAUCAGAGUUAGCAUAAUGAUCUCAAGCUGAUCUAACUUUCGAUGUAGUCUUUUGUUCUCUGUAAGUAUCGCAAGACCCGUUUGGCUGUUUCCCAAUAGUUUACCCCUGGAUUACUUAAAUAUCUAUCCAACAUUCCAGUAAUGUAUGCAAUAUUCAGUUGCGUACAAACCUAAACAUACAUCAGACUUUCUAUUACUGAUGUAUAAGGAAUCUUCUACAUUUUUUAUUCCUUAAAAUCAUCAUUAGGGCACUAAUUGUGUAACAUCCAUUAUUUUUGUUUUAUUUAUUUAUUUUUUAUUAUUUUACUACUACUACUACUACUACUACUACUACUACUACUACUACUACUACUAUUAUUAUUAUUAUUAUAUCUAUUUUAGAGAAUAUAGUAUUUUAGGCUAAUGAUUUUAAGCGUGUUUUAAUUUUUCUUUAUUUAUUUGAUUUACCAAUUUAGUAAAUACCUUAUUAAAAAAGGAAAUAAAUUCCUAAAUAGGUAAGGGUGUUAAAAGGCUUGGCUUUAUAAAAGCUUCUCUUGCGUUGUUUUAUUUCUCAAAAUCCUAGAGGCUGAAUACAACAACACACACAAGAGUAAACCUUUUUUUUUUAAGAAGAGAAGUAGAUUUUGAUUGGUUUUUUUCUUUUCCAUAAAGAAAUUCUUGAGUUUUGAAUUUGUUUUGAAGGAUUUAGCCUUCUGGUUUUAUUUGUGAUUUUAUGUGAUUGAUUGAAUGAUUUUGUGUGUAUUACAUUGAUAAAAUUGUGAAAGCAUGAUCAUCUAUUGAUUUAUGUUGUUAUUGAGUGAAAGUGGUGCUAUUAUUUUAUCUUGAAAACAGUGAACAACAUAGAUUCAAUGUUUUAUGACUGCUGUUUUCAUUAAGUCUCAUGCAUAAAAUUUUAUAAUUUAUUAAACUAGACAUCUUUAUCUUUCUAUUUAUAUGUUUAUCGUUCAAAACUCAUUGUAUAUUAAUUUUUUUGAUUUUUCAAAAUUGGAACACUAGUGUUGGAAAAUUCCAAUUUUCAGCAGCAGUUCUCGUUACUAUAAUUUAUUUGGUAACUCAAACGAUUUCUGAAAAUUCUAGGAACGUUUUUCAUUUUACACAUAUAUGUCUAGUUUCUGUAUACUUAAAUUCCUAAUUUUUGGCUUUAUAUAAAAAUAAUUAAAAAUCAUAGAGCUAGGCUACCGUAAUAUUGGAAAUUGUUUUCUAGAAUUGCGAGGGUUGAUAUUGAAGCGAGUUUGGGUUACUUUUUCAUAGUGAAUGCUAGGGGUGGGCAAAAUACCCGACCCGAUCCGACCCGAAAAAAUUCGGGUUCGGGUCGGUUCGGGUUGUUAUUGAAACCCGAACGGGUGAAAAAUUGCAAACCCGAUCGGGUUGUGAUUGGGUCGGGUAAAACCCGAUCCGAUCCGAAUACCCGAUCGGGUCGCACAAAAAAAAAAAAUCACUAAACCUAUAAACACAUCACACAUGCACACACCAGACACCAGACACCACACACACGGCCAUGCAAAGUUACAACUCAAAAAGUCACAAAAACAAGUGGCUAAAAAAAUAUUGACAAAUAAAAAACAAAAUAUAAUUAUAACCCACGCACACAGGCCACAGCCACACACAAACAUUGAAACAUAUCUUCGCUGCCUUCACAGCCCUCAUCCCCACAGCCCUCAUCCUUACACUCACAACUUCACACACACACACAAAUAUCGCAAAAGCCAAAAGCAAAGCGGCAGCUAGCAGCCAACGCAGAGAAGAGAACGGAGGAAGCGCAGCCAGUGCAUGCAGCCACCUAACCCGUGACUGGAUCUACUGCUCCGCGACAUCCGUAGCUACCAGAUCUGCUGUUGCCGGAUAUCUACAGGAUCUGUUGCUGCUGGAUCCGCUGCGCUGCUAUCGGAUCUGCUGUUGCAGCCUCCACCAUCACCGAGUUCCACCGCGAAGGUGCGAACCGGCAACUCGAAUUCUUUUCUUUUUUUGAUGUUUUGAUGGGAUAUAAUAAUAUAUUAUAUAUUAUCUGUUAAUUGCUAAGUAUAUGUAUUGUUAAAUGUUAAUAAUAAAAUGAGGGAAAUUCUUGUAUGGAAAGUUUUGGAGUUUAAUUUAUUAAGUCUGUGGAAGCUUAAAUAAUAAGUAUGAAUUGAUUUCUUUUUUUUUGUUUUGUUUUUAAUGAAUAGAUUAAGCAAAUUAAGCAUUAAAAUUAAAUAUUUUGCAUUUGAUCUGUGCAAUGUUUCACCCGAUCCGAAUUAACCCGAAUUUAACCCAAUUAUUUGACCCGAUCCGAUCCGAUCCGAAUAUAUUCGGAUCGGGUUACAACUUCGGGUUGAGUUCGGAUGAAUUCUUUUCUAACCCGAUCAACCCGAAAUCCAAUCGGGUUGAUCCGAACCCGACCCGAACCCAAAAAUGCCCACCCCUAGUGAAUGCCUUAUAAAUUUAACUUUUAUAUUCAAUGCAAACGUGUUCACAAUAGUUUUUUGUAAUAUUUUUGAUUUUUCUGACAUAAUUAUAGCUUGUUAGAAAUUAACUCUUACAAGACGAUCGAGUGUAGUUUAGUGAAUUGAUGUGCUUUAGUAAGAGUAAAUGGUUUAAGGAUAUUUUGGCUUUCUUAUCAACGUCAAAAUUGAAAAAAAAAAUUGAUAAGAAUCUUAUCUUGAUAAUUAUAGGCCAAGAACGAGCUCGUGUGAUUGGGGUUAUUGUUGAUUGCUUCGUAUUGAGUUAAGUGAACUCAUGCAUAAUGUUUAUUAUAGUUAUAUAUGUAAAUAUCUAGAAAAGAAUAAUGUUAUUCAUAUAAAUUGACAUUUUAUGGUUUUGAAGUUAUUUUACUCUUAUAUUUUAUGAUAAUAAAUAAUGUUUUGAUUAAAACUUUAUUUAAAAUAUUUUCUUAAACUAUUUAAAAAAUAACUUUAAAAUAAUUGUCUUUCCAUAAAUUGGUCUUCCUUAAAAAUAUUUGUUAAGCUUGCCAAUUCAAUGUCUUAUAAGAGCAUUUUAUCAUAAUAUUACUGAAUGAUUGAUAUUGAAAGACUGAAAUUGUAUUUAAGAUUUUGGCUCAUUAACCGUAGUUAUUGUUGCUGAUAUAACCGAACAUUUAACUAUAUUGUGCGCACCUAUUGAUGAUUAUAGUUGGGUAACGUACCCUAAUUGAACUACUAACCGAGUCAUCGGGGUUAUAGGUGACUUACUAAACUAAUACCGGGUCAUUAGGGUUAUAGGUGACUUAUUGAACCACUGGCCGGGUCACCGGAAGUACAGGCGACACUAUAUGACAUGAGCAAUUGAAUAAAUGAAUGGUUAUAUUGAUAAAUGAUUUCCGAAAUGAUUAUUUAUUAAAAAUGGUUAUUACAUUAUGAUUUAACUAAUUAUAAGUUUUAAUGUACACUUAUGGUACUUUAUAAUGAUUGUUUUGUAUUUUAUCGUUAUUAGUAACCUUAUGCAUGAGUUAGUGUUGAGUGUUAGAAAAUGCAUAUUUAUAAAGGAGAAAAUUGUCAUUUUACAUUUCAUGUCUUACUAACAGCCCUUACUUUUAUGUAUUUAAGCUUCUUGUAAUUUAAUUAUGUGUGUUUUAUUUUAAUUAAGUAUUUUAUGUAUUUUAGGGGCAUCAUGGUCAUUUCACAAUAAACGAGAGAUCAGACGGCAAAAUGGACAUCACUUUUGAACUCAGGACGGUUGAAAAUCUUAGGAGGAGCAUAAAAGGAAAAAUGACACUGUUCACAUGUACGGUACUGUCUAUGUUACUAUUCACGACACUGUUCACAUAGACGGAUCGAUGAUGUGGCAUUGACCGAUGAUGUGGCAUUGACUGAUGAGGUGUCACGAUCCUGUUGGACUAAAAUUCUUAUGCACUGUUGAUUGAUGACGUGGCAGCAUAUCAGUGGACCAAAAAUCUCGCGUACGGUACAUGCAUUAUACAGGAUUAUUUUCAACCAAACUGAGUCACUGUUCAACUCGGGGCAAACCGUGUUACUGUUCAUCCAAGUGGUCAAACCGCAUACUGUUGACUGAUAACGUGGCGCAAUCCUGAGCGUCCAAACUGUUUUUAAUCCGAUGGCCACGAUUUACUUAAUGUAUCUACAAAAAGGGGGCCUCCCCUCUAAUUUGAUACCUCUGAAUCCAUUUUUUGGAUCCAUUUUCUAUAAUUCCUUCUCCAUCUUGUAUUUUCUACGUAUUUUAAUAAAUUUCUAUUUUGCCCCUAGUUCAAUUAUGAGUAACUAAUUUUCUUUCAAGCUUGGGUUGAAGGUGAAGUCUCAACAUGUGUCAUGGGCUUUAUUUGGUAAAUUUAUUUUCUCUUCCCCUCUAGUUUUUGUGGAUGUUUUGACUUCUCGUCGAUAAAUAAUAAUAAUAUUGUUUAGUACCGCCUUGGUUUCACCGGCUCCCUAAUACAAAGUUAUUAUUAUUUGGCACGAUAAGCCCUUAGCACCAUAUUGAUUAGAGCGUAGUUCAUGAGGUGUGAAUUCCCCCCUCAUGAUUUAAUUGGUAUUAAUAAGGAAUAUUUAGCCCAUGGUGCAUUUGAUAUGAAUUCAAAUACCCAAGUACGUCAAUUUAAUAGAUUUUCACUUUAAUUUCUUCUCGCCAUUUCAAUUCCAAUUUUUAGGAUAAUUUAAAUCACUUCCACCACAAAUCCAACCACCUCAUACAAAAUUAAUUCUAUAUAUAAUUAAAAUCCACCUCCUCGUGAGAUCGACACUCGUCACUAUUAGUCUAUUAUACAAUAGAUUCGUAAGCUUGCGAGUUCAAUAAAAUUUGCACAACAAGUUUUUGGCGCCGUUACUGGGGAGGUAAGUUAUUUUAAUUUGUAGAAUUAAUUUUUGUCAAUAAUUUCUUUUAUUUGUUUUCUUUUUUUUUCUUAUUAAAAAAAAGGGAAAAAAGAGAGUGAAUUUGCAUUGAGAGAUUAGUAUUUCUUUUCUUUUUCUCUUCUUUAAAAUUCUGUAAUUUAAUUUUCAAGUUAUUUUUUUCUUCUUUGUAAUUUUUGUUUAUCUUACUAAUUUUUUUAAGUUAAUUUAUUUCACGUAUUUUUUUGUGUGUAUUUUUAUAGUAAGGUUGUAAUAGCGCGAUAAGGUUAGUAUCGUAAUUUCUCCCUCUUCUUUAUUUUUAUUUGUUUUGUUCCCAUCUUUAUUUUUAUUUUAUUUGUUUUACAUGCAUAGUCGAAGAUCAUUAUUACCUAAUCUUAAACCUAUAGACCUGGAACUAGAAAAAAUACUUCGCACACACAAGCACGUUAAAAAUAAAUUUGGAAUGGAUUUACAAGUACCACAAGAGAGGCCAUUUAAGGACUAUUUUAGUCCUUUAGCUAAUUUGAGCACAUCAUGUAUAAGAUACUCAAAUGUAGCUGCUACGAGUUUUGAACUAAGACCUAGUCUGCUAAAUUGUCUCCCAACAUUCUAUGGCCUAGAAAAUGAGGACCUUUAUAAUUAUUUGAAUGAUUUUCAUACUAUUUGUCAAACAUUUAAAUAUGAGAAUUUUUCAUAUGAUGAUGUAAAACUUAGACUAAUCCCAUUUUCUUUAAAGGAUAGAGCUCGUUCAUGGUUUAAUAUAUUGCCUGCUAAUACCAUUUCAUCAUGGGAACAAAUGGUAACGAAAUUUUUAAAUAAAUAUUUCCCAGUGCAUAAAACUAAUGCUAUUCGCAGGGAAAUUUCAAAGUUUACCCAUAGAGAAGAUGAGCAGUUUUUCGAAACAUGGCAGUAAUUUAAUGGGCUACUCUUGAAGUGUCCACAUCAUGGGUACGAGAAAUGACACCAAUGCCAAUACUUUUUGGAGGGAUUGUUGCUGAAUGUGUAAGAAUGACUAAUGGCAACAAGUGGAGGAGAGCUAAUGUCAAAAAGUGCAUCAGAGAUUUGGGAAUUCUUCUAGCGACAAGUGGAUAAUUCCCAACAACGGAGUCGAUCACUCAGGAAUACUAGAAGAAUUAAGGGAGUGAAUGAGGUUCACAUUGACGAGUCAACUUCAGGAAUCAAAGAAGUCAAGGAGAUGGUUGAAGGUAUCGCUCGACAAAUAGCAUCAUUAUCGACUGCUAAAUCAACAGAGCCACAUGACCAUGACUCAUACUCAGAUCAAGCCAAUACCAUAGGUGUAAUGAGAAGCCAUCAAAUUACAACCCAUACUCCAACACAUAUAACCCAGGAUGGAGAGACCACCCCAAUUUUUUAUGGUCUCAAGGAUUCCAACAGAAUGAAGCAGCAGCUCCAGCUCCACCAAUGCAACGAAUUCCUCAAGUUCCUCAAGCCUCUCAGCCACCAUUUAGACCAUACAAUCAGAACCAGAACUACUCUCAACCCAGACCAUGGGAGGAUGCAUUCCAGAAUUUCAAGAAUGUUACUCACUCUACGAUUGAGCAACAGAACCGCACCAUUGAUAGACUACGAAAUGAGUUGAGAGCAGGUUUCAACUCACAAGCCCAAUCAGUUUCAAGCCUUGAGAAGAUGGUGGGACAACUUGUUUCUUCAGUUCAGACCUUGGCAAUGACCGUUGAGAAAGGUAAAUUUCCAAGUCAACCAGUGCCUAAUCCUAAAGGAGUACAUGAUGCAAGUACUAGUUCACCACAGCAGCAUGGAGAGGUAAAAGUUGUCAUGACUUUGUGAAAAGAAAAAGAAGUCGACAACAAAGUGGAGAUGUAGGUGAUAAAAGAAAAUCAAAUUGUACCUGUAAAUGUUGAGGACUCAUCACCGGAGGAGAAAGAAGAAACGAACCUACGAGAAUAUGUUCCUAAAUCUCCAUUUCCUCAGAGGUUAGUAAAAGGAAAAAAGGAAAAAUUCACAGGUGAGAUUCUUGAAAUCUUCAAACAGGUAAGUGUUAACAUCCCUUUGUUUGACGCUAUAAAACAAGUUCCAUCUUAUGCUAAGUUUCUUAAAGACCUUUGUAUUAAAAAGAGAAACAUUCAUGUUCAAAAGAAGGCAUUUUUGACAGAAAACGUUAGUUCUAUACUCCAACAUAAAAUUCCUCUAAAAUGCAAAGACCCAGGCUCCCCCACUAUCUCAUGUAGUAUAGGGAACCACACAAUUGAAAAUGCUUUGUUGGAUUUAGGAGCUAAUGUAAAUCUGUUGCCUUAUUCAGUUUUCGUGAAACUUGGAUUGAGAGAAUUACACCCAACUCCAGUGGGGUUGCAGCUUGCAGAUCGGUCCACGAAAAUACCUCGUGGCAUUAUGGAAGACGUGCUUAUCCAGGUAGACAAGUUUUAUUUUUCUGUUGAUUUCAUUGUAAUUGACACUCAACCAAUUCAGGAUUCAAGGAAGCACAUCCUCAUUAUUCUAGGCCGACCUUUCUUGGCAACUGCAAAUGCUCACAUUCAAUGCAGGACUAGAAAUAUGCAGUUGUCCUUCGGCAACAUGACUAUGGAGCUGAACAUCUUCAACAUUGCCAAAUAACCUCACAAUGCAGAUGAUAAAAUUGUUGAUGCGGAUUUAAUAGAAACAUUAGUUGAUAAUACCUUUGUUUCAAACCUUAGUGAUGACCCUUUACAAACAUGUUUAACUCAUUUUGGUUUGGAUUUUGAUAUUGACAGAUCAGUCGAUGAGGUCAACGAAUCACCGUUUAAUUCCAGAAACGAGAUUAUGUGUCUGUCCGUUUACCCUUUCACCGUUUGCCACAAUCGGUGAACCGUUUUUCAACAGAGAGUCCUCUAACAGUUACUCCUUAGCCGUUAAGCGCUUAGGCUUUCACCGUUUCCCUUUCUUCAGCCUCUGGAAGUUACCCUUUAACCGUUUUCGCGAAGUCUAAAAUCUGUUCAAAGGUUUUCUUCUCCUUCUCCAGUUACCCUUUCACCGUUUCCUCCAUUGUUGCGCAGCCGAAGGUUUCUUUGUCCUCAAAUCCUCAUUUUUUCUUGCUUUCCUUGCCAAAUCAAACCUUCAAAAUUAUUUCUUAUCACCUUUAGAACAAUUCUACCGAUUCAAAACUUCAAAUCGAGCCCAAAAUUAAAAAAUCCCAAAUCUAAACCCUAACUGUCGCGGGUCGGGUUUCUUCAUUCUUAAUCCGAUUUCCACAUUUCUUCAACCAAAUUGAACAUCCUACUCACAUCCUCUACUCUUCUUUAAACCUUUUAUCGAUUUACUUUCGUCCCAUUACGUGUUUCCAUGGCUGAACCCUCUCGGAGAAAUCCCAGGCGUAAAUCUGUGCCCCCAAUGAAUCCCAUACCACCUCGGGAGGUCUCUGAGUUUUCAAGGAUUCACUUCCCCACACCUGCCUUGGCUAAGCGGUUCGAAGAUCGCUUUGAUGGUCGAAAGGUACUUGAUCCUUUUUUUGUUGAUAUUGAUAAUUUCCGCAACUUAGUUGUAUGUGGUAGAAGCAUUAGGGAUAUGCUUCAGCCUUGGGAGGCUGCCAUUGAUUUUGAUGACCGAGUUUAUCCAAACUUAGUGCGAGUCUUUUAUUCGAACAUGGAAAUCUCCGACACUCGCCUAAAUAGGAUAGUUACUCAUGUCGGCCGUGUGCCAAUAGAGUUUGAUGAUGCGGACCUAGCUGACCUUCUUGGUAUCUCUUGUGAGGGGCUUGAUAUUUACACCUCUAGGAAAGCCCUCUCCUUUGAUAGUUUUUCUCAUACUCAUGGCGUCCGUAAUAUAUGUCGUCGUCAAGACUUAUCGGAUGAGAUUUGUUUGCUUCCGUUUCGGUCUCAACUUUUACCUCUCCAAGUUCGUAUUCUUCACACUAUUUUACAGCACAUAGUGACUCCUAGGAAGGGUCACUCGGAUGAGGUUACGAGGUUGGACGUUCCCUAUUAGAUAGCCUUCUUACAGACCGUCCCAUUAACCUCGGGUAUAUUAUUGUGCGACAUAUGUUGAGUACUCCAGCGAUCAACCAUCGCUUGCUUCCUUAUGGCAGUAUCAUCACUAAAAUACUGCGACGCUUUGAGGUGCCACUUCUUGAUAUUGGACAUAUGGAGACUCGACGGAUUGGUUCCGAGGCCAUGACCAGUAUCGGAUUCUCUAGAAAGAAUGGAGUGUGGAUAAAGACAAGCAACUCCAAAAACCGGGAUACCUUGAUUGCUCCAGAGGACGAUCGGAUGCUCAAUGAUGUCUAUUCUCCCGAUCAGCUUCUUGACUUUAGAUUAGGAGCUCAUCCUCAUCCUCCGCGUCGCCAUUUUUUCCCUCGGCCUCCAGCUGACUCAGACUUUGAGGAGCGUGCGAUGGAUGCUGAUAUUCCCUCCUCUUCCGAGCCGCCUCCUGCUCCUGAGCCUUAUGCUGUUCCCGAGCAGCCAUCUGCCUCUAUGCCGCCUCCAGCUCCAGUUCAGCCCCUUGCUUCAGAUGCAGUGCAGCAGCUGAUUACUGAUGUUCAGCGGAUUUCGGAGCGACAGCAGCUGAUUCUUGAUCGGUUGGACAUCAUUUCCCGUGAUCACCAGCAGCUCCGCUCUGACUUUCAGAUUUUCCAGCAGCAGAGCAUUGACCAGUAGCUCAAGCUUAUCGCCGGACAGCGCACUCUUCUCAGCUAUUUCGGCUAUGAUCCGGGGAGCACAUCUUCUCCGCCUCCAUAGUUUCUGAGUUCUGUUUUCGCACAUACAUUUUUCCAUUUUGGUUGUUAGCUUUUUCAUACUUCGUAUAUGGAUUUUGAUGCAUAUGUGUGUGAUGUUCUUGAUGAUUAGAUGAUUGAUGCUUUGUGAUUGAAUAAUUGUUGGUAUGUUUGUGGAUAUUGAAGUGUUCUUUUGUUUUGAUCAUGGAGUUGUUGGCUUGUUGAAAGAAGAAGUUGGUGUCAAUCUAUUUUUUGAAGUGUUCUAUCUCAUUUUGUAUAAGUGGUUUUGAUCAUUUUUAAGGGGAAACUCUGCCAAAAUUUUCGCUCGCCAAAGCCGGGCAACUUCUUUAAUGGAUUUGUGUAUUUCUUAUUUCUUCUUUUCUUUUUGAUGAUGAAGGGGGAGAUAAUUAUGGUUUUUAAGAUGGUUUUUAAAUGGGGAGAUAUUAUUUUAAGAUGGAUUUAAAAUGGGGAGAUUUAAAGAAAAAAUCCUUUUAUUCAUAUUUCUCAAUUUGUCCAUACAUGUAGGGGGAGCACAUAUUAAGGGGGAGCUAAACAUUGAAUGAAAUUUGUCAUCAUAAAAAAUGGGGAGAUUGUUAACAUAAAUAUGUUAAUAAUAUUGAUUUUGAUGAUAACAAAUUUUAUAUGGUUUUUGACAAAAAUAUUGGAGAUAUUUCUUAAUAAACGAAAGCCCUUUUAUUCAUUGCCUUAUUUUUUCAUAAAAGAUGGACUUUCAAAUUAGAAAGAGAUUCUCUACAAAAAAAAAAACUCGUUUAAAAUUGCAAUUCUGGUUAUAAACGGUUAACCAUUUUAAACGAUUAAAGGCAGAGAGCAACAUAUUUCCUAAACCUUUAACCGUUUAUGAAAAACGGAAAACACAAAAGAUGGGAAGGUUACUGGAACUUAACGGUGAACCGUUUAUUUUAAACGGUUAACCGAUUAACACCAGAGAGCGACAUAAUGCCUAAAGCUCUAACCGUUUAUGAAAAAUGGAAAUCACCAAGAAUGGAAAGGCUACUGGAACUUAACGGUGAACCGUUUAUUUUAAACGGGUAACCGAUAAUGUCCAGAAUUGAAGGUUGUCCUCCUCUGGCACUGAUUAACGAAAAAUGAUAAGGCUAAAUUAUUUUGCAGGUUACUGGAGACAAACGGCGAACUGUUUAUUUCAAACGGUUAACCGAUAAUAUCCAGAAACGUUACUUCACGCAAGUUCUUAACCGUUUAGCGUAAACGGAUAACAAAUGCUCAUCUUGCAGGUCUCUGGUAGUUAACGGCUAAAGGUUAAUUACAAACGGCAAACCGUUUAUUUGAAAUCUAGCCCAACGGUAACUUUGACCAACCGAAACGGUUAACCGUUUAGGGUUAACGGCGAACCAUUUUCUGUCCGACAGUUUGUAACGGCUAGAUUUUCAGCUCCAGAUAUAAAUAAGCUCAUUCAAAUUCAAAGAAGGUUGAUCACAACACGACCAUUUUGAGCUAAUAUUCGAGAAUGCAAUCUUCAUAGAGCUUAGAACACAUUAUUGCUUCAUCUAUUCACAUAUUAAGCAUCAUUGUGUAAUCUUAUAUAUUGUGAGAGGUAAAACAGUUUGUAAUCUUUUACUUUGAGUGAUUGUAAGUGUUGGGAUACACUUGGGUUAAGAGAUUGGGGAUAAUCUCUUGUUGUAAAGGUCCAUUGACACCUUGGAAGUCAAGUGUAAGCAUUUGAAGCCUUGGAGGCUUGCUUAGUGGAAUCCUCAAGCCCGGAAAGCUUGGAGGCGUGGACGUAGGCGAGGUUGGCCGAACCACGUAAAAAUCUCGGUGUUUGAAUCCCUCUUCCCUUAUCUUUUUAUAUUGUGAUCAUCUUAAUUGUUAUUGCUUUGAAUUUGAUUUAUAAUUGCAUUAAGAUUUUCUUUAAUAAAUUGAAUAAUUUUUUAGAAUCCCAAUUCACCCCCCCUCUUGGGUUGCAUACUUGUAUUUCAUAUUUUCCACAUAUACCGGUAUAGUCUCUGACUUUUCUUUUACACUGCUAUCAUCUUCAUCUCUCGUUUGCAGUUGAUCUUCUAUAAAGAUAACAUCUCUGCUGAUGAUGAUCUUGUGGGCAGUGGGGUCCCACAGACGAUACCCUUUUACUCCAUCAGCAUAUCCCAAGAAGAUACAUCUUCUAGAUUUUGGAUCCAGUUUUGUUCUUUCUUGGGCAUUGUACAUCACGUACACAGGACAUCCAAAUGCAUGUAGGUAGGAAUAAUCAGCUGGCUUUCCAGUCCACAUCUCCAUCGCUGUCUUCAGCCCAAUAGCUGUAGAUGGCGACCGAUUUACUAUAUAACAAACAGUUUUGGCUGCUUCUGCCCAAAAUGAAUUGGGUAGACCAGCAGUCCUCAACAUAGCUCUUAUUCUUUCUGUAAGAGUUCUGUUCAUCCGCUCCGCCACUCCGUUUUGUUGAGGAGUGUAUGCUACAGUGAACUGUCUCUGAAUACAUUCUUGCUUACAGAAAGCAAGAAACUCGCCGUCUGUAUACUCUCCACCAUUAUCCGUCCUCAAUUACUUGAUCUUUUUACCAGAUUCAAGUUCCACCCGCGCUUUGUAUUCUUUAAACACUGGAAAUACAUUUGACUUUUUUUUAAUUGGAUACACCCAACAUCUUCUGGAAUAAUCAUCAAUGAAAGUCACCAUGUACUUUGCACCUCCCAUGGAUAUAUCCGGUGAUUCCCAAACAUCAGAAUGAAUCAAGUUUAGAAUGCAUUUACUUCUAGCAAUAGAUCUACUAAAUUUUAAUUUAUGCUGCUUACUUGUAACACAAUGCUCGCAAAAUGGUAAACUUACCGAUUUGAGCCCCGGAAGCAAUUUUCGCUCAGAGAGAAUCUUCAAGCCUUGUUCUGACAUGUGGCCAAGUUUGAGAUGCCACAUCAUCGUUGACUCUUCUCCAUUUGAUGCGACACACGCAUCAGCCUCCUGUAGUGUUUCUCCUUUAAGCAUGAAUAGAUUAGCACUGAUCUUUUCUGCAUUCAUCAAUACAAGCGCGCCUUUAACGAUCUUCAUAAUUCCAUUCUCCACAUGAGUUUUGUACCCAUGACUAUCCAUUUGUCCCAAAGACAAAAGAUUUUUCUUCAGGCCGUUGACAUGGCGUACCUCCCCAAUUGUGCGAAUUGUACCAUCAAACAUUUUUAUUUUGAUAGUACCAAUACCAGCGAUCUCCAAGGCAUGAUCAUUACCUAUAUAUACAGAUCCUCCUGAGAUAGGUUCAUAUGUGUGGAACCAUUCUCUCCGAGAGGUCAUGUGCCAGGUAGCUCCUGAGUCUAUAAGCCAGACAUCAGAUAGUCGUUUUCUGCCUUUUGAAACAAUUGUUGCCUCGCUGUAAAGAAUUUCGCCAUCAUCCGAGGUACUUGCUAUACACCCUUGAGCAUUUGAUGACUCAGGUUUUUUGCCCUCUUUUCUCUUCUGGUUACUCCAACACUCUUUCUUGACGUGCCCUUUCUUGCCACAGUUGUAGCAUUUAACAUUCUUCUUACUUCUGGAUUUUGAUCUACCAUGAUUUUGACUCCCACUAGGGCCACGUUCCGUUGAUCUCCCUCUCGUCACCGAUAGCGCCUCCGUUUGCUGUGAACUUACUUGUCUGUUUUCCUUAUUUUUUCGCCUGCUCUCCUCAUUUAAUACGGAGGCUGCAACAUCGUCAAAAACUAGACUGUCCACUGGAUUAUUGUUCGUCAGGUUGAUGAUGAGUUGAUCAUACGAAUCUGGUAGACUUUGAAGUAGAAGCUCUGCACGUUCAUUUUCCUCUAUAUUAUGACCCAACGUUGUGAGUUGUGAAAAUAGAGUCUUCAAGGUGUUGAUGUGGUCGGUCACCAUUGUAGAUUCCGCCAUUCGAAGAGUAUAAAGUUUCCUCUUCAAGAAAAUUUUGUUGUGUAGUGACUUGGCCUCGUACAAUUUUGUGAGAGUAUCCCAAAUUUCCUUCGUUGUGUUUUUCUCUGCCACACUGGAUAAUACUCCGUCUGCAAGUGCCAAGUGUAGAUCAGAAAUGGCGUUGCCGUCUACCUCGUUCCACUUGUCAUCAGUUAUCUCCAUGGGCCUUUCUCCAAUUGCUGCCAAGCAAUUAUUUUUCCUCAAUACAGCUUUCAUCUUCAUUUUCAACAAUGAAAAAUUAUUUCCGUUAAACUUCUCAAUUUCAUACUUUGCCACCAUUUUGUUGAUAAAUACCGCACACAAGCUAGUGUACCACCUUGAAUAGUUGUGAGUAUGUGUGAGAAUGCACACCAGGAAAGUUCCCAGGAAAGACUGGAGGGGUCACAAUGGUCCCACUUAAAACCCAGACUCAUUAAGCUCUUAUCGCCUUUGUGAUAGAACUUUCCUAGACAUGUACAAAACCACACAGUUGCUAUUACUCACACCACUAUUCUCUGCUUUGCAUCACAAAAUUCUUGGAUCGCUUCCACCGUUUCUUGUGAAUAGUACCGUAUACGUGAACAUUACCGUUUACGUGAAUAGUACCCCUUACGUGAACAGUACCCGACUCCAAAAAUACAACCAAUAGCUCUGAUACCACUGUUAGGAAAUUGGUAGGUGAAGCAGACACGCAGCUAGAAUAAAAUUGAAAGAAAAAUAAAGAACAAGUACAAAAAAUGGACACCAGAAAUUACGUGGUUCGACUUUUAGCCUACAUCCACGGGCGAAGACAGAAGGAAAUAUUUUACUAGUGAAAAGGAGUUACAAGUAUUGUAGUAUUUUAGCUCACUUCCCAAAAUCCCAAUACACCCAAACUCUCAGAACACUAAUCACUCAAGAGUUUAUUAAACUCUUAAUACUCUCAACACUAAAAGAAAGCAAUAUUUCUCUCUCGAUGGAAUUGGAUACAAGCUCUAGAUUGAGAGCUUGUAUUUAUAGGCAAAAAUUUGCCUCAAAUGUCAAACAAGUGGCCAUAAACUUCAAGCCAUACAUCUUAAAAAUUUCAAACUUUGAAUUUUUAGCUUUGAAUUUUUCUUUUCUUUUACCAAACAUUACGGCAUCUAGAAUUUCAAAGCCAAGUGCCAACCAUUCUUGUUUAUUCAAAGCUUCUAGAUGCAGCCAAUUUUGACAAUUACACAUAUAUAAGAGUAUGUCGUCAGGUCCAUACUAGUAUUUUUACACAAGCGGUCACCUCAAUUGCUUUAGGAGCAAGAUGAGAUGAGACAAGUAGAAUAAUAAAACAAUAUUUUUGUGUGAGAGCCAAAUAAAAAGCGUUAUUCUACAAGUUUUUUUGCCUUGACUAGAAUCAAGAGGUCUCACACGAUUUUCAUUAUAGACUGACUAUGAUAUACCCCACCAUCAUGGAGACUUCAUUGAAGCCAGAUGUGAGAUCUUUACUUUUUACGCUAGAAGAGAGCGUUCAUUCUAAAAGAGUGACUAGACUAAGAUCUAUAGUCCUGGAAUGGAAAAUUUAUCGUAACGAGUGUAUCAUACCAUGCGUGCUUGGUAAUCAAAAUGGAAAAUGAAAGAAUCUUCAAUCUUUCUAAUUGUGUAAGUUCCAUAUAACUUUUUAUAAGUCAAUCCUGGUAUCAUCUUCUUCUCUUCUUCGUGAAGAUUAAAAUUAAGAACAUUGAACAAUCCAUAAAAAGGGCAUUUAUACUGUGAUUAGAUAAGGAUUUCCGCUUGCGAUUUCUUCUGACCAUUAACAUGAUCCAGUACUCGAUUACUCCGCUGCUGAAUUCAAUAAGAAAAAUAUUUCUAGAAUUUUCAUUUUUCCUUCAGACCAUGUAAGAAGCAUACGAACAGGAUGAUCCGGAGUCAAAAGGUGAACGAGGUGACGGCUCGUCCGUUAGUACUAUUAAUGUAUAAGGUAAUAUGGGAAUUACUAAUAAUUAAUCGACUAGCUGAUUUGUUAGUUAUGAUUAUCAAUGACGGUCUAUUUCCUGCCCAUAUUUUACCAUGCUGUUGAAUGGUCCCCUUAAAAUAAUCCAGAUCAGUCAUUUGCAUAAAAAUAUAUCAUGAGCGGUUAGGUGGAGGAUGCUGAUUUGUUAGAAAAUAAUUGUUUUCAACUCUUGCGAUUGUCUGCACCCUGCACUCUUGUUCCAAAACCAAUACAAAACUGUAGCAAUCUUAAGAGGAUUUGUGGAACAAAAGAUGGCCAAGAUUGGAGGUUCUCUGCUUGUUCCUUGUGUUCAAGAGUUGGUCAAGAAUCCUAUGUUAGUUGUCCCUCCUAGAUACAUUUGUCCGGACGAAGAUUCACCACUCAAUUCUGAUGAUACUUUGAUUUCACAGAUACCAGUUAUUGACAUGCAGAGCUUGCUUUCUGAAGAAUCAAUGGAUUCUGAGUUAGCCAAGCUCGACUUCGCUUGCAAAGAAUGGGGUUUUUUCCAGGUAAAAUGCUUUAGCAGAGUUAGAAAGAUUUUUCAUGCUUGUCUGUGAUUUAAGAAUCAUGAAAUCUGCAAAACUCUCAGUCACAAAAUAUCUAUUUUUGAAACCCAGUUUCCAUUGAUUUAGCAUGUCAUGAUUUCAAAUUUUCCCAUCUAGUCCUUUUGCUGCUUUCAGUGCUUCUACGACUGCAGCUUGUGAAAUGUCAAGGAAGUUGUCUCUUGUUUUAUUGUACAAUUUAUGAGGCGAUAUGAGAAGAAAACACUCACCAUUUAUUUCUGAAACCCAGAUUCCAUUGAUAUAUUUGUUUUUGACUUGCUUUAUUACUUUACCUUUCCAUAUAGCCAUAGAUUUGUUAGUAUAAUUUGUAUUAAAAGAUGCCCAUGACAAAGUUCACCUAUUUUGUCUCAAUAGCUUUUGGUAGCUUAUGAGAAAUAUGCUUCUGUCAAUAUGUGAUUAAAGAUAUAGUAAAUUGUAUAAGACUCCCGCAGAUUAUUAGCUGUUCUAGAAUAUUCAAAUUUCUCCAAAACUAUGAGUAAAAAACACUUGUAAAAAUCAAUCAUUGAUUAGAUUUAUAAACAAAAUAAAAUUGGUGUUUAAUGCAACAGCAAUGUUCUCAGUUGAAAUGUAACAAAUGCUUUUAGCCAUCUUUGAUAGCAAAUCUUGUCUCUAAAUUAGUCAAAUAAGUUGCAAUCUGUCUUCAUAAAACGCCUGGACGAUUGUGAACCUAGUGGCACGAUUAUCAAAUCUUAGCUGCUGUUCAUUCCUGCGUAAUUUCAGCUGGUAAACCAUGGAGUAAGCUCAGCAUUUCUAGAGAAAGUGAAGAAAGAGGUUAAGGGCUUCUUCAAUCUCAGCAUGGAAGAAAAGAAAAAAUAUUGGCAGCAUCCAGGAGAUGUAGAAGGAUUUGGACAAGCCUUUGUUGUAUCUGAGGAACAAAAGCUUGAUUGGGCUGACAUUUUCUCCAUGAUCACUCUUCCAGUUCAUCUGAGGAAGCCACACUUAUUUCCUAAGCUCCCUCCUUCCCUCAGGUUCUCUCUUUUUGUGGUUGAUAUGGAUUUGCAAACAAAAAGGGAAAAUUAAACCUUCUAUGAUUCUAUCUAAUGUUUUACCUUCUUUUUUCUUGUAGAGACACCUUGGAAGUUUACUCGAUGGAGUUAAAAUCUCUGGCCAUGAACCUGAUAUCGAAAAUGGGAAAAGUUUUAAAUAUCAAAGAUGAAGAAUUGAGAGAAUUCUUUGACAAUGGUUUCCAAUCAAUGAGGAUGAACUAUUACCCUCCAUGUCCUCAGCCAGAAAAGGUUAUGGGCCUCACCCCUCAUUCUGAUGGCUCUGCUCUUACCAUUCUGCUACAAAUCAAUGAAGUAGAAGGUCUCCAGAUCAAGAACGAUGGAAAAUGGAUUCCUAUCACACCGCUGCCAAAUGCUUUCAUUGUCAACAUCGGAGACACAUUGGAGGUAAUAAUUAUGAUUACUUUCCUUGGCAUUUUUAUGUCCCUUCUCAUGUGCUCUAAUAUUUUUAACAUUGCAGAUUAUGACCAAUGGGACAUACCGUAGCAUUGAACAUCGUGCAAUUGUGAACUCUAUACAAGAAAGACUUUCCAUUGCCACAUUUUACACAAAGAGAUUAGAUGGUGAAAUAUAUCCAGCAUCCAGUUUGAUAUCUGAAAAAACUCCUGCAUUGUUUCGAAGAGUGACAGUUGAAGAAUACUUUAGGAGCCGGUUUGCUCGUGAGCUUAGGGGAAAAUCUCACCUGGAUGACCUGAGAAUUCAACAUGGUCGAGGCUAGUACAAUUAUUUUGGAUAAUUGCAGAUUUGUGCCAGGAAUUUUCUGAUGAUAAUUGUGCUUAUUUUGGAUCAGUUUCUUUCAUUUUUGGAAUAGAAUUUUUGCAGGCUUGUCAUGUUUUUAUCAGAUUUCAAGAACUAUUUCACUUGCUUUCGGAGUUAAAGAUGAUUCAAAUAUGAUAUUAAAUACUUAAGCAUGCCAUUCUAACGCUUGCUUGUCCAAUUACAUCCUUAUCAACAAUAUAUUUUGUUACAAUGUCACUGAAGUUGAAUAGAUAACAACAUGCUUGGGUUAUAUGUUGUCAUUUGGCUUAACCAUCCGUCACAUUAAGCAGAUUGUUGUGAUAAUGUGUUUUACAACCUUCCCCAGUAGCAUGAAUGUUGUUAAAAUAAUUGUAACAAAUUUUAUAUUGCUUGUAGCAACAUUGUUCUCCAUAGCACACAUUGCGUGAGUACAUAAGUUGUAACUUGUUACCAAUAAUAAUAAUAAAAAAUAAUAAUAAUAGUAAUAAUAAUUAUCAAUAACUAAAAAUGAGACGGAUGUUACUUUCAUAAGUGGAACUUGGAUUCACAAGCUAAAUAUGAGGUUUUAAUUGGUUGUUAUCAGAAAAAAAUAUAAAGAUAAUUAAUGCCUAAACAUAAACAGCUAUAAUUGUAUAAAUGACUAAUCGAUUACAAUUCGAAUCCACUAUUUUCUUAAUAGUGCGCAGUCAAUUCCAACACAGCACCAGAUUGCAGCGUGUUAGAAAAAAUUUUAGGUAAUCAUAUAUAUGUUUUAAUCAAUAAUGAUAAUAUGUUUACCCAUAUAUAAGAUUUGAAUAGAUAAAAAGUAAUACUCGAGAACCACCAAAGUCCUUUUAACUGCAGACACGCAAUGGUGGAUUACUCGCACAAGUCAAGAGCAAAAUACCAAGUUGUGAAAGAAAAAUAAAAAGGGGAAAACAAAACAAAACGCAGUAUUGAAAAUACCUUCGCCUUUUGGGUUGAUGACAAGGUGGGAACCACAAAUAAUUAAUUGGCUGAUGGUUUGUCAUCGUUAUCCAUAGAGGAUAGUUUUGACCUGCGAAUAUUUUAUUUUGCAUUCGAAACAUGUGCAAAAAAUUAAAAUUACUUCAUGAAUGGUUAGGUGGAGGAUGCUGAUUAAUUACUUGGAAAAAGAUUCCUUUUUACUUUUGUGAUUGUCAGCACUCAGUCUUGUUCCAAAACCAAUACAAAGCUGCAGCAAUCUUGAAAGGAUUUGAGGAACAAAAGAUGGCCCAGAUUGGAAGUUCUCUCCUUGUGCCUUGUGUUCAAGAGUUGGUCAAGAAUCCGGCGUUAGUUGUCCCCGACAGAUACAUACGUCCAGAUCAAGAUUCACCCCUCAUUUCUGAUGAUAUUUUGAUUUCACAGAUACCAGUUAUUGACAUGCAAAGCUUACUUUCUAAAGAAUCAAUGGAUUCUGAGUUAGCCAAGCUCGACUUCGCAUGCAAAGAAUGGGGUUUUUUCCAGGUAUAAUGCUUUAGCAAAGUUAGAAAAUUGUUUCGCCAGAACAUGCUUGUUUGUGAUCAAGAAUCGAGAAAUAUGCAAAUUGUCAAUCAAAUAGGCAAAAUUAAAAUUCAUAUUUAUUUCUUAAACCCACGUAUCAUUGAUGUUAGCAGAUCAUGGUUUCACUUUCCAGUGUUGUCUGUGGCUUAGGACUGCAGCUUGUGAAAAGAAGAACUUGUCUCUGGUUUAUUUAUUAUUGACUUUCUAUAUUGCUUUACCUUUUCUCCCUCCAGGCAUGGUUUAAUUAGCUAUUUCAUUCCUAAAUGUCAAACAGGCAAUAUGUAUUAAAAAGAUUGUCUUGAGAAAUUUCACCUCCUCUGCCUCAAUAGCUUUUGGUACCUUAUGAGAAAUAUGCUUCUGUCAAAAUUUUAAAAGAUAUACUAUAGUAAAUUGUGUAAGACCUCUUAGAAAAUGUACUCAUUUCUGUAGUCAAUGUUGCAAAUUUACUUUAAUUUAAAGACAAUUAGAAGUAACAUUGAGAUUAUUUGCUGUUGUAUGAUUUUUCAAAUUCUAGGUGUGAACAAACCACAAGAACUUUAUGCUCAUUAUAGUUAUUCUAGAAUAACCGAAAUUUCUCCGAUAGAAUGAGUAGAAAACACCUGUGGAAACUAAUUGUUGAGAAGAUUUAAAUGUAACAAAUGCUUUUAGCCAUCUUUAAUGGUAAAUCUUAUCUCUAAAUCAGUCAGAUAAGUUGCAAUCUGUCUUAAUAAAACACCUGGACUAUUGUGCGCUUAGUGGCACGAUUAUUAAAUCUUUGCUGCAUUUCGUUCCUGUAUUUUUUUCAGCUGGUAAAUCAUGGAAUGAGCACAGCAUUUCUAGAGAAAUUAAAGAAAGAGGUUGAGGGAUUCUUCAAUCUCAGCAUGGAAGAAAAGAAAAAAUAUUGGCAGCGUCCAGGAGAUAUGGAAGGAUUUGGACAAGCCUUUGUUGUAUCGGAGGAACAAAAGCUUGAUUGGGCUGACCUUUUCUCCAUGAUGACUCUUCCAGUUCAUCUGAGGAAACCACAUUUAUUUCCUAAGCUCCCUCCUUCCCUCAGGUUCUCUCUCUCUCUCUCUCUGUGUCAAUGUCAUUUUGAUUUGCAAACAAAUAAAGGAUAGUGCAUCUUCUUUUCCUGUAGAGAGACCUUGGAAGUUUACUCAAUGGAAUUAAAAACCCUAGCCGAGAACCUAAUAUCGAAAAUGGGAGAAGUGUUAAAUAUCAAAGAUGAAGAAAUGAUAGAAUUCUUUGAAAAUGGACUGCAAGGAAUGAGGAUGAAUUAUUACCCUCCAUGUCCUCAGCCCGAGAAGGUUAUGGGCCUGUCGCCGCAUUCUGAUGCAGCUGCACUUACCAUUCUGCUACAACUUAAUGAAGUGGAGGGUCUCCAGGUAAAGAAGGAUGGAAAGUGGAUUCCUGUUACCCCACUCCCGGAUGCUUUCAUUGUCAACAUUGGAGACACAUUGGAGGUAAUAAUUAUAAUAAAUUACCUUAACCUGGCAUUUUUAUGCGCUUGCUUAUGUGCUUUAAUAAUUUUUACAUGGCAGAUUAUAACCAAUGGGACAUACCGCAGCAUUGAGCAUCGUGCAGUUGUAAACUCUGUACAGGAAAGACUUUCCGUUGCCACAGUUUACUCAGUGAGAUAUGAUGGUGAAGUGUAUCCUGCCUCCAGUUUGAUCUCUGAAAAAACUCCUCCUUUGUUUAGAAGAGUGAGAAUUGAAGAAUACUUUAGGAGCCGGUAUGCUCGUGAGCUUAGGGGAAAAUCUCAGUUGGAUUCCCUGAGAAUUCAACAUGGUCAAGGCUAGUAUAAGUUUAUUUUGGAUAACUAAAGAGUUUGGUACAAAAACUCUUAAGGACCUUGCUAUUAAGAUUGGCGUGGAACUGAAAAUAAGAAAUAAGUUCUAUGAAUACUGUGGUAUAACCUGCUAUGCUAGGGUCGUUGUGUAGCUCUAUCAUUUGAGAUACUGAAUAGACCAUGUAAGAAUCUUAAGAAUUGCAGACUUAUGCCUGGAAUCUUCCGAUGAUAUAUGGUGGUGCUUAUAUCAGAUCAGUAUCUUUCUUUCUUGAAAUAGAAUUUUUGCAUACCUGACUUGUUUUUAAUGAGAUUUCAAGGACUAUAUGACUUGGUUUCAAAUUUUUAUGAUACAUACAGAUAAUAUUACCACAGAACCAGUGUAGUUUCUGUAUCAGCCGUUAUAGUUUUCAGUUAAUAGUAACAAGUUUUUGAUUUUUAACAAGAAUGUUGUCCUUCCACGUCUUAAAUAUUCCGUUCCAUAACACACAUUGUGACGAAUACAUAACUUGUUACCAUUGACGAAAAAUUUUGCCAUCAAUAGCUGAAAAUAGAUGUUAGUUACACAAGCUGCAAAGCUAUAACUUUGGAUUUCAUAUUCAGAUUGUCCCUCUCAAAGUUGAACUUGGAACUACGGUUGAUGAUCUGCUAUUAUGCUGAGAAAAAUACAAGAUUUUUUUUUUGGUUGUCAUCAGACAAUGUAAAAGAAAUUAGCAUGGGAUCCAAAUUCUUGAGAGUUUGAUAAGGCAAUGCACUAUAUUUUUUUAUAACUCGCAGCAGACAGCAGCACAACAGCAGACUGCAACUGUCAUAUUCACAAAAUAUCUAUGGGCCAACCCUAGACCCGCAAUGGUGGAUUAGUCUCACACAAGGCCACAGCAAAUAAUGACUUGUAGAAAAUAAUACAUUUUCAACAUUUGCUUUGUCAAUAAAAAUCUGUAGCAUUAUUGUUGAGAGAAUUUGUGCAACAAAAAGAAGGCCAAGUUCGGAGGUUCUCUGCCUGUGCCUUGUGUUCAAGAGUUGGCCAAGAAUCCUAUGUUAGCUAUCCCCCCCAGGUACAUACCACCACGCUAAGAUUUAACCACAAUUUCUGAUAAUAAUUUGGAUUCACGGGUAUUGCAGAGCUUGUUUUCUGAAGAGUCAAUGGAUUCUGAGUUGUCCAGGCUCCACUUCGCUAGCAAAGAAUGGGCUUCUUUCCAGGUAAAGUCCUUUGCCAAGUUAUUAUUAUUUUGCUUUUAAAGGAUUUGCUUGGGAUGAGACCUCAUCUACUAAAUACCACCCUUUGUCCCAUAUUGUUACUCGAGCGCAGAUAUCUGCAAAUUGCGAAUUACAUUCACAACCAGCUAAGCUACACCUGCCGUGAGGCACCCAAGUUUGUACUUUUUCAUUUGGACAUGCUUGGUUUGUUAAUAGUAGUCUGGGGUCAAGAAUUAAGAAAUCUGUAUACUCUCAAUCAAAGAGCACAGUCGAUCAAAUUCAGAUUAGAUUAUGUUCCAUUCUUAUAGGUCAAGUAGGCCACAAAUUUGGCCUACUCUGUAUCAAUGCUUUCUUACACUGUAAGUUAGCAAUAAGAAAGCUGUAACAAAAUUUGAGUCUACGUAGUCUUAACCAAGCCGGUUUAAGCACUCUUUUUUUUAAAAAAAAAAACAUUGAGGGAUGUAACUGACCUUGUCCGAUUAUGGACCCAUCUAACUUGCUUUCUUGUAUGGCUGAGAAGAAAAACCUGCAUUCUUGAAAAUUAAAUUGUCUUUAAUAUCUUUCAGAUGUCUAGGCUUGCGGUAGCUUGAGAAGAACUAUAAGCAAAUUUAUGAUGGAGUAUAAUGCAAAUGCGAUUCUAUUAGUUUAUUGAAAUCUAACAAAUACUUUUAUUCAUCGCACUCAGUAAAUUUUGCCUGAAUUAGUCCAAUAAGUUGUACUCUGUCUCAGCAAAAUACCUUGACCAAAAUAAAAAACGUAGUGACACGAUUGUUAAUGUCUUAGCUGUUUUUCUGUUUCUGAAUUGUUUCAGCUGGUAAAUCAUGGAGUGAGCCCUGCAUUUCUAGAGAACGUAAAGAAAGAGAUUCCGGAAUUCUUCAAUCUAAGCAUGAAAAAAAAAAAAUUGGCGGUCUCCAGGAGCUGUGGAAGGAUUUGGACAAGCAUUUGUUGUAUCCGAGGAACAAAAGCUUGAUUGGAAUAACAUUUUCUUCAUGACAACUCUUCCAGUUCAUCUGAGGAAACCCCACUUGUUUCCUAAGCUCCCUCUUUUCCCCCUCAAGUUUCUCUCUCUCUAGGCAGUUAUUUGAUGAUUGCAAAUGUAUUAUGUUCAGAGAAAGAUCCCAAGUCAGUUAUAUUUAGCAAAAUUUGACAACCAAACAUGAUUUUGAAAGAAUACUGCUAAAUAAUAACUUAUUUAACAAUCCACCACAAUCAUGUACUAAACCUUCUAAUUGCGUCUUCUUUUUUCUUGUAGGAAAUUUUGGAAUUUAUUCAGUGGAGUUAAAAAUCUUUGGCCAUGAACCUGGUAUCGAAAAUGGGAAAAGUUUUAAAUAUCAAAGACGAAGAAUUGAGAGAAUACUUUGAAAAUGGUUUCCAAUCAAUGGGGAUGAACUAUUACCCUCCAUGUCCUUAGCCGGAGAAGGUUGUGGGCCUCACAACUCAUUGUGAUGACUCUGCUCUUACCAUUCUGCUGGAAAUCAAUGAAGUAGAAGGCCUCCAGAUCAAGAAGGAUGGAAAGUGGAUUCCUGUUACACCUUUCCCAAAUGCUUUCGUUGUCAACAUUGGAUAUGUGUUGGAGGUAAUUAUUAUGAUAAGUUAUUUUAACUUGACAUUCAUAUGAGCUAGCUAAUGUGUGCUUUCAUUAAUUCAUGUUGCUCCACUUCCUAAUGCUUUCAUUGGAGACACAUUGGAGGUAAUAAUUAUAGUAAAUUACUUAACUUGGCAUUUAUAUGCGCAUGCUCAUGUGCUUUAAUAAUUUUUACAUGGCAGAUUAUAACCAAUGGGACAUACCGUAGCAUUGAGCAUCAUGUAAUUGUAAACUCUGUACAAGGAAGACUUUCCAUUGGCACAGUUUACUCAGUGAGGUAUGAUGGUGAAAUGUACCCUGCGUCCAAUUUGGUCUCUGAAAAUACUCCUUCAUUGUUUAAAAGAGUGAAAGUUGAAGAAUAAUUUCAGGAAUCUGUGUGCUCGUAAGCUUAGGGGAAAAUCUCAUCUGGAUGCCUUGAGAAUUGAACAUGUUCAAGAUUAUUAUAAGUUUAUUUUGGAUAACUAAAGAGUGUAGUACAAAAACCGUGGGGGACCUUGCUAUUACAAUUGUGUGUGGAACUAAAAAUAAGAAAUAAGUGUAAGAACAAUAAAUCCUUUGGUGAAAAUCAUCACCUCAAUUUAGGAACAUGUAUGUUGUAUCACCAAAAAUUAAUAAUAGAAUAUGCGGCAGUGUACCUAAGUUCAUAAUCCACAAUUGCUCUUUAGAGCCGAGUAGUUUGUCUUCCAAAUCAACAUGUUCUCCUAAAGAAUUCUUUAAACUUCUCUAUACUGUCUCUUUAAUGAUGAGAUGUCAAUAGAGAAUAGAACAAUACGUGUGACCUAUGGAUAAUAACUACUUAUAUAUAUAGAUUUUCCUUUUGUUUUUAGGUAUUCUUAUUUCAACCCAUUAUAAAAAUCAAAAUUAGUCUUAAGUCUCUAUACAUUAAAGGCCCACAAUCUAUUAGAUACAUUAAAACACAAAUUACCGAAAACCUUAAUAGACCAAUUUUAAUUUGGCUUAGAGUUAGACUAUUGGCACCCCUCCAAAAUUCUUCUAAAACCCCUUUUUCAAUAAUGCUAAGCUUAAUGCCAAAAAUACCCUUAUUUCUAAAUAAACACAUUUAAUUUGUGAAUCUUUUAAUUUUUAUUAUUUUCUCGCUCCUCACAAACAAAAUUUUAUGGGUGAUAAGUUUCUUGAUAAAAAUCAAUUAAUAAAAUAAAAUAUCUGUAAGAUUAUAAUGUAAAAAGUUUUAUUAUGAGCCUUAAAAAAAGGUAGAUAAUUUUUUCAAAAUGUGUUUUGUUUAUUAUCAAUAGAUUGUCUUAGUAAUUGAAGAAAAAUUUACAGAGAAUUUGAGAAAAAAAUUACAUGUGUGAGUUUGAUGGCAGAGAAAAUACAAGAGCUUUUUUUUUAAGAGAGAAAAUACAAAAGUUUGAAGUGAGAUAAAAUAGAUGUGAGAUAUAUUAGAGUAUUUAUCCUUAAAUGUAAUUGUAAUAGAAGAGGAAGUUUAAAAGGAUUUUGAAGGGGUGUCAAUAGUCCAACUCUUUGGCUUAAUCUUAUAUGACAAUUCACAUCAUAUAAUUAUUCACAUAUAAGCGCAACAUUGGAUCAAGGAUCCAACCAUACUAGAUUAAAGAUCCAACAACCUUUCACUUGGACUAUAUAUAUAACUUUGUAAUUAUACUUUACAAAAAUAACUAUAUGAGGUCAACUUUACUGUCAUUACCAAAAUGCAUCUAUAGCCAAUUCGGUCCAUCUAUCAUACCAACAUAGGAUCAAAACGACCUUUAUUACAAAUAUCGUAACUUGACCCAUCAAUGCUCACUAUGCCAACAUAACUUAAUGACAUAGAUCAUGAUAUGGUGUAGGAUGGAAAUUUUAUGUAAUGUGAUUUCAACAUGCCUAUUUUCAAUUGAUCCACCUUAAACAUUAGUGAGAUCAAAUUAUACAAAAUUAGAGUGUAAAUAAACCAAAAUUUUAUUUCUGUAGAAAAUAGCCUUAAAUAUCCCCAAACCGAAAAAUGUUUAUAUCAUAAAAGCAUUUAAAAGUUACAAACUCCCAUUAAAAAUGAAUAUCAAUAUCCUUUAAUGACAUGUCACCCAUAUGAACAAUGUGCUCAUGAAACAUUUUAAAUGACAUUCCCUUAGUAAACGGAUCUGUAAUCAUGGAGUUUGUACCAUUAUACUUUAUAGACAAUUGUCCACUCUGAAUUCCUUAGGAACUUGAUGUCUAUAUACUGUGACAUCGUUGAGCUCUUAUUGUUAUUGGAAUAUAGCACUGCUGACUUAUUGUCACCAAAUAACUUAAGUGGUCUAUCAUAAGGGUGUCAAAAAAGCCUGCCCGGACCGGACCCGGCCCCCGGACCGCAUGCACAUAAAAACCGGACCCAGGUUUGAAAUUCUCAAACCCGGACAUUUCCGGGCCCGGGUCCGGGUUCAACACCAAAAACCUGGAACCCGGACCGGACCCGGUUUUUUAAUAAAUUUUUUUAAAAAAUAUAUAAAUAUAUAAUUAUGAAUUUAUGAUAUGUUGGAUGUUAUUUAAAUUUAUUGUGUGAUUAUUGUGUUGUUGAAUUUAAUUUAUUUAUUUUAUAUAUAGAUUGAAUGAGUUUAAGUUAGAAAUUGGAUGAAUUUAGGUAUUAGAAAGUGGAUUGAAAUAAUUUUAAUUUAUCAUUUGUGCAAAAUUUGCAUUGUUAGUGUGUUAUAUAUUUGUAUUUGACUAUUUGCUUUUUUAAAGUUUGAGAUUGAAUGAGUUUAUUUGAUUAUUUUCUUUUUUUAAAUUUGCAUUGUUAGAGAAAUGAAAGAAAAAAUUGAAGAAAAAAAUUGAAGUUAUCACAUGCGGGUUUAGAAAGCCCGGAUCAAAACCCGGACCCGGAAGGUGCCGGGCUCAACCCCGGACCGCACCCGAAAAAAUUGGGUUUUAACCCGGGUUCGGUCUUGUAUUUCUCUCAUCCAGUCCCGGGCAACACCAAAACCCGGACCGGACCCAAAUUUUGUCAAGCCUAGUCUAUCAAUACUAUUUAAAAUGAGUAAUUCUAUGACGAAAUUUUGUAGCCAUAUUCCUUGAUUGGAUAUUUCGUAACAUGCUGUGAACUCCGCUGCUAUAGUAGAAAAGGCUAUAAGAGACUGUUUAGCACUCUUUCAGGAAACAACACCCCUAGCCAGUAGCUAGAUGUAACCAAAAGUAGAUUUCAUAUUAUCUUGGGAUCUAACAAAAUCAGAGUUAGCAUAAUGAUCUCAAGCUGAUCUAACUUUCGAUGUAGUCUUUUGUUCUCUGUAAGUAUCGCAAGACCCGUUUGGCUGUUUCCCAAUAGUUUACCCCUGGAUUACUUAAAUAUCUAUCCAACAUUCCAGUAAUGUAUGCAAUAUUCAGUUGCGUACAAACCUAAACAUACAUCAGACUUUCUAUUACUGAUGUAUAAGGAAUCUUCUACAUUUUUUAUUCCUUAAAAUCAUCAUUAGGGCACUAAUUGUGUAACAUCCAUUAUUUUUGUUUUAUUUAUUUAUUUUUUAUUAUUUUACUACUACUACUACUACUACUACUACUACUACUACUACUACUACUACUACUAUUAUUAUUAUUAUUAUAUCUAUUUUAGAGAAUAUAGUAUUUUAGGCUAAUGAUUUUAAGCGUGUUUUAAUUUUUCUUUAUUUAUUUGAUUUACCAAUUUAGUAAAUACCUUAUUAAAAAAGGAAAUAAAUUCCUAAAUAGGUAAGGGUGUUAAAAGGCUUGGCUUUAUAAAAGCUUCUCUUGCGUUGUUUUAUUUCUCAAAAUCAUAGAGGCUGAAUACAACAACACACACAAGAGUAAACCUUUUUUUUUAAGAAGAGAAGUAGAUUUUGAUUGGUUUUUUUCUUUUCCAUAAAGAAAUUCUUGAGUUUUGAAUUUGUUUUGAAGGAUUUAGCCUUCUGGUUUUAUUUGUGAUUUUAUGUGAUUGAUUGAAUGAUUUUGUGUGUAUUACAUUGAUAAAAUUGUGAAAGCAUGAUCAUCUAUUGAUUUAUGUUGUUAUUGAGUGAAAGUGGUGCUAUUAUUUUAUCUUGAAAACAGUGAACAACAUAGAUUCAAUGUUUUAUGACUGCUGUUUUCAUUAAGUCUCAUGCAUAAAAUUUUAUAAUUUAUUAAACUAGACAUCUUUAUCUUUCUAUUUAUAUGUUUAUCGUUCAAAACUCAUUGUAUAUUAAUUUUUUUGAUUUUUCAAAAUUGGAACACUAGUGUUGGAAAAUUCCAAUUUUCAGCAGCAGUUCUCGUUACUAUAAUUUAUUUGGUAACUCAAACGAUUUCUGAAAAUUCUAGGAACGUUUUUCAUUUUACACAUAUAUGUCUAGUUUCUGUAUACUUAAAUUCCUAAUUUUUGGCUUUAUAUAAAAAUAAUUAAAAAUCAUAGAGCUAGGCUACCGUAAUAUUGGAAAUUGUUUUCUAGAAUUGCGAGGGUUGAUAUUGAAGCGAGUUUGGGUUACUUUUUCAUAGUGAAUGCUAGGGGUGGGCAAAAUACCCGACCCGAUCCGACCCGAAAAAAUUCGGGUUCGGGUCGGUUCGGGUUGUUAUUGAAACCCGAACGGGUGAAAAAUUGCAAACCCGAUCGGGUUGUGAUUGGGUCGGGUAAAACCCGAUCCGAUCCGAAUACCCGAUCGGGUCGCACAAAAAAAAAAUCACUAAACCUAUAAACACAUCACACAUGCACACACCAGACACCAGACACCACACACAUGGCCAUGCAAAGUUACAACUCAAAAAGUCACAAAAACAAGUGGCUAAAAAAAUAUUGACAAAUAAAAAACAAAAUAUAAUUAUAACCCACGCACACAGGCCACAGCCACACACAAACAUUGAAACAUAUCUUCGCUGCCUUCACAGCCCUCAUCCCCACAGCCCUCAUCCUUACACUCACAACUUCACACACACACACAAAUAUCGCAAAAGCCAAAAGCAAAGCGGCAGCUAGCAGCCAACGCAGAGAAGAGAACGGAGGAAGCGCAGCCAGUGCAUGCAGCCACCUAACCCGUGACUGGAUCUACUGCUCCGCGACAUCCGUAGCUACCAGAUCUGCUGUUGCCGGAUAUCUACAGGAUCUGUUGCUGUUGGAUCCGCUGCGCUGCUAUCGGAUCUGCUGCUGCAGCCUCCACCAUCACCGAGUUCCACCGCGAAGGUGCGAACCGGCAACUCGAAUUCUUUUCUUUUUUUGAUGUUUUGAUGGGAUAUAAUAAUAUAUUAUAUAUUAUCUGUUAAUUGCUAAGUAUAUGUAUUGUUAAAUGUUAAUAAUAAAAUGAGGGAAAUUCUUGUAUGGAAAAUUUUGGAGUUUAAUUUAUUAAGUCUGUGGAAGCUUAAAUAAUAAGUAUGAAUUGAUUUCUUUUUUUUUGUUUUGUUUUUAAUGAAUAGAUUAAGCAAAUUAAGCAUUAAAAUUAAAUAUUUUGCAUUUGAUCUGUGCAAUGUUUCACCCGAUCCGAAUUAACCCGAAUUUAACCCAAUUAUUUGACCCGAUCCGAUCCGAUCCGAAUAUAUUCGGAUCGGGUUACAACUUCGGGUUGAGUUCGGAUGAAUUCUUUUCUAACCCGAUCAACCCGAAAUCCAAUCGGGUUGAUCCGAACCCGACCCGAACCCAAAAAUGCCCACCCCUAGUGAAUGCCUUAUAAAUUUAACUUUUAUAUUCAAUGCAAACGUGUUCACAAUAGUUUUUUGUAAUAUUUUUGAUUUUUCUGACAUAAUUAUAGCUUGUUAGAAAUUAACUCUUACAAGAUGGUCGAGUGUAGUUUAGUGAAUUGAUGUGCUUUAGUAAGAGUAAAUGGUUUAAGGAUAUUUUGGCUUUCUUAUCAACGUCAAAAUUGAAAAAAAAAAUUGAUAAGAAUCUUAUCUUGAUAAUUAUAGGCCAAGAACGAGCUCGUGUGAUUGGGGUUAUUGUUGAUUGCUUCGUAUUGAGUUAAGUGAACUCAUGCAUAAUGUUUAUUAUAGUUAUAUAUGUAAAUAUCUAGAAAAGAAUAAUGUUAUUCAUAUAAAUUGACAUUUUAUGGUUUUGAAGUUAUUUUACUCUUAUAUUUUAUGAUAAUAAAUAAUGUUUUGAUUAAAACUUUAUUUAAAAUAUUUUCUUAAACUAUUUAAAAAAUAACUUUAAAAUAAUUGUCUUUCCAUAAAUUGGUCUUCCUUAAAAAUAUUUGUUAAGCUUGCCAAUUCAAUGUCUUAUAAGAGCAUUUUAUCAUAAUAUUACUGAAUGAUUGAUAUUGAAAGACUGAAAUUGUAUUUAAGAUUUUGGCUCAUUAACCGUAGUUAUUGUUGCUGAUAUAACCGAACAUUUAACUAUAUUGUGCGCACCUAUUGACGAUUAUAGUUGGGUAACGUACCCUAAUUGAACUACUAACCGAGUCAUCGGGGUUAUAGGUGACUUACUAAACUAAUACCGGGUCAUUAGGGUUAUAGGUGACUUAUUGAACCACUGGCCGGGUCACCGGAAGUACAGGCGACACUAUAUGACAUGAGCAAUUGAAUAAAUGAAUGGUUAUAUUGAUAAAUGAUUUCCGAAAUGAUUAUUUAUUAAAAAUGGUUAUUACAUUAUGAUUUAACUAAUUAUAAGUUUUAAUGUACACUUAUGGUACUUUAUAAUGAUUGUUUUGUAUUUUAUCGUUAUUAGUAACCUUAUGCAUGAGUUAGUGUUGAGUGUUAGAAAAUGCAUAUUUAUAAAGGAGAAAAUUGUCAUUUUACAUUUCACGUCUUACUAACAGCCCUUACUUUUAUGUAUUUAAGCUUCUUGUAAUUUAAUUAUGUGUGUUUUAUUUUAAUUAAGUAUUUUAUGUAUUUUAGGGGCAUCAUGGUCAUUUCACAAUAAACGAGAGAUCAGACGGCAAAAUGGACAUCACUUUUGAACUCAGGACGGUUGAAAACCUUAGGAGGAGCAUAAAAGGAAAAAUGACACUGUUCACAUGUACGGUACUGUCUAUGUUACUAUUCACGACACUGUUCACAUAGACGGAUCGAUGAUGUGGCAUUGACCGAUGAUGUGGCAUUGACUGAUGAGGUGUCACGAUCCUGUUGGACUAAAAUUCUUAUGCACUGUUGAUCGAUGACGUGGCAGCAUAUCAGUGGACCAAAAAUCUCGCGUACGGUACAUGCAUUAUAUAGGAUUAUUUUCAACCAAACUGAGUCACUGUUCAACUCGGGGCAAACCGUGUUACUGUUCAUCCAAGUGGUCAAACCGCAUACUGUUGACUGGUAACGUGGCGCAAUCCUGAGCGUCCAAACUGUUUUUAAUCCGAUGGCCACGAUUUACUUAAUGUAUCUACAAAAAGGGGGCCUCCCCUCUAAUUUGAUACCUCUGAAUCCAUUUUUUGGAUCCAUUUUCUAUAAUUCCUUCUCCAUCUUGUAUUUUCUACGUAUUUUAAUAAAUUUCUAUUUUGCCCCUAGUUCAAUUAUGAGUAACUAAUUUUCUUUCAAGCUUGGGUUGAAGGUGAAGUCUCAACAUGUGUCAUGGGCUUUAUUUGGUAAAUUUAUUUUCUCUUCCCCUCUAGUUUUUGUGGAUGUUUUGACUUCUCGUCGAUAAAUAAUAAUAAUAUUAUUUAGUACCGCCUUGGUUUCACCGGCUCCCUAAUACAAAGUUAUUGUUAUUUGGCACGAUAAGCCCUUAGCACCAUAUUGAUUAGAGCGUAGUUCAUGAGGUGUGAAUUCCCCCCUCAUGAUUUAAUUGGUAUUAAUAAGGAAUAUUUAGCCCAUGGUGCAUUUGAUAUGAAUUCAAAUACCCAAGUACGUCAAUUUAAUAGAUUUUCACUUUAAUUUCUUCUCGUCAUUUCAAUUCCAAUUUUUAGGAUAAUUUAAAUCACUUCCACCACAAAUCCAACCACCUCAUACAAAAUUAAUUCUAUAUAUAAUUAAAAUCCACCUCCUCGUGAGAUCGACACUCGUCACUAUUAGUCUAUUAUACAAUAGAUUCGUAAGCUUGCGAGUUCAAUAAAAUUUGCACAACAAGUUUUUGGCGCCGUUACUGGGGAGGUAAGUUAUUUUAAUUUGUAGAAUUAAUUUUUGUCAAUAAUUUCUUUUAUUUGUUUUCUUUUUUUUUCUUAUUAAAAAAAAGGGAAAAAAGAGAGUGAAUUUGCAUUUAGAGAUUAGUAUUUCUUUUCUUUUUCUCUUCUUUAAAAUUCUGUAAUUUAAUUUUCAAGUUAUUUUUUUCUUCUUUGUAAUUUUUGUUUAUCUUACUAAUUUUUUAAGUUAAUUUAUUUCACGUAUUUUUUUGUGUGUAUUUUUAUAGUAAGGUUGUAAUAGCGCGAUAAGGUUAGUAUCGUAAUUUCUCCCUCUUCUUUAUUUUUAUUUGUUUUGUUCCCAUCUUUAUUUUUAUUUUAUUUGUUUUACAUGCAUAGUCGAAGAUCAUUAUUACCUAAUCUUAAACCUAUAGACCUGGAACUAGAAAAAAUACUUCGCACACACAAGCACGUUAAAAAUAAAUUUGGAAUGGAUUUACAAGUACCACAAGAGAGGCCAUUUAAGGACUAUUUUAGUCCUUUAGCUAAUUUGAGCACAUCAUGUAUAAGAUACUCAAAUGUAGCUGCUACGAGUUUUGAACUAAGACCUAGUCUGCUAAAUUGUCUCCCAACAUUCUAUGGCCUAGAAAAUGAGGACCUUUAUAAUUAUUUGAAUGAUUUUCAUACUAUUUGUCAAACAUUUAAAUAUGAGAAUUUUUCAUAUGAUGAUGUAAAACUUAGACUAAUCCCAUUUUCUUUAAAGGAUAGAGCUCGUUCAUGGUUUAAUAUAUUGCCUGCUAAUACCAUUUCAUCAUGGGAACAAAUGGUAACGAAAUUUUUAAAUAAAUAUUUCCCAGUGCAUAAAACUAAUGCUAUUCGCAGGGAAAUUUCAAAGUUUACCCAUAGAGAAGAUGAGCAGUUUUUCGAAACAUGGCAGUAAUUUAAUGGGCUACUCUUGAAGUGUCCACAUCAUGGGUACGAGAAAUGACACCAAUGCCAAUACUUUUUGGAGGGAUUAUUGCUGAAUGUGUAAGAAUGACUAAUGGCAACAAGUGGAGGAGAGCUAAUGUCAAAAAGUGCAUCAGAGAUUUGGGAAUUCUUCUAGCGACAAGUGGAUAAUUCCCAACAACGGAGUCGAUCACUCAGGAAUACUAGAAGAAUUAAGGGAGUGAAUGAGGUUCACAUUGACGAGUCAACUUCAGGAAUCAAAGAAGUCAAGGAGAUGGUUGAAGGUAUCGCUCGACAAAUAGCAUCAUUAUCGACUGCUAAAUCAACAGAGCCACAUGACCAUGACUCAUACUCAGAUCAAGCCAAUACCAUAGGUGUAAUGAGAAGCCAUCAAAUUACAACCCAUACUCCAACACAUAUAACCCAGGAUGGAGAGACCACCCCAAUUUUUUAUGGUCUCAAGGAUUCCAACAGAAUGAAGCAGCAGCUCCAGCUCCACCAAUGCAACGAAUUCCUCAAGUUCCUCAAGCCUCUCAGCCACCAUUUAGACCAUACAAUCAGAACCAGAACUACUCUCAACCCAGACCAUGGGAGGAUGCAUUCCAGAAUUUCAAGAAUGUUACUCACUCUACGAUUGAGCAACAGAACCGCACCAUUGAUAGACUACGAAAUGAGUUGAGAGCAGGUUUCAACUCACAAGCCCAAUCAGUUUCAAGCCUUGAGAAGAUGGUGGGACAACUUGUUUCUUCAGUUCAGACCUUGGCAAUGACCGUUGAGAAAGGUAAAUUUCCAAGUCAACCAGUGCCUAAUCCUAAAGGAGUACAUGAUGCAAGUACUAGUUCACCACAGCAGCAUGGAGAGGUAAAAGUUGUCAUGACUUUGUGAAAAGAAAAAGAAGUCGACAACAAAGUGGAGAUGUAGGUGAUAAAAGAAAAUCAAAUUGUACCUGUAAAUGUUGAGGACUCAUCACCGGAGGAGAAAGAAGAAACGAACCUACGAGAAUAUGUUCCUAAAUCUCCAUUUCCUCAGAGGUUAGUAAAAGGAAAAAAGGAAAAAUUCACAGGUGAGAUUCUUGAAAUCUUCAAACAGGUAAGUGUUAACAUCCCUUUGUUUGACGCUAUAAAACAAGUUCCAUCUUAUGCUAAGUUUCUUAAAGACCUUUGUAUUAAAAAGAGAAACAUUCAUGUUCAAAAGAAGGCAUUUUUGACAGAAAACGUUAGUUCUAUACUCCAACAUAAAAUUCCUCUAAAAUGCAAAGACCCAGGCUCCCCCACUAUCUCAUGUAGUAUAGGGAACCACACAAUUGAAAAUGCUUUGUUGGAUUUAGGAGCUAGUGUAAAUCUGUUGCCUUAUUCAGUUUUCGUGAAACUUGGAUUGAGAGAAUUACACCCAACUCCAGUGGUGUUGCAGCUUGCAGAUCGGUCCACGAAAAUACCUCGUGGCAUUAUGGAAGACGUGCUUAUCCAGGUAGACAAGUUUUAUUUUUCUGUUGAUUUCAUUGUAAUUGACACUCAACCAAUUCAGGAUUCAAGGAAGCACAUCCUCAUUAUUCUAGGCCGACCUUUCUUGGCAACUGCAGAUGCUCACAUUCAAUGCAGGACUAGAAAUAUGCAGUUGUCCUUCGGCAACAUGACUAUGGAGCUGAACAUCUUCAACAUUGCCAAAUAGCCUCACAAUGCAGAUGAUAAAAUUGUUGAUGCAGAUUUAAUAGAAACAUUAGUUGAUAAUACCUUUGUUUCAAACCUUAGUGAUGACCCUUUACAAACAUGUUUAACUCAUUUUGGUUUAGAUUUUGAUAUUGACAGAUCAGUCGAUGAGGUCAACGCCCUACUUGACUCAGCACCAUCCAUGGAUACCAAUAAAUGGAAGUCAAGAGUUGAGCAACUAGCACCAUCAGGGAAGAAACUCAUCCCAUCAUUAGAAUCACCACCAAAACUCGAGCUCAAACCAUUACCCAACACUCUGGAAUAUGCAUUUUUGGGAGAAGAAAGUACUCUGCCAGUAAUCAUCUCAUCAUCCCUAAAUGACGAACAAAAAAGUAAGUUGUUGGAUGUUUUAAAAUAGCACAAAGGAGCAUUAGGAUGGACCAUAGCAGACAUAAAAGGUAUAAACCCAGUAGACUGCAUGCAUUACAUUCACCUCGAUGAAAAUGCUAAACCUACUAGGGCUCCUAAUAUGAAAAAAGUUGUUAGAACAGAAGUCCUUAAGCUAUUAGACGCAUGUAUUAUUUAUCCAAUUUCUGAUAGCUCAUGAGUCAGUCCUGUACAAGUUGUCCCUAAAAAGUCAGGAGUCACAGUAGCUACGAAUGCUGAUAAUGAAUUGAUACCCACUAGAGUGACUACAGGAUGGCGUGUAUGUAUUGAUUAUAGAAGUUAAAUUCUGUCACACGUAAAAACCAUUUUCCUUUACCAUUUAUUGAUCAAAUGCUUGAUAGAUUAGCAGACCAUGAAUUUUAUUGCUUUCUAGAUGGCUACUCAGGAUAUAAUCAGAUUACCAUAGCACCAAAAGAUCAAGAGAAUACCACUUUCACUUGCCCUUUUGGCACUUUUGCAUAUAUGAGAAUGCCAUUUAGAUUAUGUAAUGCACCUGCUACAUUUCAACGAUGCAUGUUAAGUAUUUUUUCUGAUAUGCUUGAAUGAUUUCUUGAAGUCUUUAUGGAUGACUUUUCUAUCUUUGGUGACUCGUUUGAUCAAUGUUUACAUCAUUUAACGCUAGUUAUGUAGAAAUAUAUCGAGAAUAACUUGGUCUUAAAUUGAGAGAAGUGUCAUUUUAUGAUAAAACAAUGUAUUGUUCUCGGUUACAUCAUUUCGAGCAAAGGUAUUGAGAUUGACAAAACAAAGGUGGAUCUUAUUUCUAAUCUUCCUCCAUCUAAAACAAUCAGAGAAGUAAGAUCUUUCCUUGGGCAUGCUGGUUUUUAUAGACGUUUCAUUAAAGAUUUUAGCAAAGUUUCUAGACCCUUAUGCAAUCUACUUGCUAAGGAUGUACCUUUUGUCUUUAAUGAUUCAUGUCUUGUGGCGUUUGAAAAACUAAAGCAGUUGUUGACAUCAUCACCCAUCAUUCAGCCCCCAAACUGGAGCUUACAAUUUGAACUCAUGUGUGAUGCAUCUGAUUAUGCAGUAGGAGCAGUAUUAGGACAAAGAGUUGAUCGAAUUUCCCAUGUUAUUUACUAUGCUAGUAUGACAUUGAAUAAUGCACAGUUGAACUAUCCAACUACUGAAAAAGAAAUGCUAGCAGUAGUGUUUGCAUUUGAAAAAUUUCGAUCUUAUCUCAUUGAUUGUAAAAUAAUUAUAUUCACAGAUCAUGCUGCUCUUAAAUAUCUUCUCAUAAAGAAAGAUGCAAAAGUUAGACUAAUUCGUUGGGUGUUACUUUUGCAGGAAUUUGACUUGGAAUUCAAAGAUAAGAAAAGCAUAGAAAAUGUUGUGGCAGACCAUCUCUCUCGUCUCUAUUUUGACACAAUUACAGAGCCUUUAACAUUGAAAGAGUCAUUUCCAAAUAAACAAUUAAUGAGUGUGGAAGUAUUACCUUGGUAUGCUGAUAUCGUUAAUUAUCUUAUUACAGGUCAACUUCCAGAGCAUUGGACUAAGCAAGAUAAGGCUAAAUUCUUUGUAGAAAUAAAGAAUUUCUUUUGGGAUGACCCUUAUUUGUUCAAGUAUUGUGCAAAUCAAAUUAUUAGACGAUGUGUCCCAGAAAAUGAAAUUCAGAAUAUCCUUUCAUUCUGCCAUGAACAAGCUUGUGGAGGCCAUUUCAGUACUAAGAAAACAACGACUAAAGUUUUACAAUAUGGUUUCUAUUGGCCAACUAUAUUUCGAUAUGCUUACACUUUCUGUUCUUCAUGUGAUAGGUGUCAACGAAUGGGGAGCAUUACACGAAGGAACAUGAUGCCACUAAAUCCAAUUUUAGUGGUUGAGAUUUUUUACGUAUGGGGUAUCGACUUCAUGGGACCCUUUCCCCCUUCUUUUGGCCAUCAAUACAUAUUGGUUGCUAUUGACUAUGUAUCGAAAUGGGUAAAAGCAAUUCUAUGUAGAACCAAUGGUCACAAGGUGGUGAUAGGAUUUUUGAAAAGCAACAUUGUUUCGCGCUUUGGAUUCCCUCGAGCAAUAAUCAGUGAUGGUUGUGCCCACUUUUGUAACAAAGCAUUCAAAACUCUUUUGACAAAGUAUUCAAUCACUCACAAAGUGGCAACUCUAUAUCAUUCGUAAACUAGUGGCCAAGUUGAGAUCUCUAAUCGAGAAAUAAAGCACAUAUUAGAAAAGAUGGUAAAGUCAGACAGAACAGAUUGGUCAUUAAGACUUGAUGAUGCAUUAUGGGCAUAUAGAACGGCUUUCAAGACCCCGAUUGGGAUGUCACCCUACAGGCUAGUGUAUGGAAAAGCUUGCCACCUACCUGUGGAACUAGAGCAUCGUGCAUAUUGGGCCAUCAAGAAACAACUUUGACAUGCAGCAAGCCAGCUCAGAAAGAAGAUUACAACUGGCCGAACUUGAAGAAAUUCGCAAUGAUGCAUACGAAAAUGCCAAGAUUUACAAGCAACGAAUGAAAGUCUUUCACGACAAGCAAAUUAUGAGAAAAACUUUUACUCUAGGUCAGAAAGUGCUUUUAUUUAAUUCUCGCUUGCACUUAUUCCCAGGUAAGUUACGCUCUUGAUGGUCUGACCCCUUUAUUGUUCAUACUGUUUUUCCACAUAGGGCAAUUGAAAUUAAGGACCCAAAGAACGGUGUCAUGUUUAAAGUUAAUGGUCAAAGAUUAAAGCCAUAUCUAGAGUACCAACCACAUGGAGAAGACACCGAAAUAAAUUUGAAUGACCCACCAGAUUUGAAUUGAUUUUUUUUCUUUUCGGUGAUUUGAUUUUUUUCUUUCUUUCUUUAUAUUAUUCUUUUGCUAUUUGGAAUUAUUUUUGCAUAAGUGUGUUUGUUUAACCAUUAAGUUUUUUUUUCUUAUCAUUAUUAAUCAUGAGUACUAUACUUAAACUAUUUCUCCUGAACAUUCUUAAACCACUUCAACGUGUAAAAUCUCAUCUCAAAAGACAAAUUUGAUUUUGUAAGGCACAUCGUAUUUGGGCUCUGCAACCACCAGAGUUAGUAUCCUAUGUUGAGGGUUUAGAAAGCCAACUCAAAGACAUUGAGAGAAGUGUUUACGACAUCCAGUUGGAGCUUGAGGUAAAUUCAAUAAGAGGAUGAUUUUAAUUUUCUUUGUGUGUUUUAAUUUAUUUUUUUGUUUGUGUGCUUUAGUUUGUUACCCCGGUGAAGUGACGGAUAACGGUACUCCGUGACAAUCAAGUCGGUUACUUCAGUUUUCCCAUAAUAACUGAUAUUCUGAGGCGAAUGUAUGGACAGAAAUGAAAUUCUAGCGAAGCUUCACAAGCGAUUCCCUUCACUUCCUCAGAAUGCCCUCCGUACAAUCUAUAAAGCCCGGUCCGAACGCAUGCGAUUGCUCAUGAGGAAUAACAUACCUGCUGACAUCCGUUGGUUAAUCGAGGCUAAAGUACGAUUGGCAGGUGAGUUACCUCCAAAAUUUAUUGCAUACAUGCCUGGGUGUGGUAAAGGAAAUUUUGCAAGAAAAUGACGAGCUCGAAGAAUUUCUGUUGCUUGUCAUAAGUGUACCAGAAUGAGUUGCGAUAAAAACCCAUGUUAUUUAGGAAUGGUGUCUGAUAACAGGGAAGAUAAGAUUCAAUUCAUUAGGGAUGGCUUAAAAAAGGAGUCAUUGGAUGAUAUCCUUCUAUCUCUUGAAACGCAUCCCAGUGGAUAUGUGCAAGGAGCGAUUCUCCAGUUAUGACCAUUAUUCCAGAAAGAGCAUGUAUGAUAUAGUCUCGGGAAUCUAACUAUAAAUGACCCUGUUUGCCAGUUUAUAAGAAAACUGGAUGGGAAGCACAUCCUCGACCCAUAGAGGGCGUUCAAGCCAUUUCUGGACGUAAAACCAGAGGAAGAUGUGUGCCACAGUCGCAACUACAUGUAAAUAUCCUUUUACUUCACUGUUAUUUUAUUUCACUGUUAUUUUAUCUUUUCCAUUAUUGUCUUUAAUAAUUUUAUUUUAUCAUUAUUUCUUUUUCUUUUUACUAUUUCCUUUUUUACUCGCGAUCCAUGUGCUUUACGCGGUAUUUGACACUGACAUGCCACCUCAUACACAGUUAUGACCCACUGUCACCAAGAUUCUUAAAUAUGACUUUUUUUUAAGCACUCACAAAUUAUUUUUGAGAAAUAUUCCAAUAGCAGCUAUCCCAAUAGACAAUUCAAGAACAUUUGUGUGCUUUCUGGAUUUACCUAUGGCAAACAUAAAGAGUUCAUUGAUGCAGCCAUAGAUCUUAGUUGAAGUAUAGAAGAGAGAAAAUUACACUUGGUGUAUGGAGGAGGUAACCGAGGGUUAUCAAAAUUGGUCUCAGAAGCUGCUUUUGUCAGAGGAAGCCAAGUGUUAGGCAUCAUUCCAAGAGCCCUAAACCUUUUGGGUAGUUUGUCUGACUCAUCGACUGGAGAAGAGCUAGUCGUCUCAGGUAUGCAAGAAAGAAUAACUGAAAUGCUUAAUCAUGUUGAUGUUUUUAUUUUCCUUCCAGGAGAUCUUGCAACACUAGAGGCAUUUAUCACGCUAGCAUCUUAGGCCCAUUUGCACAUUCACCAGAAACCCAUCGGUUUGUUAAAUGUCAAUAAUUUUUAUGAUGGCUUCAUCGCAUUUCUUAACCAUGCAAUAAAAAACUAUUUCAUUCCUUCCAAUGCGAAAAAGCUUUUUAUUUGUGCUCACACUGCUAAUGAGCUACUUGAUAUGUUAAAAGCUUAUAAACCGGAGCCAGACCCCUGGACCUUGUGUUGGAGCGUCCAAAUAAUGACGGUAACAGUAGCUGCAGUAAGAAGUACAAAUUAGAUUUAACUCUUCGCUUGUAAAUAUUUUCUUCUGUGUUGCACCACCCAGGUGAUGUCUUCUAAACUCUACUUCUUUCCUUUAAAACAUUGAGGACAAUGUUUUGUUCUGGUUGGGGUGAGGGAAUAGUCGACAAUUGUGGAAUUUUGGUUAAGUUUUUACUAAUUUUUUGUUGUAGAAACUAAGGUGGUGUUUGUUUUUUUAUCUGAAAUCUGAAUAGACCUGAAUGUCUGAAUCUGAAUAAUAUGUUUAUUUUUUCGUCUGAAUCUCGAAAAAUAAGUAUUAAGUUGUUUGUUUUUUUCAACUUAAAAAGUUGAAAAUAUGUACUUUUACAUUUGUAUCCUUAUUAAUUUUGAAUGUCAAAUAAAUAAUAUAUUAAAUACCACAAUAUUUUAACAUUUAUAAGUAAAACUAUAUUCAAGUGAAUACAUAAUUAUUUUAGAAUUUUAAUAUAUAAAAUACCAUAAAUUUCAAAUUUUAUCAUAUAUAAUAUAAGAAAGAAAAAAUAUGAAUAUUUUUAUAUGGGGUAAAUAUCUAUAGGUGAGUUUUGGGAUAGACAUGAAAAAUAAAUUAUAAAACAGGGAUAUUUUUUACAUUAGCAAGUAAUUGACUUAAUUCAGAUUUCUCCAUUAAGUAAAAGGCUAAAAAAAUUAGGUUAUUUUAUUAAGUCAAAAUUAUCUAAAAAGUCUCAUUAAGUUAUAAAAACAAACACCUCUAAUUAACUUAAUUAAUUAAGUUAAGUCACUUUAAGUCAUUAAGUUAAAAAAACAAACGCCACCUAACUAUUGCUAACUUUUUGUGUUGAAGAUGGCUGAAUAUGGAGUGUAGUGACUCUACAAACGCAUCUUCAUCGUUUAAAAAAAAAAAAAUUAGACAUUUUCUUUUUCUUUAUUAUGUUUUGAUAUUCAUUUUUCUUUUUCUUUUUAAUUUCUCCUUUAUAAAUAUACAUUUUCAAUUUUUUUUUUGAGUCGAAGAUGGCUGAAUAGGGAGUAUAGUGCCUCUAGAAACGCAUCUUCUCAAGUUAAAAAAAAAAUCAUUUUCGUUUUCUAUCAUUUUCUAAUUAGUUUUUCUGCAUCAUUUUCACAUUUCUGCAUGUAUAUUUUCGUUUCAUGUUUAGAAUAGGUUGGGGGGUAGGAUGUUGUUUAAAAAAAAAUUUUUUGUGAUUUGUUUUAACAUUGGAUGACAUGAUGAAUUUUAAAUUUUAGUAUUUGUAUUAUCUUUAGUCUGAAGUGAUGUUACGCUAUGUUUGCUACUCUACAUGUUGAUGUCGGAGACAAAUAUGAAUUGCUUGAAGGAAUGAACAUGUCAUAUUAGCCAAUAUCUUACAAGUUUCAUCACCUAUUUAUAUUUGAGAAAAAUGUAAAUAAAUAUUUUGUAUAGUGAAGUUAUGCCCAACAAAAGCAAACAAAAAAAAAUUGUUGUUUCAAAAAAAAGAAAAAAAUGACAAUAAUAUGUGAAAUCCACCUUGCAACUUAAAAAAAAAAAACAAAAAAAAAAUUUCUCUGCAUUUUUCUCAAACAUACACUUUGUUUUCCUUAUUUCCUUUCUUUGUUAACCAUGUCCCUAACCUACGUUACGUCCUAAUCAAAGUCCUUCUUGAUUUUAGGGAACUAUAAUAUGAAGUAGAAGCUAGUUAUAUGGGCUAAAAAGAUGUAGUGGUGCAUUAAAAAAAUAAUAAAUAAAAAGAAAUAAAUUGGGUUGACUAGUAUUUUUAUUUGACUUGAGAUCGUAUUAUUUCUAAGUUGCGGGCAUAUUUCUUUCAUCUUAGUGAGAGCAUGUGAUAUCACUUCUUUAUUAUUUUCUCUCAAUUACCAUUCAUUGGAGUGACUAUUUUUAUUGGGUUUAAUUUCUUUGUGAGAGUGUCACUACUUCUAGUGAGAUUUUGGGGUUUGACAUGUCAUUCUUGAAAGUAGCUGUGACAAAGUCUACUGGGCUGAUUCAUGUGGAUGGUUGAUGUGGGUGUGAUGUUUCUUUAGACUUGAGAUAAUGCUUAUACUUUUAUUUGAUUGUUAUCAUUAGUUUGAUUGAAUAAACAAGAGUGUUUAAAAAAAAAAAUCAUUUUGGAUUUGAAUUUUGUUUUCGCUUUAUUUGCUAGGGACUAGCAAUAAGCUGGUUGGGGGGUGUGUUGAGUGUUAGAAAAUGCAUAUUUAUAAAGGAGAAAAUCGUCAUUUUAUAUUUCACGUCUUACAAACAACGCUUACUUUUAUGUAUUUAAGCUUCUUGUAAUUUAAUUAUGUGUGUUUUAUUUUAAUUAAGUAUUUUAUGUAUUUUAGGGGCAUUAUGAUCAUUUUAUAAUAAACGAGAGAUCAGACGGCAAAACGGACAUCACUUUUGAACUCAGGACGGUCGAAAACCUUAGGAAGAGCAUAAAAGGAAAAAUAGCAUUGUUCACAUGUACGGUACUAUUCACAUGUACGGUACUAUCUACGUUACUGUUCACGACACUAUUUACAUAGACGGAUCGAUGAUGUGGCAUUGACCGAUGAUAUGGUAUUGACUGAUGAGUGUCACGAUCUUGUUGGACUAAAAUUCUUAUGCACUAUUUAUCGAUGACGUGGCAGCAUAUCAGUGGACCAAAAAUCUCGCGUACGGUACAUGCAUUAAACAGGAUUAUUUUCAACCAAACUGCGUCACUAUUCAAUCCGGGUCAAACCAUGUUACUGUUCAUCUGCGUGGCCAAACCGCGUACUGUUGACUGAUGACGUGGCGCAAUCCUGAGCGUCCAAACUGUUUUUAAUCUGAUGGCCACGAUUUACUCAAUGUAUCUAUAACAAGGGGGCCUCCUCCCCCUAAUUUGAUACCUUUGAAUCUAUUUUUGGGAUCCAUUUUCUGUAAUUCCUUCUCCAUCUUGUAUUUUCUACAUAUUUUAAUAAAUUCCCAUUUUACCCCUAGUUCAAUUAUGAGUAGCUAAUUUUCUUUCAAGCUUGGGUUGAAGGUGAAGUCUCAACAUGUGUCUUGGGCUUUAUUUAGUAAAUUUAUUUUCUCUUCCCCUCUAGUUUUUGUGGAUGUUUUGACUUCUCGUCGACAAAUAAUAAUAAUCUUGUUUAGUACCGCCUUGGUUUCACCGGCUCCCUAAUACAAGGUUAUUAUUAUUUGGCAUGAUAAACCCUUAGCAUCAUAUUGAUUAGAGCGUGGUUCAUGAGGUGUGGAUUCCCCCCUCAUGAUUUAAUUGGUAUUAAUAAGGAAUAGUUAGCCCAUGGUGCAUGUUGAUACGGAUCCAGAUACCCAAGUACGUCAAUUUAAUAGAUUUUCACUUUAAUUUCUUCUCGCCAUUUCAAUUCCAAUUUUUAGGAUAAUUUAAAUCACUUCCACCACAAAUCCAACCACCUCAUACAAAAUUAAUUCUACAUAUAAUUAAAAUCCACCUCCUUGUGGGAUCGACACUCGUCACCAUUAGUCUAUUCUAUAAUAGAUUCGUGCGCUUGCAAGUUCAAUAAAAUUUGCACAAUAGUUAGCUUAUCGAAUUAACAGCUCACUUAUCAUCUUCAAUAUUUUGCAGAUUGAUUUUAGAGAUGUGGGUUUUUUGGUCUAAAGAAGAGGAUUUGUUAGGUCAGAAACUUUGGUGUUUUCUAAAUGAAUAAGUUGUUGCUACUUUGGUUAUUGUUUAGACUUGAAUUUUUGUUUUAGAGAAUUAUUGUUAUAUUUAUUAUUUUAGAGACUAUGUUUCGACUAUAGCUAUUUUCGUUUAGGAAUAGCAAUAAGAUUAAUGUUAAGAGGUUUCGUUCUAAAUUUCUCUUGGGAUUCUUAAGUGAAUUUGGAGUGUUAUAUUUUUGGUAUCAGAGAAAAUGGUUAUAAGAUUCUGUAGACAUUUAAGGUCAAUGACCAAUAGCUUAGGAUUGAAAUCCUAUAGAGGUCUUGCACACUUUUAAGACUGUAGUGAUUUAUGAUAGGUAAAAUACAGAGCUGAUUAUAGGUAUGUCCAAAAAUUUAUUUUCAUUGAUGGAUUUGUACGAAUAAUUUCAAUGUUUCACAGUUUUGCUCUUGUUAAAGAGUUUGACUUUUAAGUUAUUGAUUUAUUCAUAUGUUUAUAGGUAUAUGAUUUUAUCUGUAAUUUGAAAAAAAAUGCAAUGUUCAAUUUUUCUACUUGUAUAUGCUUAAUGACCAACAAAAUAAUGCCUCCUAGCAAUGAUACUAGUUGAACCCUACCAUAUGAGAGUGAUAGAGUAGCUCGAGGGUAAUUGGUCCUUGGAUUAGGGUUGAUCCUGGUACUGCCUAAUGUAUUACAGUGGUGGUUGAGGUUGAGACGAGUAAUCUAUAGGGAGUAGUUAAGCAGAAAGCCCCACCCUUCAUGAAAUGGCUUAAAAUGCUAACCUGACAAUGCAGAUGUUAUUUUGAGAACGGAUUGAUUAGUAACCUAUCAUGCUAGUGUUGGGUAUUUCUCAAAGGAGAUUUUAUUUAAAAUUUUGGAGAUAUAGAAUUUCAGUUUAAAGGCAACCAAAAAAAUUAUGGGGGGCUAAUAUUUGUACUUAAGGCUAACAAGAUAUUAGCAAAAGGAUGUGAGGGCUUUUUAGCAUAUGUGGUGACCGAUAAUAAUAGUGAAGUUUGACUGAUAAUAAUAGUGAAGCUUCCCUUGGGGAUUUCAGGUGGUUGGGGAAUUUUUAGAUGUAUUUUGUUGUGCAAAUUUUAAUGAACUCGCAAGCACACGAAUCUAUUGUAGUGUAGAUCAAUGGUGACGAGUGUCGAUCCCACGAGGAGGUGGAUUUUAAUUGUGUGUAGAAUUAAUUCUGUAAAUGGGUGAUUGGAUUUGUGGUGGAAAUGAUUUUGAAUAUACUAAAACUUAAAUUAAAAUGGUGAGAAUAAAUUCUAAAAUUGGAAUUGAAAUAACGAGAAUAAAUUGAAGAGAAUUCUAUUGAAAUGACGUACUUGGGUAUCUGGAUCCGUAUCAACAUGCAUCAUGGGCUAAAUAUUCCUUAUUAAUGCCAAUUAAAUCAUGAGGGGGGAAUCCACACCUCAUGAACCACGCUCUAAUCAAUAUGGUGCUAAGGGCUUAUCGUGCCAAAUAAUAAUAACCUUAUACUAGAGAGCCGGUGUAACCAAGGCGGUAUCUAGACAAGAUCAGUAUUAUUUGUCGACGAUAAGUCAAAUCAUCCACAAAAACUAGAGGGGAAAAGAAAAUAAAUUUACCAAAUAAAGCCCAUGACACAUGUUGAGACUUCACCUUCAACCCAAGCUUGAAAGGAAAUUAGCUACUCAUAAUUGAAUUAGGGGCAAAAUGGGAAUUUAUUAAAAUACAAAGAAAAUACAAGAUGGAGAAGGAAUUACAGAAAAUGGAUCCCAAAAAUGGAUUCAGAGAUAUCAAAUUAGGGGGGGGAGGCCCCCUUUUUAUAGAUACAUGGAGUAAAUCAUGGCCAUCGGAUUAAAAACAGUUUGGACGCUCAGGAUUGCGCCACGUCAUCAGUCAACAGUCCACGGUUUGACCACGCGGAUAAACAGUAACACGGUUUGACCCGGAUGAACAGUAACACGGUUUGGUUGAAAAUAAUCCUGUGUGAUGCAUGCACCGUACGCGAGAUUUUUCGUCCACUGAUAUGCUGCCACGUCACCAUCAACAGUACAUAAGAAGUUUAGUCCAACAGGAUCGUGACACCUCAUCAGUCAAUGCCACAUCAUCGGUCAAUGCCACGUCAUCGAUCCGUCUAUGUGAACAGUGUCGUGAACAGUAACGUAGACAGUACCGUAUACGUGAAUAGUACCGUACAUGUGAAUAGUGCCAUUUUUCCUUUUAUGCUCCUCCUAAGGUUUUCGACCGUCCUGAGUUCAAAAGUGAUGUCCGUUUUGCCGUCUGAUCUCUCCUUUAUUGUGAAAUGACUAUAAUGCCCCUAAAAUAUAUAAAAUACUUAAUUAAAAUAACACACACGUAAUUACAUCACAAGAAGGUUAAAUACAUAAAAGUAAGGGUUGUUAGUAAGACUUGAAAUGUAAAAUGACGGUUUUCUCCUUUAUAAAUAUGCAUUUUCUAACACUCAACACACCCCCCAACCAGCUUAUUGCUAGUCCCUAGCAAAUAAUGCGAAAUCAAAAUUCAAAUUCAAAAUGAUUUUUUUUUUUUUUUUUAGAAACACUCGUGUUUAUUCAAUCAGAUUAAUUAUAGCAAUCAAAUAAAAGUAUAAGCAUUAUCUCCAGUCUAAAGCAACAUCACACCCACAUCAACCAUCCACAUGAAUUAGCCCAGUAGACUUUGUUAUAGCUACUUUCAAGAAUGACAUGUCAAACCCCAAAAUCUCACUGGAAGUAGUGACACUCUCACAAAGAAAUUAAAACCCAAUAAACAUAGUCACUCCAAUGAAUGGUAAUUGAGAGAGAAAAUAAUAAAGAAAUGAUAUCACAUGCUCUCACCAAGAUGAAAUAAAUAUGCCCUCAGCUUAGAAAUAAUACGAUCUCAAGUCAAAUAAAAUGUUAGUUAACCCACUUUAUUUAUCUUUUUUUUUUAUUAUUAUUAUUAUGCAUCACUACAUCUUUUUAGCCCAUAUAACUAGCUUCUACUUCAAACUAUAGUUCCCUAAAAUCAAGAAGGACUUUUAUUAGGACGUAACGUAGGCUAGGGAUAUGGCUAACAAAGAAAGGAAAUAAGGAAAACAAAGUUUAUGUUUGAGAAAAAUGCAGAAUUUUUUUUUUUUUUUUAAAGUUGCAAGGUGGAUUUCACCUAUUAUUGUUAUUUUAUUCUUUUGAAACAACAACUUUUGUUUUUUUUGUUUUUUUUUUUUUGCUUUUAUUUGGCAUAACUUCACUGAACAACAUAAUUAUUUACAUUUUCUCAAACAUAAAUAGGUGAUGGAACUUAUAAGACAUCGGGUAAUACUCCAAAUUAGAGUGGGUCAAGAUGAUAAGUUGACAAAGAAAUUUUUUUCUUCUUUUUUUUUUUUAAAGGCUCAAAAGGGGUAACUAUGGAUAUUUAAUAACAGGGAUGGCUAGAAAGGCUCAAACGGAUCAAAGAUGGCCUUUCCAUCGUUUUUUAGGGCUCUAAAUAAUUAUCCAUAUCUACUAGUUAGAUGGGCCUCCCAAUGUAGCAACACACAUUUUUUCUUUUUUUUUUUUAAUUUUACCAUUUUUUUUUAUAGGGUUAACUCAAAAGAAAUCUAGAGAUCGUGUAUAAAAUAAUAAACUGCUAAGCUGUAUAGAAAAUGGGCAAAAGGGUUACUCUCCAAGAAAAUGAUAGGCUCAACUACUCACUUGGCACUUAUUUAUGACAUGUUCAUUCCUUCAAGCAACUCAUAUUUGUCUCCGACAUCAACAUGUAAAGUAGCAAACAUAGCGUAACAUCACUUAAGGCCAAAGAUAAUACAAAUACUAAAAUUUGAAAUUAAUCAUGUCAUCCAAUGUUAAAACAAAUAACACAAUUUUUUUUGUUUUUUUUUAAACAACAUUCUACCCCCCAACCUAUUCUAAACAUGAAAGGAAAAUAUGCAUGCAGAAAUGUGAAAAUGAUGUAGAAAAAUUAAUUAGAAAAAGAAUUUUUUUUUUUUUAAACUAAGAAGAUGCGUUUCUAGAGGCACUACACUCUAUAUUCAGCCAUCUUCGACUCAAAAAUUUGAAAAUAUAUAUUUAUAAAGGAGAAAGAGGAAGAAAACGAUUUUUUUUUUUGUUUUUUUUUUGUUUUUUUUGUUUUUUAAACGAUGAAGAUGCGUUUCUAGAGUAACUACACUCCAUAUUCAGCCAUCUUCAACACAAAAUGUUAGCAACAGUUAGUUUCUACAACAAAAAAUCAGUAAAAACUUAACCAAGAUUCCACAAUUGUCGACUAUUCCCUCCCCCCAACCAGAACGAAACAUUGUCCUCAAUGUUUUAAAGGAAAGAAGUAGAGUUUAGAAGACAUCACCUGGGUGGUGCAACACAGAAGAAAAUAUUUACAGGCGGAGAGUUAAAUCUAAUUUGUACUUCUUACUGCGGCUACUGUUACCAUCAUUAUUUGGUCGCUCCAACACAAAGGUCCAGGGGUCUGGCUCCGGUUUAUAAGCUUGUAACAUAUCAAGUAGCUCAUUAGCAGUGUGAGCACAAAUAAAUAGUUUUUUCACAUUAGAAGGAAUGAAAUAGUUUUUUAUUACAUGGUUAAGAAAUGAGAUAAAGCCAUCAUAAAAGUUAUUGACAUUUAACAAACCGAUGGGUUUCUGGUGGAUGUGUAGAUGGGCCCAAGAUGCUAGUGUGAUAAGUGCCUCUAGUGUUGCAAGAUCUCCUGGAAGGAAAAUAAAAGCAUCAGCAUGAUUAAGCAUUUCAGUUAUUCUUUCUUGCAUACCUGAGACGACUAACUCUUCUCCAGUUGAUGAGUUAGACGAACUGCCCAAUGGUUUUAGGACUCUUGGGAUGAUGCCUAACACUUGACUUCCUCUGAUAAAAGCUGCUUCGGAGACCAUUUUUGAUAAUCCUCGGUUACCUCCUCCAUACACCAAGUGUAAUUUUCUCGCUGCUAUGCUUCGACCAAGAUCUAUGGCUGCCUCCACGAACUCUUUAUGUUUGUCAUAGGUAAAUCCAGAAAGCACACAAAUGUUCUUGAAUUGUCCAUUGGGAGUAGCUGCCAUUGUGAUACUUCUCAAAAACAAUUUGUGAGUGCUUGACAAAAGAUAAAUCACAUUUAAGAAUCUUGGUGACAGUGGAUCACAGCUGUGAAGGAGGUAACAUGUCAGUGUCAAAUAACGCGUAAAGCACGUGGCUCGCGAGUCAAAAAGGAAACAGUAAAAAGGAAAAAGCAAACAGUAAUAAAAUUAUUAAAGACAAUAAUACAAACGAUAAAACAACAGUAAAAUAAAACAACAGUAAAGUAAAAGGAUAUUUACAGGUAGUUGCGACUGUGGCUCACAUCUUCCUCUGGUUUUACGUCCAGAAACGGCUUGAACGCCCUCUAUGGGUCGAGGAUCGGCUUCCCAUCAAGUUUUCUUAUAAACUGACAAACAGGGUCAUUUAUAGUCAGAUUCCCGAGACUAUAUCGUGCAUGCUCUUUCUGAAAUAAUGGCCAUAAUCGGAGAAUCGCUCCUUGCACAUAUCCACUGGGAUGCGUUUCAAGAGACAAAAUGAUAUCAUCCAAUGACUCCUUAUUCAAGCCAUCCCUAAUGAAUUGAAUCUUAUCUUCCCUGUUAUCAGACACCAUUCCUAAAGAACAUGGGUUUCUAUCGCAACUCAUUCUGGCACACUUAUGACAAGCAACAGAAAUUCUUCGAGCUCGUCGUUUUCUUGCAUAAUUUCCUUUACUACAACCAGGCAUGAAUGCAAUAAAUUUUGGAGGUAACUCACCUGCCGAUCGUACUUUAGCCUCGAUUAACCAACGGAUGUCAGCAGGUAUGUUAUUCUUCAUGAGUAAUCGCAUGCGUUCGGACCGAGCUUUAUAGAUCGUAAAGAGGGCAUUCUGAGGAAGUGAAUGGAAUCGCUUGUGAAGCUUCGCUAGAAUCUCGUUUAUGUCCAUACUUUCGCCUCAGAAUGUCAGUUAUUAUGGGAAACUGAAGUAACCGACUUGAUUGUCACGGAGUACCGUUAUCCGCCACUUCACCGGGGUAACAAACUAAAGCACAAAAACAGAAAAACAAAUCAAAACACACAAAGAAAAUUAAAAUCGUCCUCUUAUUGAAUUUACCUCAAGCUCCAACUGGAUGUCGUAAACACUUCUCUCAAUGUCUCUGAGUUGGCGUUCUAAACCCUCAACAUAGGCUACUAACUCUGGUGGUUGUAGAGCCCAAAUGCGUUGUGUUUUACAAAAUUGAAUCUGCUUUUUGAGAUGAGUUUUGACACGUUGAAGUGGUUUAAGAAUGUUCAGGAGGAACGGUCUAAGUAUGGUACUCAUGAUUAACAAUGAUAAGAAAAAAAAACUUAAUGGUAAAACAAACACACUUAUGCAAAAAUAAUUUCAAUUAGCAAAAGAAUAAUAAAAAGAAAGAAAGAAAAAUCAAAUCAACAAAAAGAAAAAAUCAAUUCAAAUCUGGUGGGUCACUCAAAUUUAUUUCGGUGUCUUCUCCAUGUGGUUGGUACUCAAGAUAUGGCUUUAAUCUUUGACCAUUAACUUUAAACGUGACACCGUUCUUUGGGUCCUUAAUUUCAAUUGCCCGAUGUGGAAAAACAGUAUGAACAAUAAAGGGACCAGACCAUCGAGAGCGUAACUUACCUGGGAAUAAGUGCAAACGAGAAUUGAAUAAAAGCACUUUCUGACCUGGAGUGAACGAUUUUCUCAUAAUGUGCUUGUCAUGAAAGACUUUCAUUCGUUGCUUGUAAAUCUUGGCAUUUUCGUAUGCAUCAUUACGAAUUUCUUCAAGUUCUGCCAGUUGUAAUCUUCUUUCUGAGCUGGCUUGCUGCAUGUCAAAGUUGAAUUUCUUGAUGGCCCAAUAUGCACGAUGCUCGAGUUCCACAGGUAGGUGGCAAGCUUUUCCAUACACUAGCCUGUAGGGUGACAUCCCAAUCGGGGUCUUGAAAGCCGUUCUAUAUGCCCAUAAUGCAUCAUCAAGUCUUAAUGACCAAUCUUUUCUGUCUGGCCUCACUGUUUUUUCUAAUAUGUGCUUGAUUUCUCGAUUGGAGAUCUCAACUUGGCCACUGGUUUGCGGAUGAUACGGGGUCGCCACUUUGUGUGUGAUUGAAUACUUUGUCAAAAGAGCUUUGAAUGCUUUGUUACAAAAGUGGGCACCACCAUCACUGAUUAUCGCUCGAGAGAAUCCAAAGCGCGAAACAAUAUUGCUUUUCAAAAAUCCUAUCACCACUUUGUGAUCAUUGGUUCUGCAUGGAAUUGCUUCCACCCAUUUCGAUACGUAGUCAAUACCAACCAAUAUGUAUUGAUGGCCAAAAGAAGGGAGAAAGGGUCCCAUGAAGUCGAUACCCCAUAUGUCAAAAAUCUCAACCAUUAAAAUUGGAUUUAGUGGCAUUAUGUUCCUUCGUGUAAUGCUCCCCAUUCGUUGACACCUAUCACAUGAAGAACAGAAAGUGUAAGCAUCUCGAAAUAUAGUUGGCCAAUAGAAACCACAUUGUAAAACUUUAGUCGCUGUUUUCUUAGCACUGAAAUGGCCUCCACACGCUUGUUCAUGGCAGAAUGAAAGGAUAUUUUGAAUUUCACUUUCUGGGACACAUCACCUAACAAUUUGAUCUGCACAAUACUUGAACAAAUACGGGUCAUCCCAAAAGAAAUUCUUUAUUUCCGCAAAGAAUUUAGCCUUGUCUUGCUCGGUCCAAUGCUCUGGAAGUUUACCUGUAACAAGAUAAUUAACUAUAUCAGCAUACCAAGGUAAUACUUCCACAUUCAUUAAUUGUUCAUCUGGAAAUGACUCAUUCAAUGGUAAUGGUUCCAUAAUUGUAUCAAAAUGGAGGCGAGAGAGAUGGUCAGCUACAACAUUCUCUGUGCCUUUCUUAUCUUUGAAUUCCAAGUCAAAUUCCUGCAAAAGUAACACCCAACGAAUUAGUCUAGCUUUUGCAUAUUUCUUUGUGAGAAGAUAUUUAAGAGCAGCAUGAUCUGUGAAUAUAAUUAUUUUACAACCAAUGAGAUAAAAUCGAAAUUUCUCUAAUGCAAACACUACUGCUAGCAUUUCUUUUUCAGUAGUUGAAUAGUUCAACUGUGCAUCAUUCAAUGUCAUACUAGCAUAGUAAAUAACAUGGGGAAUUCGAUCAACUCUUUGUCCUAAUACUGCUCCUACUGCAUAAUCAGAUGCAUCACACAUGAGCUCAAAUGGUAAGCUCCAGUUUGGGGCCUGAAUGAUGGGUGAUGAUGUCAACAACUGCUUUAAUUUUUCAAAUGCCACAAGACAUGAAUCAUUAAAGAUAAAAGGUACAUCCUUAGCAAGUAGAUUGCAUAAGGGUCUAGAAACUUUGCUAAAAUCUUUAAUGAAACGUCUAUAGAAACCAGCAUGCCCAAGGAAAGAUCUUACUUCUCUGACUGUUUUGGGUGGAGGAAGAUUAGAAAUGAGAUCCACCUUGGCUUUGUCAACCUCAAUACCUUUGCUUGAAAUGAUGUGACCGAGAACAAUACCUUGUUUUACCAUAAAAUGACACUUCUCCCAAUUCAAGACUAAGUUCUUCUCGGUACAUCUCUGCAGAACUAGCGUUAGAUGAUGUAAACAUUGAUCAAACGAGUCACCAAAGACAGAAAAAUCAUCCAUAAAGACUUCAAGAAAUCGUUCAACCAUAUCAGAAAAAAUGCUCAACAUGCAUCGUUGGAAUGUAGCAGGUGCAUUACAUAAUCCAAAUGGCAUUCUCCUAUAUGCAAAAGUGCCAAAAGGGCAAGUGAAAGUAGUUUUCUCCUGAUCUUUUGGUGCUAUGGGAAUCUGAUUAUAUCCUGAGUAGCCAUCUAGAAAGCAAUAAAAUUUAUGGCCUGCUAAUCUAUCAAGCAUUUGAUCAAUAAAUGGUAAAGGAAAAUGGUCUUUACGUGUGACAGAAUUCAACUUUCUAUAAUCAAUGCAUACACGCCAUCCUGUAGUUACUCUAGUUGGUAUCAAUUCAUUAUCAGCAUUGGUAACUACUGUGACUCCUGACUUUUUGGGGACAACUUGUACAGGACUGACCCAUGAACUAUCAGAAAUUGGGUAAAUGAUACCUGCGUCUAAUAGCUUAAGGACUUCUGUUCUAACAACUUCUUUCAUAUUAGGAUUUAACCGACGUUGCAUUUCCCUAGUAGAUUUAGCAUUUUCAUCAAGGUGAAUGUAAUGCAUGCAGUCUACUAGGUUUAUACCCUUUAUAUCUACUAUGGUCCAUCCUAAUGCUCCUUUGUGCUCUUUUAAAACAUCCAACAACUUACCUUUUUGUUCGUCAUUUAGGGAUGAUGAGAUGAUUACCGGCAGAGUACUUUCUUCUCCCAAAAAUGCAUAUUCCAAUGUGUUGGGCAAUGGUUUGAGCUCGAGUUUCGGUGGUGAUUCUGAUGAUGGGAUGAGUUUCUUUUCUGAUGGUGCUAGUUGUUCAACUCUUGACUUCCAUUUAUUAGUGUCCAUGGAUGGUGCUGAGUCAAGUAGAGCAUUGACCUCAUUGACCGAUCUGUCAAUAUCAAAAUCCAAACCAAAGUGAGUUAAGCAUGUCUAUAAAGGGUCAUCACUAAGGUUUGAAAUAAAAGUAUUAUCGACUAUUGUUUCUAUUAAAUCCACAUCAACAAUUCUAUCAUCUGCACUGUGAGGUUGUUUGGCAAUGUUGAAGAUGUUCAGCUCCAUAGUCAUGUUGCCAAAGGACAACUGCAUAUUUUCGGUCCUACAUUGAAUAUGAGCAUCUGCAGUUGCCAAGAAAGGUCGGCCUAGAAUAAUUGGGAUGUGCUUCCUUGAGUCCUGUAUUGGUUGAGUGUCAAUUACAAUGAAAUCAACAGGAAAAUAAAACUUGUCUACCUGGAUAAGCACGUCCUCCACAAUACCACGAGGUAUUUUCGUGGACCGAUCUGCAAGCUGUAACACCACUGGAGUUGGGUGUAAUUCUCCCAGUCCAAGUUUCACAAAUACUGAAUAAGGCAACAAAUUUACACUAGCUCCUAAAUCCAACAAAGCAUUCUCAAUUGUGUGGUUCCCUAUACUACAUGUGAUAGUGGGGGAGCCUGGGUCUUUGCAUUUUAAAGGAAUUUUAUGUUGGAGUAUAGAACUAACGUUUUCUGUUAAAAAUGCCUUCUUUUGAACAUGCAUAUUUCUCUUUUUAGUACAAAGGUCUUUAAGAAACUUGGCAUAAGAUGGAACUUGUUUAAUAGCAUCAAGUAAAGGGAUGUUAACACUUACCUAUUUGAAGAUUUCGAGAAUCUCACCUGUGGAUUUUCCCUUAUUUCCUUUCGCUAACCUCUGAGGAAAUGGAGCUUUAGGAACAUAUUCUCGUGGGUUGGUUUCUUCUUUUUCCUCCGGUGGUGAGUCCUCAACAUUCACAGGUACAAUUUGAUUUUCUUUUGUCACCGGCAUCUCCACUUUGUUGUCGACUUCCUUUCCUUUUCGCAAGGUCAUGACUGCUUUGACCUCUCCAUGCUGUUGUGGUGAACUGGUACUUGCUUCAUGUACUCCUUUAGGAUUAGGCACUGGUUGACUUGGAAAUUUACCUUUCUCAACAGUAAUUGCCAAGGUCUGAACUGAAGAAGCAAGUUGUCCCACCAUCUUCUCGAGGCUUGAAACUGAUUGGGCUUGUGAGUUGAAGCCCGCUCUCAACUCAUUUCGUAGUCCAUCAAUGGUGCGAUUCUGUUGCUCAAUCGUGGAGUGAGUAAGAUUCUUGAGAUCCUGGAAUGAAUCCUCCCAUGGUCUGGGUUGAGAGUAGUUCUGGUUCUGAUUGAAUGGUCUAAAUGGGGGCUGAGAGGCUUGAGGAACUUGAGGAAUUUGUGGAGCUGGAGCUGCUGGUCCAUUCUGUUGGAAUCCUUGAGACCAUGAAAAAUUGGGGUGGUCUCUCCAUCCAGGGUUAUAUGUGUUGGAGUAUGGGUUGUAAUUAGAUGGCUUCCUCAUUACACCUAUGGCAUUGGCUUGAUCGGAGUAUGAGUCAUGGUCAUGUGGUUCUGUUGAUUUAGCAGUCGAUAACGAUGCUAUUUGUCGAGAGAGACCUUCUAUUAUUGCUUUGACUUCUUUGAUUUCUGAAUUUGACUCGCCAAUUUGAACCUCAUUUACUCCCUUAAUUCUUCUAGUAUUCCUGAGUGAUCGACUCCGUUGUUGGGAAUUAUCCGCUUGUCGCUGGAAGAAUUCCCAAAUCUCUGAUGCACUUUUUGACAUUAGCUCUCCUCCACUUGUUGCCAUUAGCCAUUCUUGCACAUUCGGCAAUAAUCCCUCCAAAAAGUAUUGGCAUUGGUGCCAUUUCUCGUACCCAUGAUGUGGACACUUCAAGAGUAGCCCAUUGAAUCGCUCCCAUGUUUCGAAAAACUGCUCGUCCUCUCUUUGGGUAAACUCCGAGAUUUCCCUGCGAAUAGCAUUGGUUUUAUGCACUGGGAAAUAUUUAUUCAAAAAUUUUGUAACCAUUUGUUCCCAUGAUGCAAUGCUAUUAGCAGGCAAUGUAUUAAGCCAUGAACGAGCUCUAUCCUUUAAAGAAAAUGAGAAUCAUCUAAGUUUAACAUCAUCGUCUGAAAAAUUUUCAUAUUUAAAAGUUUGACAAAUUGCAUGAAAAUCAUUCAGAUGAUUAUAUGGGUCCUCAUUUUCUAAGCCAUAGAAUGUGGGGAGACAAUUUAGCACACUAGGUUUUAAUUCAAAACUCCUAGCAGCUACAUUUGGGUAUCUAAUACAUGAUGUGCUCAAAUUAGCUAAGGGACUAAAAUAAUCCUUAAAUGGCCUCUCCUAUGGUGCUUGUAAAUCCAUUUCAAAUUUAUUUUUAACGUUCUUGUGUGUGCGAAGUGUUUUCUCAAGUUCAAGGUCUGUAGGUUCAAGAUUAGGUAAUAAUGACCUACGACCAUACAUGCAAAAUAAAUAAAAUAAAAAUAAAGAUGGAACAAAACAAAUAAAAAUAAAGAAGAGAGAGAAAUUACAAUACUAACCUUAUUGCGCUAUUACAACCUUACUAUAAAAAUACACACAAAAACAAAAAAUACGUGAAAUAAAUUAACUAAAAAAAAUUAGUAAGAUAAACAAAAAUUACAAAGAAAGAAAAAAAAAAUAAAUUGAAAAUUAAAUUACAGAAUUUUAAAGAAGAGAAAAAGAAAAGAAAUACUAACCUUUAAAUGUAGAUUUACUUUUUUUUUUUUUUAAAGAACAAAAAAAAAAUACAAGAAAACAAUUAAAUGAAAUUAUUCACAAAAAUUAAAUCUAUGAAUUAAAAUUACUUACCUCCCCGGCAACGGCGCCAAAAACUUGUUGUGUAAAUUUUAAUGAACUCGCAAGCGCACGAAUCUAUUGUAGUGUAGAUCAAUGGUGACGAAUGUCGAUCCCACGAGGAGGUGGAUUUUAAUUGUGUGUAGAAUUAAUUCUGUAAAUGGGUGAUUGGAUUUGUGGUGGAAAUGAUUUGGAAUAUACUAAAACUUAAAUUAAAAUGGCGAGAAUAAAUUCUAAAAUUGGAAUUGAAAUAGCGAGAAUAAAUUGAAGAGAAUUCUAUUGAAAUGACGUACUUGGGUAUCUGGAUCCGUAUCAACAUGCAUCAUGGGCUAAAUAUUCCUUAUUAAUGCCAAUUAAAUCAUGAGGGGGGAAUCCACACCUCAUGAACCACGCUCUAAUCAAUAUGGUGCUAAGGGCUUAUCGUGCCAAAUAAUAAUAACCUUAUACUAGAGAGCCGGUGUAACCAAGGCGGUAUCUAGACAAGAUCAGUAUUAUUUGUCGACGAUAAGUCAAAUCAUCCACAAAAACUAGAGGGGAAAAGAAAAUAAAUUUACCAAAUAAAGCCCAUGACACAUGUUGAGACUUCACCUUCAACCCAAGCUUGAAAGGAAAUUAGCUACUCAUAAUUGAAUUAGGGGCAAAAUGGGAAUUUAUUAAAAUACAAAGAAAAUACAAGAUGGAGAGGGAAUUACAGAAAAUGGAUCCCAAAAAUGGAUUCAGAGAUAUCAAAUUAGGGGGGGGGAGGCCCCCUUUUUAUAGAUACAUGGAGUAAAUCAUGGCCAUCGGAUUAAAAACAGUUUGGACGCUCAGGAUUGCGCCACGUCAUCAGUCAACAGUCCACGGUUUGACCACGUGGAUGAACAGUAACACGGUUUGACCUGGAUGAACAGUAACACGAUUUGGUUGAAAAUAAUCCUGUGUGAUGCAUGCACCGUACGCGAGAUUUUUCGUCCACUGAUAUGUUGCCACGUCACCAUCAACAGUACAUAAGAAGUUUAGUCCAACAGGAUCGUGACACCUCAUCAGUCAAUGCCACAUCAUCAGUCAAUGCCACGUCAUCGAUCCGUCUAUGUGAACAGUGUCGUGAACAGUAACGUAGACAGUACCGUAUACGUGAAUAGUACCGUAUACGUGAAUAGUACCGUACAUGUGAAUAGUGCCAUUUUUCUUUUUAUGCUCCUCCUAAGGUUUUCGACCGUCCUGAGUUCAAAAGUGAUGUCCGUUUUGCCGUCUGAUCUCUCCUUUAUUGUGAAAUGACUAUAAUGCCCCUAAAAUACAUAAAAUACUUAAUUAAAAUAACACACACGUAAUUACAUCACAAGAAGGUUAAAUACAUAAAAGUAAGGGUUGUUAGUAAGACUUGAAAUGUAAAAUGACGGUUUUCUCCUUUAUAAAUAUGCAUUUUCUAACACUCAACAUAUUUCCUGAGGAUUUGCCUAGUUUGCCUUCUGAUCAAGAAAUUGAAUUUUCUAUUAAUUUAUUGUUUGGCACUACACGUAUCUCCAAAGCACCUUACCAUAUGGCACCUCUUGAGUUGAAUGAAUUAAAGGUUCAACUACAGGAGCUUCUUCGUAAAGUUUUUAUUCGCCCUAGUUUAUCUCUUUUCAGAGCUCCAAUAUUGUUUAUAAAAAAGAAAGAUGGUUAUAUUGUUAGCCUAUGUGGCUAUAGAAUGUUGAUUUUGAUGAUAAUAAACCACAUGUUUUGGCUAAACAAAGAAUUAAACAUUUUUCUUUUAUAAAAAGAGAAUGAUUUUAUGAAAUUAGUUAUUUUUCAAGAUGUGGACUAAAAUAAAAAAAUUUUGUCAUCUUUGAUUUUAAUAAGUAUUGUUUUGAACUCUAGAUUUUGAUCUAUUUGCAAAUAUUUGAAACAUUUUGCACUAUACUAUAAUUUCUAUAAAUUUUGGGUUGUAUCAUAAUUUCAGUAAAUUUUAAAAUUGGACCUUUUUACAAAUUUUAUGACAUUUUAGGCUAUAGUAUAAUUUUAUAAAGUUUUAGGGUAAAACUAUAAUUUUAGAAAAUAAUUGUUUUACUUUAGCAAGCAGUUAGCCGGAUUUAUCAAGCGGCAAACCGGUUAUGGAUAGAAGCUCUCUGGAAUAAAAGCGGCCUACCGGAAAUGAAAAGUGGCAUGUUGGAUGUGCAAAAUUUCAAAUCUUUGAACAUAACGGUAACAUAAAACAGCAAGCUGGAUUCACAAAGCGGCAAGCUGGUUAUCACCAGAAAGUCUAUAACAACUAGUUUUUGGGCUGAAACUAUAUAAAUUCAAAUUCAAUUCAUAUUUAGAACCUUUUGCAAGCCAAAAAAAAAAAAGUAUAUAACAUAUAUUGAGCUUCCAUUUCGUUAAUCAUUUUAGAUUAAAUCUUCAUUGAGCUUUUAUUUAUAUAUUCGCUCUAAAAAGAGUUUUUAUUGCAAUCUUUAUUUUCUCAUCAAAUUUGUGAGUGUAUAAGUGUGAGAAACACUUGGGGUGAAGAGAUUGAGAGAUAAUCUCUUUGUUAUAAAGGUCUAUUAACACUUUGAAAGUCAAUUGUAAGCAUUUAAUACCUUGGGAGGUUUGGAUAGUGAAAUCCUCAAACUUGAUUUGCUUGGAGGCGUGGACAAAGGCGGAGAUUACCUAACAACAUAAAAAUUAUUGUGUUGCUCUCUCUUCUCUUACUCUUUUAUUAUUGUGCUUUAUUAAUUUAUUGUUUUUGAUUUCAUUGUGCGAUUUGUUUAGCUUAAGUUUUAAAAUCUCAAUUCACCCCCCUCUUGGAUUGCAUAACUAGCAUUUCAUCUAUGUGGUUAUGCAAUGGUUAGCGACAAUUGAAUUUGGUUUCCAUUUAGAACAAAUAUUCAUUUCUUCACAUUGAUGAUCUUUUUGAUCAACUAGUAGGUGCAACAGUAUUCUCUAAAAUGUAUUUAUGGUCUAGGUAUCAUCAGCUGAAAGUGAAAAAUGAGGAUGUGUUACACCGUUUCGAACAUGAUAUAGGCAUUAUGAAUUCCUUAUGAUGCCUUUUGAUUAACCAAUGCUCCAACAGCUUUUAUGGACUUGAUGAAUAGAGUUUUCUGACCUUUCAUUAAUUGAUUUGUCAUUGUUUUUAUCGAUGACAUUUUGAUGUACUCUAAAACCAUGGAGGAACAUGAGGAACAUUUAAAGGUGGUUUUUCAAACACUCUAAGAAGGGAAACUCUAUACGAAGUUCAAGAAGUGUGAGUUUUGGCUCAACCAAAACUCUUUACGAAGUUCAAGAAGUAUGAGUUUUCUGGGUCAUGUUGUUACUAAGAAGGGCAUAUUUGUUGAUUCAUCUAAGGUUAAGGUCAUUGUAAAUUGAACAAAACCAUUUAAUGUUAUUAUGAUUAGAAGCUUUCUGGGUUUGGGUGGCUGUUACUGGCGAUUCGUGAAUGGAUUCUCUAGUCUUACAACUCCAUUAUUAAAGUUGACUAGGAAGAACAUCAAGAUUGAAUGGAGUGACGAAUGCUAAAAGAGCUUCGAAGAAUUAAAGAAUAAAUUAGUUUCUAUUCCUAUUUUGACAAUUCCUUCUAAUGGUGGUGGCUAUGUCAUUUAUAGUGAUGCUUCUAGAAAGGGACUAGGAUACGUAUUAAUGCAGCAUGGUUAGGUAGUUUUGUAUUCAUCUUGACACUUAAAGAUUUAUGUGCUUAUUGCACUCACGACUCUAGUUAGUAGUUGUAGUCUUUACCUUAGCGAUAGAAGACAUUAUCUUUAUUGUGAAACUUGCGAAAUCUAUACAAAUCACAAGAGUUUGAAAUACUUCUUCACCCAUAAAGAAUUAAACUUGAGGCAAAAGGGAUGGUUAGAUAUGGUGAAAGAUUAUAAUUGUUUGAUUAAUUAUCAUCUUGGUAAGGCGAAUGUAGUGGCUAAUGCUCUUAGUAGAAAGUGAUCGGGUUACUCGGCAUGUAUGAUUACUAAUCAAGGUCACAUACUAGAGGAUUUGAAGAAAUAUUGAAGUUGUUUUACAUGGGCAAACUGAGGUUUUAUCUCAUUUGAAGGUUCAACCUACCUUGAUUGAUAGGAGAAGGCCACAUAUAGUGAGGAUCCACAAUUUAAAAAAAAAAAAAAGUUCGAGGAGUGAAGGCUAGACAUUUUGAGUCCAGACUUGAUAAGAAUGGUAUUUUGUUAUUUGGAUAGAGACUUUGUGUACCAAUAAAGGAUGAGUUGAAAAGAGAUAUUAUGCAAGAGGGCCAUGACUCAAGUUUUAAUGUUCAUCUCGGAAGCACUAAAAUGUGUCGAAACUUGAAGAAAAUUUUUUUUGGUGGAGGAAUAUGAAGGGUGAUAUUGCUUAUUAUGUUUUGAAAUGCUUGGUAUGUCAGCAAGUGAAGAUAGAGCAUUGAUAGGCUUGGCAAUUUAGCCUGACCCUAUUUUUGGCCCGACUGACCCGACCCUAAUUUUUAGGGCUUUGACCUGAAUUUUUGUGUUUCGGAUUAGGUUCGGGCCAAAAUUUUAAGGCCUGAUCAAAUUUCGGGUUAGGGUCGGGCUUAAAGCCGACCCGAACCUAUUUAAAAAAAAUGCUAACACAAGUUAACACACACAUACAUCACAACAUCACACACACAGACAACACAUAUCUCAUUUGCAUCACACACGCACACAACACAUAUGACAUAUCACACACGCACACUUCACUCUAAACCAUAAAUCACACACACCACAUACACUUACACAAAUUCACAAAAACCCUAAGUCAGCCACUCAGCCACCGUCCUAUCAGCCAACAUCGUGACCGUUCACCAAUCGCAAUCAGCUACACGACGCCACGAGGUGAACCAGCCACCCUUUGUCGUCGUCCUGCCGCGUCCGCCUGCCAGCCAAUGGCCAACGCACAUGUUCAACUACCAUGCACACAUUCUGCCGUCGGCAUUAGCUAUUUAGCUUUGGUAAUUUUAAUUUCAUAAAUAUUAAUUAAUGUUUUUCAUUUAAGCUUAUAAUUGAAUCUAUAAUUUAAUAAUUUUAGCUAAAUAUAUUCAUGUUAAUUAAUUAAUUAUGUAGUUGCUAUAAAUAUUAUAUUGUGGCUACAUAUAAGGCUAUAUACAAGGUUUUUUUAAUUAUUAUGUUAUGAUUGUAAAUUAACUUUAAUUAUAUCUUAAGUUUAUAAUUUCAUAAAUAUUAAUUAAUUUUUUUUCAUUUAAGCUUAUAAAUUUAUUUAUAAUUUUAGCUAAUUAUAUUCAUAAUGAUUAUGUAGUUACUAUAAAUAUUAUAUUUUAGCUAAAUAUAGCCUUAUAUAAGAUUGUAAGUAUUAAUUAUUAUGUUGUAAUUGUAAAUUAAUUUUAAUCAUAUUUUGAGUUUAUAAAUUAACUUAAAAUUUAUAAGUUCAAUCAUAUUUUAAGUCUAUAAAUUAAUUGCAACUUGUUACACAUUUAAUUUAGGUCAUUAUGUCAAAUUCACGUGAGGAUUCUCAUGUUGGCGAAGAGAAUAGAAAUGAUGGCCUUCCUCUUGAAGGGGUCCAGGAAGUAAAGAGGCAUUCUGUGGUGAUAAUGGGGUACAGCAAAGUAGUAAUUAAAAAAAGCGAGGUGUGGGAGAACCUUCUUAUGUUUGGUGACACUUCAUCAAGGUAACCAUUAAUGGUGAAUUGAAGGUGAAAUGUAAUCAUUGUCAAGCUAAGUUGGUAGCAUCUUGUCAUAAUGAAACCUCACAUUCGAAUAGACAUUUAAAAAUAUCAUGUAAGGCAAAGGGUGUUCCCUCAGUUCUUGAUAGCUUACAAAAUAACUCUUAGCGUGACGAGGAAAGAUGAUGGAACAAGUUGUAUUGAGACGAGAGAAUUUGAUCCAAUUGUUGCUCGACAAAAGAUAGCAACCUUGGUUGUAAAGCAUGAGCUACCACUUAAUUUUGUGGAAUAUGAGGCAUUUAGGGAUUUGAUGUCUUAUGUCAACCCUUUGGUGAAGAAUUUGAGUAGAAACAUUUUAAAGAGUGAGAUUUUUAAAUUGUAUCAAGCUGAAAAGGCAAAAGCAAUGGCUUUGUUGGAGAAUAAUGAUAGUAGGGUGGCAAUUACCACAAACAUGUGGACUGCGAGUAAUAAAAAGAAGGGGUACAUAGUUGAUACAAGACAUUUUUUGGACAAGUCUUGGCGAUUACAAAGUCGAAUUUUAAGGUACUUUUUUUAUUAAUUGAUAUUUAUUUUAAUUCAAUUUAAUUAAUUCUAAAAUUUAGAUUUUUGGUGAUGAAUAGGUUCAUAUAUUAGCAAAGUCGAUAUUAUGUUUACUUAUUUCUAGUUCAAUUUAAUUAAUUCUAAAAUUUAGUUUUUUUGGUAAUGAAUAGGUUCAUAUAUUUGCCGGCUCCACAUUCUGUUGAAUUUAUUUCUGAAGCAUUUUUUAAAUCUAUGUUGGAUUAAAAUUAGAUAGAAGGAUAUCGGUUGUAACUUUAGAUAAUUGCUCUACCAAUGAUGCUAUGGUUGAUAGGUUGAUGGAAUUGAUUCCAGUUGAUUCUAUGUUAAUGGGUAGGGAGUUUUUUCAUAUCAGGUGUAUGGCUCAUAUUUUAAACCUAAUUGUGAAGGAGGGGAUGAAAGUGAUUGAGGAGUGGAUUAAAAAGAUUAGAGAUAGUGUGGCUUAUUGGACGGGCACACCAAAGAGGGUAGAAACUUUUGAAAUGGUUGCGCGGCAAUUACAAGUUAAGUGUGAGAAAAUUUUGGUACUUGAUUGUGUAAUUAGAUGGAAUUCUACAUAUGUUAUGCUUGAUGUUGCUGUGAAAUAUAAAACAAUCUUUUCUAGACUGCAACAGCGCAACAAACACUACACCUCUUUGCCAACAGAUGAGGAAUGGGAGAUGGCUGAAAAGAUGUUGGAAUAUUUACUGCUGUUUUACUCUAUGACAAAGUUAUUUUCAGGUAUGCAAUAUCCCACACCUAAUCUUUUUUUUCCAAUGAUAUGUGAAAUGAAGAUUAAUUUGGAUGAAUGGGAACUUUCUGAUGUGCCUAUGGUUAGAUAAAUGGCUGGUCAAAUUAUUAUGAAAUUUGAUAAAUAUUGGGCCCAAAUUCAUGGGAUUUUGGUGAUGGCGGUUAUUCUUGAUCCGAUGUUUAAGAUGCAAUUGGUUAAUUAUUAUUUUCCACAACUUUAUGGUGAGGGUGCUACAAAUGAGAUUCAAAGGGUACGUAAUUUAAGUAACGAUUUGGUUAAGUUUUAUGAAGGUAAGAAUGGGAAUGUGAGUGAUAUGAUUGUUGGUAAAUCUUUUUUGGUCGAUGUUCAUUUUAAUUUUACUGUAGGAACUGGCUGUAAAUAUUUUGAUAUAAGUAAGUUUGAGGCAUUGGCAAGCCAAAAUAGUGAGACUAUGGUAUCGAAGUCUAACUUUAAGAGGUACUUAGAAGAGCUUUUAAUCAAAUCCACUAUGAACUUUGAUUUUCUAAAUUAGUGGAAGGUGACCAAGGCAAAUACUCUAUUUUGGCUCAAAUGGCCAAGGAUAUCUUAGUCGUUCCCGUGACAACCAUUGCCCCUGAAUCUGCGUUUAGCACUAGAGUUAGGGUCCUGACUCCACAUCAGAGUAGACUUCAUCCUAUGAUAUUGGAAGCGCUUAUGUGCACUCAACAUUGGCUAUGGGCAAACUCCAAAGGUAUGAAUACAAAUAAUGGACAAAAUAUUUAAAUAAUUGGUUUAGUAAUAAUUUUAUAAACUUAAAUUAUUUUCUCACUUUUUUUUUACAGGUAAAAUUCUCGAAAGCGAAAUUUUUAGUGGAGAGGAAUUUGUGGAUGAAGAUGAAAGUGGCCCGCAAGUGUUGAAGUAGUUCUUUUUAAAAAAAAAAAAUGUUUGGUUGUGGAAUUGAAUUAUGAGUUUUUAUUUGUAUAAGACAUGUUUUUUUUUAAUGUUGGGUUUUGGAACUAAAUUGUAUGUUUUUAUUUGUAUAAGACAUGAGUUUUUUCUUUUUGAUUUUUUUAUGUUGGUUUUCAAAUUGAAUUGUGUAUGGCUAAUAUGGUUGUGGAAUUACAUUGUGUGUUUUUCAUAUUGGAUUUUGGAAUUGAUUUGUGUGUGGCGUUGAAAUGGUUGUGGAAUUAAAUUGUGUUUGAAAUGGUUGAGAAAUUGCUGAAUUGGUUGAAAUGGUUGUGGGAAUUGAAUUGUGGGGUUAACUAUUUCGGUAGGGUCGAGUUGGGUCUAACCCAACCCUAACUAUAAAGUGUUUGGGUUUUUUUAGGGUCGGGUUUCAAAUUGUUUUUUAUCUGGUCGGGUUGGACUUGGCCAAGCCCGAACCCGAGCCCGACCCGAACUUUUGCCAUUCCUAAGCAUUAAAGACCUGCUGGGUAUAGCACAAAGUAGGCAGAAGAUUUAUGCUGAUCAAUUUAGACGUGAUCUAGAGUUCCAAGUUGAGGAUUAUGUUUUCUUGAAAGUAUCAUCUUGGAAAGGAGUUUUCCAUUUUAGGAAGAGAGGUAAACUUAGCCUUAGGUUUAUUAGGCCUCUUGAGAUUCUGAAGAGAAUCGGCACAAUGACAUAUUGAGUGGCUUUGCCAUCGAGCCUUUCAAGACUUCACGAUGUAUUUCAUGUGUCAAUGUUCAAAAAGUACAUGGCUGAUUCUUCUCAUAGCUUGGAUUACUUACCUAUCCAAAUCUCGAAUGAUAUGUCAUAUGAGGAGCAUCCAUUGGAGAUCCUGGACAGGAAGAAACAAGUUUUAAGGAGACAAAUAAUGCGUUUAGUGAAUGUUUACUGGGCGAAUCAUUCUAUAGAGGAAGCUACAUGAGAAUAAGAGGCAGAGAUUAUGGAGAACUACCAUCAACAUUUUGAGAAAUAAGGUAGAGUUUUAAAUUUCGAAGAAGAAAUUUCUUUUAAGGGGGGAGAAAUUGUAACAUCCAUUAUUUUUGUUUAUUAUUAUUAUUAUUAUUAUUAUUAUUAUUAUUAUUAUUAUUAUUAUUAUUAUUAUUAUUAUUAUUAUUAUUAUAUAUAUAUAUAUAUAUAUCUAUCUAUUUUAUAGAAUAUAGUAUUUUAGGCUGAGGAUUUUAAGAGUGUUUUAAUUUAUCUUUAUUUAUUUGUAUUUGCUUGAUUUACCAAUCUAUCAAAUACCUUAUUAAAAAAGGAAAUAAAUUCCUUAAUUGGUAAGGGUAUUAAAAGGCUUGGUUUUAUAAAAACAAAAACAAAAACUCCUCUUACUUGCUUUGUUUCUCAAAAUCCUAGAGGCUAAUAAAAAAGAAAAAAAAAAGAAUAACACACACAAGAAUAAACUUACGUUUUUUUAAAAAAAAAAGAGGAGAAGAUUUUGAUUGUAUUUUUCUUUUUCUAUAAAAGAAGUUAUUGAGUUUUGAUUCUUUUGAAGGUAGGUAAGAAUUUAUAAUCCCUUAAACUUGUUGUUUGAUUUUGAUUUUAUGUGAUUGAUUGAAUGAUUUUAUGUGUGUUAUAUUGAUAAAAUUAUGAAAUCAUAAUCAUAUAUUGAUUUAUGUUGUUAUUAAGUGAAAGUAGUGCUAUUAUGUUAUCCUGAAAAUUUCAAAUAGUAUAGAUUUAAUGUUAUACUACUUCCAUUUUCAAUAAGUUUCAUGCAUAAAACUCUACAAUUUAUUAAAGUAGACAUCUUUAUCUUUCUAUCUGUAUGUUUAUCGUUAAAAAACGCAUUGUAUAUUAAUUGUUUUGAUUUUUUGAAAUUGGAACACUAGUACUAGAAAAUUCUGAUUUUCAGCAGCAAUUCUCACUUCUAUAAUUUAGCGGAUAACUCAAAUGACCUCUGAAAAUUCUGAGAAUUUUUAUUAUUGUACGUAUAUAUGUUUAUUUCUGUAUAUUUAAAUUCAUAAUUUUUAGCUUUAUAUAAAAAUCAUUAAUAAUCAUAGAGUUGGGCUGCCGUAAUCCUGGAAAUUGCUUUCUAGAAUUGCGAGGGUUGAUAUUUAUGCAAGUUUGGGUUACUUUUUCAUCAGUAAAUGCCUUACAAAAUUUAAUUCUUAUUCUUUAACUCUAAUCAUCAAAUCUUAAAUCACUAUUUUGACUAUGUAUGACUAGUUAUGAAUUUUUAAAUCGGCAGUCCUCUGUUUUUUUUACCACUGGACAAUUUUGAUGUUUUUGCAAAAAAUCAGUUUUCAGAGAUGUUCAUGAACUCUAAUUAAUCUAGUUAACUUUUAUAUGAAAUGACAACAUGUUCACAGUAGUUUUUUUGGUAGUAUUUGUGAUUUUUCUGACAUAACUAUAGCUUGUUAGAAAUCAGCUAUAAGAUAGUCUACUGUAGUUUAGUGAAUUGAUUUGUUUAAAUAAGAGUAAAUUGUUUAAGGAUUUUUGGGUUUUCUCAUCAAGGUUAGAAUUGAAAAAAAAAAUAUUGAUAAGAAUCUUAUCUUGAUAAUUAUAGGUCAAGAGUGGGCUUGUGUGAUUGGUAUUAUUAUUGAUUACUUCGAAUCGAAGUAAGUAAAUUCAAGCAUAAUGUUUAUUAUGGUUAUAUAUGUAAAUAUCUAUGAAAAGGAUGAUGUUGUUAAUAUGGAUUGUCAUUUUAUAGUUUUGAAGUUAUUUUACUCUUCUACUUUAUAAUAAUAAAUUAUAUUUUGAUCAAAACUUUAUUUAAAAUUUUUUCUUAAAUUGUUUUAAAAAUGACUUUAAAAUAAUUGUCUUGCCAUAAAUUGUUUUCGUUAAAAAUAUUUGUAAAACUCUUCCAAUUCAAUGUCUUAUAAGAGCAUUUCAUCAAAAUAUUACUGAAUGAUUGAUAUUGAAAGACUGAAAACAAUAUUUAAGGUCUUGGCUCUUUGUCUGUAGUUAUCAUUAUUGAUAUAACUGAACAACUAGCUGUUUUGUGCGUAUGCAUUGACGAUUAUACAGGGUAACGUACUCUAAUUGAACUACUGACCGAGUCAUCAAGGUUACAGGUGAUUUAUUGAACUACUGAUUGGAUCGUCAGGGUCAUAGGUGACUUACUGAACUAUUGGUCAGGUUACUGGGAGUACAUGUGACGCUAUAUGACAUGAGUAAUUGAAAAAAUGAAAUGUUUUAUUGAUAAAUGAUUUCCUAAAUGAUUGUUUAUUUAAAAUGAUUAUUGCAUUAUGACUUAACUGAUUAUUUGUUUUACCAUAUAUAUGUAUUAGAUUAUAAAAUAUUUACUGGUUUCUAACUUAUGGUACUUCAUAGUGAUUAUUAUGUAUUUUAUCGUUAUUAGUAACAUUAUGCAUAAUCUUACUUAUCAAGUUGACAACUCAUCACUCGUCUCCAACAUUUUUCAAAUUAAUUUUAAAGAUGUGGACUUUUUGGUCUAGAGAAGAAGAUUUGUUAGCUGAGAAACUUUAGCGUUUUCUAGAUGAAUAAAUUGUUUUUACUUUGGUUAUUAUUUAGAGCUAAAUUUUUGUUUUGGAGGAUUAUUAUUAUAUUUAUAAUUUUAGAUACAAUUUUUCGAAUAUUACUAUUUUCUUUUAGAAAUAACAAUAAGAUUAAUGUUAUGAGGUUUCAUUCCAAAUUUCUCUAAAGACUCUUGGGUGAAUUUAGGGUGUUAUAGAUUCAAUCUAAACUUGUCUCCUUUAGCCACAGGAGAAUCACUUAGGUUUGCAAUCUUACAUGCAAUAUCACUUGAGAACUUUUUCGAUAUAACUCUUUUGUGAUAGUCCUAAAAUACCAUGGGAGGUCUUAGUGUAUCGGUAUGCCUAGUAAAAAAGAGGCGUCAUCAAGAUCUUUUAUCUCAAAAUUCUUAGCUAAAAAUCUCUUGGUGUCGUAUAGUAAGUCUAUAUCGUUGAUGGCAAGCAAAAUGUUAUCGAAAUAAAGAACAAGAAAAUGAAACUUACUCCUAAAGAACUUAUGAGUAUAUGCAAUUAUCAACCAAAUUCGUAUCAAAAUCGAAUGAGAUGAUCACUUGAUGAAACUUAAAAUAUCAUUGUCAAGAUGCUUGCUUAAGCCUACAGAUAGAUUUCUUAAGUUUGGAAUCUAUAUUCUUUGGGUCUUCUGACAUAAAUUUUUUUGCUUGCACAAUCUAGAUUAUCUCAUCAAUGUCACCAUUGAGAAAUAUUGUCUUUACAUUCAUCUGAUGUAACUCAAGAUUGAAAUAUGCCACUAAUGCCAUUAUGAUCUUAAAAGAGUCUUUUGAAGAAACUAGAGAGAAAAUCUCUUUGUAGUCUAUGUCUUCUUCAUAAUCAUCAUACACAUGUGAUUUAAUUUCUCCCAUCUUUAUAUUUUUCUUUUGUCAUUAAGAGUACUCUCAUCGGUAAGAGGUGAAGGAGAAUCAACCAUUAACGCAAGGUCGAGAUUCAUGAUUGCGAGAACUAUUAAGAAGUUCUCUUGCCAUGAAUUGAAAUUAAAGUCGUUUAGAAUAGGAAUGGAAUUGAUAUUGGCAUUAAUAGUAGCAAAAGUCAUAACUGAAUAGAGAACAACAAAUAAUUAAUGCAAGCUUAUAUAUCUUAAAAACAAAAAUAAAUUCAAUAAAGGUAAACCAUGUCUCAAGAUACCGGAACUCCAUUAAUAUUUCAUCUUUUGAAAAAAUAUUAACUUAUAAGUGAUAUCUUGUGCAGUAAUAAAACAUUGAUAGCAAGAAUAUGUCAAAUAAUAAAGUUUCCUUUGAGUUGAUUUAUUAUUCACAUGUAAAACAAAAUAAUCAUCAUGCGUCUACUACCACAGGUGCACAUACAAUUCUCUCAAAUAUGGACCUUAUUUUGAGCCGAACGAUAUUCAUAAAAAUGACAUGCACAUAGUUGUUUAUAUUUCAAAUUAAAUUAAUUUCCAUAAGAGAGGUCACUUUGGUGACAUAUUGCUUCAAUUAAUUCAUCUCAAUAUAUAUAUAUAAACAUAACAGGUGCACAUACAAUUCUCUCAAAUAUGGACCUUACUUUGAGCCGAACGAUAUUAACAAAAAUGACAUGCACAUAACUGUUUAUAUUUCAAAACAAAUUAAUUUCCAUAAGAGAGGCCACUUUGGUGACAUAUUGAUUCAAUUAAUUCAUCUCAAUAUAUAUAUAUAUAUAUAAACAUACCAAUAUUUAAAUUUAAAAUUGUAUUAAAAUUACCCUUUAAAAUGAAAAAAAAAUUAAGUUAAAAGCUGGUCUACAGUCUACUGUCAAUUACUGAAGGGUCAACCUUUAAUCGAAUCAGGCUAGAUCGGCCCAAACCAACCCGGAUCUUAAACUAGCCAAUUGCCUUAAUCGGGUCAAGGUUGGACUGGGUUGCGUCAACUAGACCUAGACCCUAAACCAUCCUAAUCCUAAUUUUUUUUUUUAAAUUUUCCUUCUUCUUGGUGAGGCAACCCUUUCACAAUCUAUUACAGCCAAUCUUGCCUUGCCGAUGGCCAAAAAGCGUCCCUCUUUUCUUUUUUUUCACCACCGUUUUUCCUCAAUCUACCGCAUCCUGUGACCAGGGACAUAGCAAGGAAUUUAAUUGAGCUGGGGCACAUUUAAAAUCGCAAUUAUAAUAUAAUUUAAUAAUACAUUUACUUAUUAUAAUUGUUCUAAUCGAGAAUUCCUCGACGGGAUUUCAUGUGUUGAAAAUGAUGUAUAAUAGUUUCAUUAUCGAUACAAUCAAAUACAUCUCUUUUAAUGUACACAACGGGGUUAUCAUUCAACAAUUCAUCUCCUAUUCGACUUCGUAGUCAAUUCUUCACAUAAUUCAUUGUUGAAAAAACUCUUUCAGCAGUGGCAGUGGCAAUUGGUAAAAGCAAUGCUAAUGUGACUAAUAAAUAGACUAAUGAAAACACCUCGUACUUGUUAGUCUCAACCAUUUUUUUGUGCAAGAUCACCAAUCCCAUUUAAUCCUGAAAAGUCAACACUAGACUGCAUAUCCAUUAUAUAAACAUCAAGUUGAGUAUCUAGUUCUAUGAGAUCAACUGGAGAAAAAUCUUUUGGAUAAAGUUGAGCAAAGCACAAUAACAUUUCUUUAUUGAAAGCUGCAAAUGAAUUUUUUGGACAUAAACAAGCCAAGCAAAGUAGUAAUUCAAUGUUUACCUUAUUAAAACGACUGUUUAACUCUUGAAGCUGCAUUUUCGAAAUAGUAUAAAAUAUGUCAAUGUGAUAAUGAUGCAUGUUUGUGAUCUCUUGAGGUCUGCGCCUUGAUCUUCUAGGAGUUAGAAACAUAUUUUCCAUGAUAGGAACACUAAUAAAAUGCUUCUUACUUAGAAACAUAUUUUCCAUGAUAGGAACAGUAAUAAAAUGCUUCUUACAAAAUGAAGAAACUUGACUAAGCAAAGAAUUCCAUCCAUGUUCCCUCAUCCUUUGUAGACAUAGUUUGCAAAUGCUGACUAAUUUCAUGGAAUUCACAGUAUCUUGAUCUUUCCUUUGUAAUGCUUGUGACAAUUCAUUUGCAAAACCAAGAAUAUUUUUCAUCAAGUAUAAAGUAAACACAAAAUCAAAUGUUUGCAUGAACUUCAAGGUUGAAUUUGCUUCAAAUCUUUCCUCAGAAUUUGAUGCAUCAUUUGUAAUAAUCUCAAGCACAUCAAUUAUGGAUGAGAACAUGGUAAUAAUGCUUAUUAAUGUACCGUGAUGUGAGCUACACCGUGUGUCGCCAGAACGCUUUAAAGUAAUCUCUUCAUUCAUACAUUGUCUACUUUUAAGCUCGCUCUUUUUAAGAGCUUCAAUAACUGUAAUACCAUGCUUUUCUCUAAGAAUAUCAAAUCGUUUAGAUGAGGUUGCAACAAUGUUAAUAACUUUAGCAACUAAACUGAAACAAAUCAUUAACUUCCUGGUGCUUUUUUACUACAGAAACAAGGGCCAACUAUAAUUGAUGGGCAAAACAAUGAAUGAAAUAAGAAGAUUUAUUCUCUUUCAGAAUGAGUAUUUUCAAACCAUUAAGUUCGCCUUCCACGUUACUAGCAUCAUCAUAUCCUUGCCCACACAACCUAGAGAUGCAUAAUCCAUGUCUAGCAAAUAGUGUGUUAUGUAAUGCUUUAAGAGAGCAACUUUGGUAUCAAUAACAUGUUCAAUACCAAUAGAACGCUCAAUCACAAGUCCUGUUUUAUCCAUGUAACACAACACAAUCAUAAUAGAAAAUAAAGAGUCACCAGUUUCUUUAAUGAUAGCUCAAGAAGUUUCAGAUGAACAAACAUUUACAAUCUAUUUUUGAAUAUUAAGAGAUAUCAUUUGGAGAUUUGUUAGAGCAUUGUUGAAAAUAACACUUUUAAUUUCCUCAUUGUGAUCAGUAAGAAAUUGUAGAAGCUUAAGAAAGUUUCCUCUAUUGUUUGAACUUUGAGAUUCAUUAUUAGCACGGAAUGCAAAGUCUUGUCUCAAAAGAAAUCAAAUGUAAUCAAUUACAGCUGUUAAACAAACGCGAUACUCCCUUUAAAUUUUUUUAGAAUGGUUAAAGAAAAAUGUAGCAGCAUGUGCCUUUUGAUUCGUCAAUGAUUCACAAUGACGCCUCACUAUGUUAUGAGCACUAUUUGCACCAUUAACAUCAAUGGCGGACCCAGAAACUAAAAUAAGGAGGGGCUUAGUUCAAAAAAUUUUAUUUAACUUAGAUUUUUUUAAUGUUCACUCGAAUACAUUUUAAGUCUUAUAAACUCAAAUUUUAUUACUUUUUUUUAAAUUCUAAAUAAUAAUAGUAAUAAAUUAUUAUUUUUAAAUGCGUGAAAAUAUCAUUUUUUGAAGUAGUAUUUUAAAUGCGUGAAAAUAUUAUUUUUCGAAGUAGUUUCCACAAAAUAUUUAAAAAAAUAAAAUAAUGUGGCUAAUGGGAUUUGAACCAAGGUUUCAAAAUCAUUAAAUAACACUCUUACCAUUGAACCACAAGUCUUUUAGUAUAUGAAAAAUGUGUCCAAAUUGUUUUAUCUAACUUUUUCAUAAGGGCAUUGGGGUACAUUUAAAAGAAAAUUUAAUGGUCCAGGGGGGCUGAAGCCCCUCCUGGGCCUUAAUUGGGUCCGCCCAUGAUUAACAUGUUGUCUCAACAUUUCUUUUUUCUUCUAAUUUCUAAACCCUUCACUAGUAAAGCAUGGACCCCCCUUUUAUUGCCAUCUUUUUAUAUGAAAAACAUAACAUUAAAGACACAAAACUGCAUCAUUUAUUAUGUUAUAUUCUAACCAAUCAGGAUAAUUAUCGAACCAACUCUGAACAAAUCGUCGUAAUUUUUCUCCUAACGACCUAAUAGGAAAAUCAUGACUCUAAGGUUGAAAAGGACCCAUUUGCAAGUAUGCUCUCCGAACUUCGUCUUGAAUAUUAGGAUCUAACUUUAAAAUUGACAUUCAUAAACCGAGAUCCCUUGGAAGAUCAUGCAAAUUAAGUCUAACUUUUUCUUUUGAACUACCACUCAUUUUUCCUAAUGAGGUUGCAAUUGUUGAAUUCUUUCUUAAAUAUUUAUCCAUGGCUUUCAAAGAAAUAUAUUUAUUGAAUAAGUAUGAUACUUAUUGUUCAAAGAAAAUUUUCAACAUAAAUAAAAAUAAUACACAUGAAAAUUACAUUUUACAGAACUAGAAAAAUAUUAUGGUUUUUUAUUACAAAUUUAGUGUACAGUGUAUUGAUCUUAAUAAAUUAACUUGUUCUUAAAUCUUUUAAUGAUGGCAAAAAUAUUCAUAUAUGGCAACACAAAAAUCAAACAUGAAUAAAAUUAGGGAUUUUAAAAUGGAAAAAACAACAAAAUAAUAAAAAAUUAGAAUUAAUAAACUUACAAUUUUAAAACAUUAGACCAUACAAAUGAAGAAAAGUGAGAAGACAUCCAUGCACACGGUGACACGCAAUGCUAAUCGCCUAAUCUUCUAUGGAGUCCACACUUUAUUCCACGAAAGAGACGAAAGAAAGAGUAAAGUUUAGAUUUCAUUUGUUUUCCUUGAUCUUUUAAUGGAUUUCAUUUGAUGAAGGUGGCUCUCUUCUUGUCUUUAUUAAUUUUCAUGAAAUUAUAAUAGCUAAUCAAACUAUUUCGAAUUAGACAUUUAAGUUAGGGAAAGCAUGAAAUUUUUUUAAAAUUACGUGUGGCACUUUCAGAAUUUCAUAAUUUACCUAGGGUAUUUUUAUAAGUAAUAAAUAAAAAAUAUUUUUUUAAGAUAACCAUAAAAAAAAAAAAUUUUAAGAGCCUGCUGGGGCACGGUCCUAUGCUAGCUACGCCCUUGUUGGUGGCCACAACUUGUUUACACAUAGCCCAACUGCCACACCUCUUGCCUUUUAUUUUUUUUUUUAUGCCUUACAUGGCAACCGUUAAGUAGCCUAUUUGCUUUUGCCACGAGAUUCAAUUGUAGUUAUUCCUUCUGAUGUAGCCAUGGCCUAGGCCAGCGACGUCGUUGCCAAUAGUAGAAUGGGCUGUCGUCGGCCUAAACGCACAAUGUCAAAAACUGAAUUUUUUGAAUCUUAAAAGAAAUAACCAAAUAUAUUGAAACCAAAUUUCAUAAUAUUUAUCUCAAUAUUAGAAGAUAGCCACACAUUUGUUCUUAAACUCAAUAAUAUGGGAAUUAUUAAAUUCAAGGAAACCAAAGAUUUAAUCAUUAAUAAAAAAUAAAUUAUAUUCUCAAUGAUUCAACAUGAAGAGGUUGUGAUACUACUUGUAAGAAUAAUAAUACUUUGGUAAAAACUAUCACCUUAAUCUAGGAAUAUUCAUGUCGUGCCACCAAAAAUUAAUAACAGAAUAUGUGGAAGCAUACCUAAAUUUAUAAUAUACAAUUGCUCUCUAAAGUUGUGUGAUCUGUCUUUCAAAUCAACACAUUCUCCUAGAGAAUCCUUUAAACUUCUCUUUGCACUCUCUCUGAUUAGGGGUGGGCAAACGGUUCGGUUCGGUUCUAUGAGCAAAAACCGAAUGGUUUAAAAAGUAUUGAACCAAUUGGUUUUUGUUCGUUUCAGUUUAAAACCGAACUGAACCGAAAAAUCGAUUAGUUCAGUUCAAUUUAAUUAUAAAAUAUUUAAAGUGAAAUAUAUGAAUUUAAAAUCAAAUUUCAAUCACAAAAAAUCAAAACCCUAAAUUGGAAAUAAAAAAUUCACGAUUGCAUCUAUACUGUUGCCCUUGCCUCUCUCCCUCGCGCCUCUCCCUCGCGUCUCUCUCUCUCCUCACGGCCCAGCUCCUCAGUGGCGGCACCACCCCUCGGCAGUAUCUUCCCCCUCUGCGUGUGCAUGGCGCAGUUCGGCUCAUCCCCUCUCGAUAUCUUCCUCGCGUCUCUCCCUCGCCUCACACCAUGGUCAGCGCCUAGCACAGCCCCUCCCCUCAAGCACAGUGACGUCGUCGUUAACCCUCGCACACUGUCAUCUUGGUUGCUACAGCUGCAGCCUGUGGGUGUCUUUUUUUCCUUUUAAAUUUUUGCCAUGGCCCGUCCGUUUUUUUGUUCUUAAUAACUUGAGUUUUUGGGUCCAUGGUAAUGGCUGCCUCAAAUCUCAAUCAAUUUCAAAUCAUUUUCGUUUUAUUUUAUUCGGUUUGGGUCUCAUAACAUCAGAGUACUCAUUGCAAGUUAGGAGCUGGCUAAGUUAAAGCAUCUGUAAGGUACAUAUGCUGCUUCAGCUAACCCCCAACCUUGCAUUUGCAUUGCUUUUUCUCUGUAAGUCAGGACACGUGUGCUAUUUGCUUUGGGUGUGUAAGUUACAGAUGUUGUAAUAUAGCAACAUCCUGCAAGUUAAUAUUUUAUGCAUGCUCUUAACUUUUCUUGUUAUUUUAAAAUCAUCAAAACGGAAAUGUUGUUACUGCAGUUAUAGAAGUUAAAAUAAACUUAUAAUUAAACAAAAAUCACUACUAGAAAAAUGGGCUUUACUGACACCAAUUUAGUGUCAGUAAUUACUUUUACUGACACUUGUUAAUUGUGUCAGUAAUGCUCAAGCCAGAACACACUGACACUAAUUUUUGGUGUCAGUGAUUUUUGCGUCAGUAUUUUGUGUCACUAUAGUAUCACCACAAUAGUGAUACUAUGAUGUUAGUAUCAGUUGAUACUAUUUCUAUGUCAGUAUUUUGUGUCACUAGAGAGUCACAAGGAUAGUGACUCAAUCGUGUUAGCAUUUAAUGAUACUAUUUACAUGUCACUGAUUUAUGUGACUACAGUAUCAGGAAUCCACUGACUUAGUAACAUAAAAAAUUCUUAUCGUCAUUUAAAUAAUUAGUGUCAGUAUUAACGGUGCUAUACCGGUUGUGUUUUAUUUUUUCUAAUCACAUUAUUCAUGUUUAUUUUACAAUUAAAAUAAACCCAAAAUAUAUUAAACAUACCAAAUCUUGUAAUGCAAUUCACAUAAUACACAUUUCAAAUACAUCAGUUAAAUUAAAAUAGUUCAAAUACAUCAUUGUUUGGGGGUAAAAAACAAGUUCAAGUACUAAAUUAAGCUUUGAACAAGUAGUAUACACGAUAAAGUACUAAAUUAAUUUUGGAAAAUUUAGCCAAGAAGAAAAAAUAGAAAACAAUGUCACUGAUUUUGGAGUCACUGAUUUUGGAGUCCGCAUAUGCCUUCAUUUUUUUUCCACCUACAAGUAUAUAAAAUCAAUUAGCACACCACAAAAAAUAAGUCACAUAUUUGUUUUAAGGAAAAAUAAUCAUAAAUUACUUGUAUGUUACCUCGCGAUUGUAGGCUAUAAUUAACUUGGCAACGUAUGUAGCCCACUGAUCACGAAGUCGCGAGAGGUCCUUGACAGUGUAUUCCUCAACUCCCUUGAACUUUAAUUUUAAAACAACAAGUUAUUCACCGAAAAUCCUUGACUAAACUACUUAAUUAUCAUUCAUUUAAAUAUAUUUGUGUGUUAACAAUUAAAGCCAACAAAUAAACUCCAACAAUGUUACUGUUUUAUCCAAAAUUAUAUAGGUAAAUACUGAACAUCCUGAUCAUGGUAAUUCCAAAAAAAAAAAAACAACUUGUGAACCCCAACAGCAACAAUAUUUGAUAGCCGAAGCAACUUGUGAACCCCAACAGUACGCAAUUUAAUACAAAUAUGGAUGUAGAUACAAAACCUUAAUUAGGGUGACAACUUAUCCUCAUCAAAGUAAAGUACAAGCAACGACACCAUAGCACAUCCCCACUAACAACUACUUUGCAAUCCAAACAAUUGUUUUGUGUUGGGAUAUGCAGUACAUUGUGUAUAUCCCAAAUCCUAAUUCAUGUCUAUAUGGAUAUUCAUAUAAUCUAUUCAACAGUAUGCAACAUAGUCACCAUUAUAAGUACCCUCACAGUUUAUAAAAUGCAUACAAUACGCAAUAAAAAGAUAACUGUAAAGAAGCACACAUGUGUUUGAGCUGAUUCAUUUCACAAUAAAUUAAAAAAAUAUGAUGCAGUAUUGUAAAAAUCAUUUUCAACACUUACAUUAUUUUUCAGAACGUUCACAUUUGUGAUGAUAUCUUGCAUGUAUUUCAUCACAUAGUAACCACAUUCAAAGCUGCUCGGCUGCCUCGGACACUAUAAGAUCAAAAUUACAUUAAUUUUUUUACUGUACGUUAACAAUAAUUAGUUAGGUUUGUCUGAUUUUUACCUUGACAGGUAUCCAUUGAACAUUGGCCUUUGUAUCAGAAUUUAAACUCUGAUGUAUUCGAAUCCCCCUACAAUUAAAAGACAUAGCUAACGUUAGUAAAUAAUUAGCAUAAGACAUAAAAAUAAAAUAACAUGAUCAAAGAUACAAAUAACAAACUUAACUGAUUGACAAUCUGCUUUAGCUCUUCAUCAGGACCACCUUCCAAAGGAUCAAGGUAAUAAGUUGUACGUCUCACCAUAUCAAUUGCCAAUAACACCCAGUGGGCACUAAACAAAGUAAAUAUUAUUCUCACACAUGAAUUACAAGUAAAAGUUUUUAACUUCGUGAUUAAUCUACAAAUUAAAUAAUAUAACUAGCAAAUGAAAAAGGUUAUACCCAGGGUUAUGCGGGAAUACGAUGACUUGUCCCAAUUCUGCCAAGCCUAACAAUUUUGAAAUGUAUUGAGUCCUGUCUUUGAAGCUGGCCCUUGGAUAUAACUUCUCAAAAAGCCCAAACUGAACUGGUUUAGUACUUCUAUUGCUCUCCAUCUCCUCAUACAGGUGUCUAAGAGGAAACAAAUAUAUAUAACGAAGUAAGUUUGAAUAUAAGAAACAAAAUAAUAGGGCCAAGCUUACUAAAACAUAAGUUAUGAUUUACCGUACUUGAUCCAUAUGUUAAUGAUGCAGUUUGAGACCUCUUUAAACUCGAUGAUUUCAGCACAAAUCAUUUUGUCCAAGUGUGUUUCCCAAAUUUCACCAAAGAUUGCUGUGUCAUGCCUAAUUCUGAUCAACCGAGGUAAAGAAUUCUCGAUGAACAUGGUAAACAUGUUCAUAUAUUCACUCCUGUCAUUCUUUCUUGAUCGUGCUGCUGCUCGUGUAUUCUUCACACGUACAUUGAGGUCUUUUGCUGCUGGUCUGAUGACUCGGGGUUCUUUUUUGGCUACUUCUGCUGGUCUGAUGACUCGGGGUUCUGUUUUGGCUACUUCUGCUGGUCUGAUGACUCUGGGUUCUUUUUUGGCUACUUCUGCUGGUCUGAUGACUAGUGGUUCUUUUUUGGGUACUUCUGCUGGUCUAAUGACUCUAGGUUCUUUUUUGGCUACUUCUGCUGGUCUGAUGACUGGUGGUUCUUUGUUGGGUACUUUGUCAUGACAAGAGAACUGCCUAUCUAGUACUUUAGGAGUUAGUCUAGGAGAUCUUCUGGGUGUGGGCUUUGAAGUAAUUUCACACUCUACUUUUUCGGGGGUUUGUUGAAGAGUUGCUUGGGAAAUUGUGGUGGGACUGUCCUUGAUUUUACUCUUCACAGAUUUUGGAGUCGACUUACCCGAUGGGAAAUCAGCCUAUGCAAUAAUCAAAAUACAUACCAUUAGUAGUAAUACAUGCAUAUACAAAUGGAAAUAAAAUAAUGACAUGUAACAGGCCAUAUACCUUUCUUUUUCUAAGAGUUUCAGGGGAUUGUUGAUCAUUGUCAAUCUGAACACCAGUGGAAGUUUUGGGCUUAGGAAAGUUAGAACUUCCAACUUCAGUAUUGCUGUACGCAUUUAACCUUGCAUUCAUGCGUUCUAAUUGAGCAGACAUGAAUUGGAAACUCUCUUGAUACAUCUUUCUUUCUCUUGCUAACUCAAUGGCAUCAGGGACAUGAAAGUACAUAGAUGGGGUGACGAAUUGCCCCACUCCUUACACCCUGCUUCCAUUUGGCUGCUUCUGAAGAGCUUCACCUAGAAUGUCAUGUGACCCUUGUGAUUGGAAUGUUCCUUGUUCAACCUGACUCUUCAGCUCAUUCUACAAAAAAAAAAUAUUGUAAAUCCGCAAUUACGAGUACAAGACAUCAGCUAAACUAAACUAAUAUCCUUCUUGAAUCUUUAAAAAUCAGCAAAUCCAUAUACAGUUCAAAUUGAAACUACAGAAAAUAUUACAAGACAACACCUCACACAAGUUUUAACUUUUUUAUAUGCGAAGAAAUAAGUUCUGAUGAAAUCUUACUGAGUUUCUGUCAAUUGUAAAUGUUGCCAUACAAUUAUUACAAAAAACAGUAUAUAUGUACGUAAAUAUCUACCCACACACACACAUAUUAUAAAGAAAAUUCAUAAGAAUUAAUUAUACAAGUGACUUACUAUUUUCUCAGCAAUUGGCGUGACAUCAGAAGCAUAUUUGCCAUCUUGGUCUGCUCAUGCCAUUAACCAAGCUUCACUGCGAUCAAUCUCCCGCUCAUAAACUCCACUCUCCUUUUUCUGUUACAAGGUGACAUAAAACAUAAAUAAUUGAUUCUAUUAUAUUAUACGUACUAGAUUACCUAUGUUACUGUAAUUACUCCAUAUUACCACACUUACUUUUCUAUACAACAUGCCACCAUAUCCUGUGCUACCCAAGCGAUGGUUGUAGACAUUCUUUGCUCUUUUGUCUUUUGCCUUCUUACUUUUUUCCUGCACAAACAGUUUAUAUGAAGAACAAAAAGUUACCACUGAUUAUUAGUAACUACCAACAAUUAAAUCAGGUAAUAUUAACAAACAACACACUUGAAAUUGUUCAGACAAAACUUUGUCAACAAAAAGUUUCCAAUCUUCUUUUUUAAUGCCUGGAUAUUCAAUAAGAGGCAACCUUAGUGACUUUCGAUUGUCCUUGUUAGGAAGAACGAAUUCAGUUGCCAGUUCACAUCGAAAGUUUCUUGAUGCAACCCUCAUCCACUUUAAUACUUGGCUUUUGCAUUUCAAGCUCAAUUUGAAUUUUUUCUGUAAACCAAUAACAUGGAUUAGAAACAACUUUAAACAAAUCUGGAAGUUAUAUAAAAUCUUUAAACAUACUAUGAAACAAGAAAACAAAACCUGAAAAUGAACCCACAAAGUUUCUUUCAUCUCCAGUGGCACACGCCUCCAAUCAUCAAGUAAAAUUGAAAUUGUUUCACGUACAAUGACUCCAAUGUAACUCCUAAGAUCAUUUCUUCCCUUUCCAACUGGAACACCAUAAGAAUUGUACUCAAUUGCAGCUUCAUGACUAACUUCUUGUUUUUACAAACCUUUUUUUUUUUUCUUCUCCUUGGUCUUCCGUCCAGCUCCGGAAGAGUGAACUCAACAUCAUCAGCCAUCUCCUACAAUCCUGAAAAUGAUUAAAAUAAAUUAGUAUAUCAUUUAGAUUAAUAAGUUAAUACAAGAGCAAUAGCAUAUAAUGAAAUAAAUAAAUCACUUACUGGAAAACUGUGAAAAUUGGUGCUGGAAACUAACUACAAUAAUGCAUUCACUGAUUUUCUAAAUCAAUAUCUAUUGGAAUAGCAUCACAAUCUUUUCUGUCAUAAAUUCCUUCAUCAUCUUUCUCAUCCAACUCACAUACUGGAAGUUUGUUAGAUAAUGGAGAAAAUACAUCCACGUCUUCACAUCUUUCCCCAUUUAACUUAUAAGCUUUGUCGGUCACUGAACAAACUAUUGAUUUAUUAUUAUCUAGCUGGUCCUUUACAUAAAAUACUUGCUUUGCAUGACAAGCCAGAAUAAAGCAAUCAGAUUUAUAGCCAAUCCGAUUUAAAUCAACUACAGUGAAACCUAAAUUGUCAGUGCAAACCCCUCUAUCAUCUACCCAAUCACACUUAAAAAGUGUUUUUUUAACUAUUAGAUAAUCAAGCUGCCAUAUCUCAUCAAUGACUCCAUAAAAUGUCAUGUCUCCAAAAUGAGGACUUUUAUCUUUUGAGCUUGAAAUCUGUAGAGUGUUAGCAACAACCCUAACACCACUAUUUUGGGUCACACAAUUACAGUCCCGGUCCCUCGUUGUAAAAUUGAAGCGAUUUAUCUCGUAGCCAGAGAAGGUCACCACGCUUGAGCGUGGUUUGUUUGCCAACCAGCACACUAUUUUGUCAAUCGGCACAUUAUUUGCUUUAUCAUGUGCCACCUAUAAAUUAAAUUAACAAGUACAGUAAUUAGUAACAUGUAGAAAAAUCUUGUUAAGUUUAUAUCCUAUAUUGUAUUUUAGUUAAGUAAUUCUAACCUUUGCUUGUAACCAACCAGAAAAUGUACGUAUGUGUUCAUUUUGCAACCACAUAUUUGUUUUUGCCUUAUAGGGGUUUCUUGAUGCCAAAUAAUGCAUAUGCUCCCUACAGUGAGACAUAUUAAGAUUUAAAAACUAGUAUAUUAAUCUAAUAAUACAAUAGUAAUAUUUUUUUGGAAAAAUUAACAACUUACUCGAUAUAUAUUUGGAUUUCAGGGGUGUUCAUUAGAACACACCGGUGUGCUUGUGCCAACAAAGGAUCAUCAACCACCUUUAUGUUUGCACCUCCCAAAGGCUUUUCGAUAGAUAAAUCAGUUGGACAACCAGUAGGCAGCCCAAUAACAUCACAAUUUGAGAGGUACUUAGCACAAAAUGCAAGUGCUUCUUCUGCAAUAUAACUUUCUACAAUACAACCCUCAAGGCGGUAGCGAUUACGAACAUAAUCCUUGAGAGUUUUCAUUUGUCUCUCAAAAGGAUACAUCCAUCGAAGAUAAACAUAACCUAACUUGUUCAACUAAGUGGAUUGUUAAAUGGAUCAUUAUGUCAAAAAAGCUAGGUGGGAAGUACUGCUGCAGUAAGCAUAAAGUGAUUACAAGUUCCUCUUGCAAUUGGUCAAGAGUAUUGGGAUCUACCACUUUACAGCACAAUGUAUUAAAAAAGAAGCACAUCCUGAUUAUGGCCCUUCUCACAUUUAUAGGCAAACAGUUUCGAAUGGCUAGUGGUAGAAAUUGUUGCAUCAAAGUAUGACAGUCAUGGGACUUAAGGCCUUGAAGCCGACAAUCAUCUAUUGAAACAAGGUUUUGGACAUUGGAAGAAUACCCAUUAGGGACUUUCACACUCAGCAAGGUUUCACAAAACUGUUUUUUUUCUUUUUUACUCAAAGUAUAAGGAGCCGGAGGUAGGACUUUGUGUUUUUUGUUUGAUUCAUCAGGAACUAGUUUUCCCCUGAUCUUCAAAGACUCAAGAUCUUUUCUAGCAUUAAUCCCAUCUUUUGUUUUGCCUGGUUGAUGAAGUAAUGUGCCAUAUAUGUUCUCGCACACAUUUUUUUUAAUGUGCAUCACAUCUAAUUGAUGGCGAACUAAUAAAUGCUUCCAAUAAUCUAACUAAAAAAAGAUUGACUUUUUUUUGUACAAUUUUUUAGUUAUGUUCUCAUCACCAUCACCGCCACCACCGCCAUCAUGUUUCCGCUUUUUUGCCUUCUUUUUCCCGAACUUAAUAUCUAUAUCUUCCACCAUAUUAAAGAUUUCCUCACCAGUCAAAGUUUUAGGAGGCUCAUUCCACUCUUGCUUCCCAUUAAAAACCUUUUUCAGUUUCUGAAAUAGGUGACCGAGUGGUAGAAAGCGGCGAUGGCCCAUAUAUGAUAUUUUCCUACUAUGUGGCAGCCAACAUGCACAAGUGUCUAUCCCACAAAUUGGGCAAGCAUAAUAGCCCUUAACAGUACAACCAGAGAGGUUUCCGUAUGCUGGAAAGUCACUGAUUGUCCACAUCAAGACAGCCCGUAAAUUAAAGGUUUCUUUUCUAUAAGAAUCAUAAACAUCAAUACCUACAUCACAUAGAGUUUUUAAGUCCUCAAUCAAAGGUGCUAGGUAUACAUCUAGAUCAUUUCCAGCUUGUUUAGGGUCAGAUAUCAAAAGUGACAACAUCAAAAACUUUCUCUUCAUACACAACCAUGGAGGAAGAUUAUAUGUUAUCAAUAUAACAGGCCAACAACUAUAAGUAGUGCUAAGUGUACUAUGUGGGUUAACCCCAUCAGUUGAGAGAGCUAACGGAGAUUUCUAGGUUCUUGUGCAAAUUUUGGCCAUUUAUUGUCAAUUAGUUGCCAGGCUGGUGAGUCUGCUGGGUGGCGAAGUUUGCCAUCUCUAAUUCUUUUAUUAGCAUGCCAUGUUAAAUUUUGAGCUGUUUGUGGUGAUUGAAACAAUCUUUUCAACCUAGGAAUAUGUGGAAAAUACCAUAAUACCUUUUUAGGAACCCCUUUCCUAAAUUUUGUUGAGCUAUCUUUUUUUAUUUGAUACCUAGAUGCUCCACAAUUUGGGCAUUCAGCAAGAUCAGCAAAUUCAUUCCUAUACAAAAUGCAGUCAUUUGGACAUGCAUGUAUUUUUUCAUACUCUAAGCCUAACACUUUCAUUGUUUUCUUAACCUCGUACAUUGACAUAGGUAGAGUAUUAUUAUUUGGUAAAAUAUCAGCAAGGACUUCUAACAAAGCAGAAAACCCUUUAUCGGACCACCCAUAGUUCCCUUUCACAUUGUAAAGUCUCAUUAAACUAGAUAACUUUGAAUGUUUUGCACCUGGGUACAAAGGCUUUUCAGCAUCUUCAAGCAUAUCCUUAAAAGAACUAGGAUCUCUAUCACAAUGCUCGUAAGCAUCUUCGACCAUGUCAAUUAUAUUAUUGUAAUCAUGACAUCUAAAUCUUUGACUAUGUGAAUGGUCUUCACAGUUUGUAAAUGUACAUUUAGAGUCAGUUUCACCAUGCCAAGUCCAAACAAUAUAUCUUGGGAGAAAACCUUUUUCAAAUAAAUGAUCCUUCACCUGUUGAGGAGUAUGAAACUCCAUAUUACAACAAAAGGUGCAAGGACAUCUAAUUGACAUUCGAUUUUCAGCAUUCAAAAUGGCAAAAUCUAAGAAAUCAGUAACUCCAGAACGAUACUCUACAUACAAUCUAUCACAAGUUAUCCAACUUCUCUCCAUUUCAAAUACUUUACAUGUUCACAUAUGUAAUGUCAGUUUAAGUUUAAUUAAAUUGCAUGAUUAAUUUAAAGUUCAAUGUUAUUAUGAUUAUAGUUGUAAUAAAAAACUUAUAAUUCUGGAAAAUCAUUAAUAGCCCCUAUAAAUCAUUAAUUAUAAUAAUAAUUUAGGCAAAAUCCUGAAAUUGAAACAAAAGAAGUUUUGAAACUUAAAUAGGAGAUUAAUAGGUAAGAUGGGUGCUAAUGGCUUUUUAAGUAGUCGAACUAAUUCAUAAGUCAAGUAACUAACAAAAGUUAAGAGUUCAAAUAAAUAAUGUCUUCAUACCACUUUGCAAGCCAUUUUUUAAGAUUCUAUAAAUCAUUUUUUAACUUCAAAUACAACAUGCAGAACUACUUUAAAACAAGCAUUUCUUUAUUGAAUCAAACACAAAUCAUCAACUUUAUACAAUCUCAAAAUAUUCACAACCACGAACUUAAUUAAUUCAUAUCAUAGUCAUUGUCUCUAUUACAAAUCGUCCAACCAAAACAGAAUAAAUAAACAAGUAGGAUUAUAUAACAAAAUUUUCCUCUCUUUACAUGAAACAGAGAUGUAAAUAGUUUGUAACCACUAAAUACACAGUCAUUCAGCCAAUAUAACACCCAAACAAUCAUCUCCUAAUCACAAAGGCAAAAGCUAAAAUGAAAUUUCAUAUUUUAGUACAUUCAAAAUCAACUAACUUAUUGCUCAAAGUUAAGAAACGGAGCUAACAGUUUAUUUUAGAAACUAAAAAAAAUGCACAUUCUUAGUUUUAAAUAACAAUGACAGUAAAUCACAUGCACAAAAGUUUGAAACUGACCUCAAAUGUGGCAAAAAAAACAGAGUCGCAGCAGCAAGUGUUUUGAGUUUAAGAAAUGCACCACUUAAAAUGCCUGUAUUUUUGGACUGCAUGUGAGUGAAGAUAUAGAAAAAUAAGAACAAAAAUUUCAAGUUACGAAUAAAUAAAAGAAAACAAAAAGAUUUGGAAAACAAAACCCACCAGGGUUGCACUACUGUUCAAUUUAUGAAUAUCUAAAACAACCCAAAAAUAAAAAUUCAAAAAUAUUAUUCAUAAGCCAAAUUAAAACAAACCCAAUAAUUAAAUUGCCCAAAAAAAAAAAAAUAUUCUGCCAUUACCAGCUGAUAACCUCCUCUACAGUUCUUUCUCUGGACUUGACUUGUCAGGGAGAAUGAGAUUACCUGAAUACCGAACCGAUGGUGCCACUUCACCCCUUGUCGAUGGCUUUUACUUGCUUGCCUAGUAUAGGCACUGGAUGGUUUAGUUGGAGAAAAACCCCUUCGAUAACAAGCGAUUAGGGUUUUGGUUUGUGUUUCAAUUUGGGGAAAAUGGAAAAAUGAAACAGAGUUUUAGCUUUUCAUUAUCUAUCUAAAUUAAUUGAAUUUAAUUUGUAAAUGGAUAGUGCAAAACAGAAGAGAUCGAGAAGAGAAAAACGAAAGCGAAAGUGAACAAUGAAAGCAAGAUAGAGACAGUCGAUAUAGUCUAGAUGGGGAAAAGUCAAGUGUGUUUUAUGUUGUUCUUAUUUAUAUUUUCAUUUUUUAAUAAUUUAAAUAUUAUUAUGACUUUGACUCAUCGAUAUUUGAUGGUCUGUGCUCCAAACAUUAAAGCUUUAAAUCUUAGAGCUCUCAGGUUCGAGUUGGAGCUAAAACAAAAUUUUUAUGAAUUUUUUUUUAUCACUGAUACUUUAGUGUUAGUGAUUUUUGAUAUUUAGUUUACUGACACCCUAGUAUCAUUAAUCUCUGAUUUCUAUUUGUCAAAAGCGGAAAAUGGUGCAUAUGUACAUAAGUACUGACACUUUUUGUAAAGUGUCAGUAACGAAGUGCAGUAAAGCCCAUUUUUCUAGUAGUGAAUGUUGAAUAUUUGCUAAGAUGAAUAUUGUGAUUAAACAGAAAUGUUGUUACCAAACCGAAUCGAACCAAACCGAACCGAAUUUAGGAACCGAACCAAAAUUUCGGUUCGGUUUGGUUCGGUUCCUAAAUUCGGUCCGAAUUCGGUUCAUCUUCUAAAAAACCAAUUGGUUUUGGUUUGGUUCGGUUCAGUUCAGGUCCCGAACCGAACUGAACCGACUAUUGCCCACCCCUAUCUCUGAUGAUGGGAUGUCAUUUGAGAAUAGAACGAUACAUAUGACUUGGGGAUCAUAACCAUUUAUAUAGGUAACUUUUCCUGUUGUCUUUAGGUAUUCCUAUUUCAGUCCAUCAUAAAAAUAAAAAUUACCCUUAAGUCUCUACACAUUAAAAGACCACACCCUAUUAGAUACAUUAAAAUUUAAUUUACUAAUAUCCUUAAUAAAUCAUUUUUAAUUGGGUUAACCUUAUAUUAUAAUCCACAAUACAUAAUUAUUCACAUAUAAGUCUAACAUUGGAUUAAGAAUCCAAUAAUACUGGAUUAAAUAUCUAACAAUAAGUUCUAUGAAUAUUGUGGUAUAACCUGUUAUGCUGUGGUCAUAGUAUUUCUAAUGGCUAUAUCAUGUAAAAUACUGAAUAGACCAUGUAAGAAUCUUAAAAAUUGCGUAUUUAUGCUUGGAAUCUUUUGAUGAUAUAUAACAGUGCUUAUAUUGGAUUAGUAUCUUUCUUUCUUGAAAUAGAAUUUUUGCAUACCUAUCUUGUUUUUAAUGAGAUUUCAA